RNAcentral lists this long non-coding RNA (92358 nucleotides) under Hordeum vulgare. RNAcentral describes it as "long non-coding RNA (HVUL_LNC011318)". The stretch from base 64639 to 64753 matches the Rfam family "MIR1120/MIR1122 microRNA precursor family". The record is from RNAcentral. Lineage: Eukaryota; Viridiplantae; Streptophyta; Magnoliopsida; Poales; Poaceae.
AAAAAAAAAACUUGGUCGGUGUACAUGAUAAGAUACGAUACUACUCUCUCCAUUUUUAAAUAUAAGACUUUUUAGAUAUUUUACUAAGAAACUACAUACGAAAUAAAAUAAAUAAAAUUACAUUCUAAAAUAUGUAUAUACAUUAGUUUUUAAAUAGACCUUUAGAAAGACUUAUAUUUACAGUCUUACUAUUUUUCAGUCGACUGAAUUUAAAUUCGUUCCAGGUCGUUUUAUAGUCCGUUCGAUUUGCACGAAUCUCAGUGCCCUCGUCUGUCCUCUGUUUCGCGCGUGUAGUUUGGUUUCGUUGGGCUUUCGGGUACGCGGGUCUGUAUCGGGUAUACAUUUUUUUGGCCCGUGAAGCCUGAGAUCACUUUUAUCCAUUCAGUCUCUGUGUUUCUAUCUGGGAAAGGGGAUUGGGUCGGGGUUGACCGAGGUUGGCCGGAGACGGUCGGGGUUGAGCGAGGUGGGGCGGAGACGGCAGAGGGAAGGCGGCGGGGCUGCUCACCGGUGAUUAGAACAGGAGAUGGCGCAUGGCGAGUCUCCCCAGGGAUUGAGAGCUUAUAUGCAGGGGGCUGCAGGUGGAAGAGAUGCUGCCAUUGGGAGGAGCUUGGCAGAGCUGCCCCGUCGUGCGCGGCACCAACAAGCUCCCGUCAGUGGAGAUGGUCGCAGUCGCCGGCGUCGAUGGGGCGCUUGGUAUUUGUUCGUCCCCGCUCUGUUUGCUGUGUUAUUUUUUGUCUCAUGUGUUUUUGCCCUCCUACAUUACCCUCCUGAGCUGAGCAGAUUUAGUUCAUCAUCAUUCUCGCCCAUCAUAGACCUGCAUCGCAGGGAGGUUCAGUUAGCUCGCGAUUUUGUGGUAGUUUUAGUUAAAGCGUGGAUAUGUUUUGAGCUGUGUGUGUGUCUGUGUGUGAAGUUGAAUCCCCGAGGGGAUUCAGUUCCGAUGCGCUGUAAAGUUGAGCUCGCGCUGGGUAAGUGCAGGGUAGAUCGGGACGACGAGCAGCAGUCGGUGCAGUUUUAAUCAGUGGUCAUGUUGCCCUUGGGCACAUACAUCAACGUGUUUACGGAUGUGUAGGUUGCUCCUAUGCAUUCUGCUUGUGUAAAUCCAGCUCUCCUGCUUCUUUUUUAGACAGUGCAGUCAAGACAGGAGAGCUAGUAUUGCUGCUUAGUGACAGAAAACGUCAAUCUGAACUGAAGAACCAAGGACCAGUUAUACCUGUUAUCGCAAAUCAGUUACGGGGGUGAUGUAUGUCGUUCCAUAUACUCCAUAGUUUCUCGUGUUAUGCCUUGCGUGUUUCAUUCCUUCAGUUUACUGUCCUCCCCUUCCCUGAGUAGUUUAAGCUGUGUAUAUACGCAAGACCAUAUGCCCUUUUGUUUAGGGGACAUAUAUAUACCUUUUGUUGCUUCUGGUAACUGAUGAGAUGUGAAUUAGGAUUUCCUAUAUAAUAUUCGCGAAUGUCAUAUUCAUUUCUAAAAGCACUUCCAUGACUUUUGAAAUAUUUGAUGAUUAUGCCAUGUUAUUUUGCUUUCUCAUUUGGCAUCCGAAAGUCUGAUGUUCCUGAUCAGUUUAUUAUAUUUAUAUAAUUAAUAUAUUGAAAUGCCAGAUGAGGCCUGAUACAACCUUUCUCUUGGCCGAUUCUGGCUUUUUGGUAGGCUAUUACUGAAUGUAUGUGUUUUCCUCUACAAGAGUACUAAUGUGGAUAAACUGUAGAUUUACAUUUUUUGUCAGCUUUGUUUUCGUUGGCUUUUAGUUUAGAUUUACUGAUUUAGUAAUGGAUGUGUUUUUUUCUUGAGAGAUUGAGUGCUUACAUGAGGAAUGGUUGAGAGAUCAUCUCAAAGUAGUUAUAUGCUGUAAUUAACAAGGCAGUAGAUAGUCUGCAACUAGUUAUAUGCACUAUUUCCAUACUUAAAUUAAGCAAUGUCCCAAGUGAUUUUUGUUCAUUUUAUUCCAUACAUGCAGGGGUGCUGAUUAUGCAGGUCAUAGAUCUUCCAGUAUUGCCAAUGACGCCAAUUACGAUCCUGAUAAUGAUUUGUCAAACAGCGAUUGUCGCGAGGAUAGUAGCACAUCUAGUGAUGAUGUAUGUUCAUGUAGCUUUGAAUUUGUUUUUCAUUUUCUUCCUGUUUUUCUUCUAUCCUUUAUGUAUGUAACAGGGUUUUCUUUUCUUCUACUUGUCUUUUUUUGUUCUAAAAGGAAUUCGUGGCUAGGAGGAAGAAGAUGUUAGAGGAUGCAUUGUUCGGUUUUUUCAAGAAGGAGGUAUGUUUUUAUCUUCUUGUUUUUAGUUUAUUAUUUUAGUUUUUUUGUAUUCAUGUUGAUAGUUGAUGUCGGUUUCUUACUUUGUUUCUCUUGUUCUCCAUCUUAUUCAAUAGGCUCAAAAAUCUCUUAAGAAGGGUUUCUCAAUUUUUUGUCAGGAUGCUAAUUUCAAAGUCGAGGUUCUCGAAUCUAUUCUUUUACAAAUCUAUAAAAAAAUUGUUUUGUCCAUUACUUAAUCCCUUUUUUGUUAGUCCUAAUCUGUUUUUUAUGUUGUUUUUUCAGAAUAAUAGGGUAAAAGUUCCAGGGGUAGGAAGGGAUGUGUUCAGUGUGUAUUCUACCAAGUACUUCGCUCAGAUACUCAAGCGUAUGUCAAUUGGCAGGAAGGAUGUGAUCUCAAAAUACGGGUUUGAUCAUCUCCUGAAGUUUGAGAAAACGCAACUCCCUUCUCGAUUCAUUAGAUGGAUUCUUGGCUGUGUAGACUCAGUGUCUUCCGAGAUCAUCAUUGUUGAUGAGAAGAUUAUCCCUCUUUCCAAGGAUUCUGUCCAUUUUGUGUUGGGUCUGCCAAACACCGGUGUUGUACCAAUGCCAAAUAAGGAGAGAGGGAGGAAUUUCCUUCGGUCUAGGUUUAAUCUUUCAGAUUUACCAAAUGUCACUUUCUUUGGAAAUAUGCUCACGUCAUCCCAAGAUCUUAGUGAAGAAGAUACAUUCAUUUGCUUCAUGGUGAUAGCUAUGUCAUGCUUUCUCUUCCCUUCUUCCAAUGGUCAUAUACACAGAGACUUUCUAUUCCUUCUAGAGGAUCCUACUGCCACAAUGGGAUACGACAUUUUCUUUCUUAUCUAUGAAUGGAGCAUGGCUGGCAUAAACAAAUAUGUGUUGUUUGGUUGGGAAACUGGCACGAAGCCAAAAGCCUUUGAUUUAUGCACAUAUUGCCUCGCGGUAAGUGUUUUGUCUUUUUUUCUUUUCUUUGUUUGUGUCACACUUUCCGUCUUUUUGUUUUGUUUCUUAUUAUUUUUUUGGAUUUUUGUGUUUCUUUUUAAGGUAUUGUACUUGGACAAGCUGGACUUUGGUAUAAGGGUAGUCGAACAAGGUGUCCCAAGGAUUCUUAUAUGGAAGGGUAAUAUAAUUAAGCAUUUCUCGGAACUUGAUCGGAAGAACAGCAACUCAUUCGGUAGGAGACCGUUCAAAAAGGAGGUCUGUUAUAUGUUUCUGCAUUUUUUGGUUGAGUUGCUUUCUCCUUUUUUGUUUUGUAGUUCAAAAGUGAGUUAGUCAUCAGCAUUAUUUCCUUUUUGUAGAGAAAUCAUUAUUUUUUGGCCUUUCCUCUCUCUCUCUCUCUCUCUCUCUCAUCAAUCAUGUUUUUGGCUCAGGUUUCGUUUGGAGCUGAAAAUGGUGCUCACCAUGGCAUUUUACGACAAAGACCAGCAUCACUAUCUUUCAAAGAGAAAACGUGUUCAUCUUACACUAAUAUUCUACAUGAAGAGGUAUUAGGUUUUGCCUAACUAAGUUUUUAUCUUUCUCCUUUUUGUUUUUUAGUUGUAUCGUUAGUUUUAGUUUUGUUAUUUUUCAUUUCUGAUUGCCUAUAUUUUUGUUUUUGUCAGAUAAUUCAGGGUAUCAUUGACAGCGCACACUGUGACAACAUAUGGGAGUCUCGUUUUCAAAAUGCUCAGGAGGCUAUAGCAUCAAAUGUGUUGAAGUUUCUAUCUGGAUCCAAGGUAUCAUCUAUUUUCUGUAUUGGUGGUCAGGACACCGCUUCAACACCAGGAUCAGCAACGAAACAGGACAUAAGCAUAUUGAGUGAGGAUGUGAGAACAGACACAAAAAAUUCAUGAGGUAUGCAUCUUUUACUUUGUGUUCAGGCACCCUUUGUAGUUCGAGAAGCUCAUUACUCACUUGUUCUAUUUUUUGAAGUCGAAGUAUCUUUGAUCAUUUGUCAAGUUUAUUUAGUUUUUGUGGUGUUCAGGGUCACUUUUUUGUUGAUAACUUUUGUGAUAAUGUGUUUUUUUGUUGGAAGCAGAGUCUGGUGAACACAUUGAUAUGAACGAGAAGAUCAAGCACGUCAAGAGCAGCAGCAUCCACGAACCUGUCAAGGUCAUCGAAAACAUUGCCCCAUCAGUUGCAGCUAACAAGCAUUUAGACAUAGGAACGAGCAAAAACAAACUUCCGUUGCAACCUGCUGCCGACGAAAAAAUGUUUGAGGAGUUGCCCGAUGCUUUAGGUCCAUUCAUACAACUUUGCCCUCAUAGUCAUUUUUAUUUUCCCUUUUUUCUGUGUCCUUUUUCCUGGUUUUACUAGUGCCUUACAUAAGUUUUUUUUCUGCAGUAACCCCAGAACACGUGGUUUCCAAAUUUGUCGAGCACAACAAUGCAAAAUGUAAAUCAUUUUACUUCUUUUUCUAUUCCCGGUCUAGUUCAGUUUUGUUAUUUAUUUUGCAGUCAAGUUUUACUUCCCUCUUUUAUUUCUUUUCCCCCUCCAAGAUCCCGAAGUGCUAGUUCUGAAGAAGUUCAAGGCUAGGGUGUGCAACAUAACGCAUCGUGACCAGCAGUUUUCCUUGAUUAACACGUUCCCAGCAGGGGUGAAAGAGCGAAACUCUUAUUUUCAAUUUAGUGUGCAGCAAACCAAGGGCACUUUCACACACUCCACCAGCCCAACCGACACAAAUAUUCUUGUUGGAGGUCAGAUGACACGUCCUCAAGCAGAGCAAAGCAAUUACCAGAUGGCUAACCACAUGUCGCCCAUAGGUCGUACAAAUUUGUUCGCCGACGAGGUCAACUUUAUGCAUCUUUUUUUCCGGUUCUUUUUUUGUCAGUAUUUGUUUGUAUGAUUUUUCAUCUAACACCACAUGCACUACAGGAGUUCAACAUUGGAACCAAAAACAACCCUCCUAAACUUGUGGCAUUGGUAGACAAUAAUAUUUCAAAAAACAACAAGAUCAACGGCACAAAACAAGAACCAAUCCUAGUGGCUGAUAUUUCUCCCUCUCUGGUUAGUAUUAAGUUUUUUACUCUUUUAUAUUUUGUUAUGAUGCUGCUACAGAUAUAGGAGCUGAGGUAAUCUUGUAGUACCUCUUCUUUUAGUCUUGUGUGUCAGCAUUUAUUCAACAAUUUUCUGUUUAUAUAUGCGAACAUAUGUCGUCAACUCAACUCAUCAGCAACCAAUAUUUUUUGUUAGUUCAUUUUGGUACUGGUUUAGUCAAGAGAUCUUAAACUAGUUAGGUAGGAAAUCUUAAACUAUUUUUUGUAUAUGUGGAUCUGUUUUUUGGCUCAGUUUAUGUGUGAUAGCACUUUCUAUUGGAUAUUAAUUUUUUCAGAGGAAAAAUAAAUUUUCCCAUAUAUCUUCCGAAUUUUUGAAAAGUCUGAGUACUGGAUUGGCAUUUUCAAAGUUUAAUAUUUUUUUGAGUUUUUAAAAUGAGUUUCUUUCUACUCGCAGGUCACUUUUUUGUAUCAGUUGUAUUUUAGCAUGAGCUUCACUAUGCAAUUUUUUCUCGUUUGUUCCUGAUGCCUUUUUAGUGCCUUUUUUCCUUUUCGUUACAUGUUAGCCUUGAUUGAAUUUAUUUUUUUCUUUUCUGCAGCCAGUUAAGAGGAAGGCUGACAUUGUUGCUAUCAGUCCAAUUAGUUUUGGUGUCAGGCAAGGCGAAUUAGCCAAGAAUGCAGAUCAUGUGUACAACAAUCUAAUCAGACCAAUUGCAAAGCGUCAACACCAAUCACCAGUUCGGGUGCUAGAGGUUGUUGACGUGCCAGAAGACAGUGAUAAUUAUAUCAUUAUCGAUGAGCUUGCACCAGACGCCGUUCUCAACAAAGGCGCAAAGGAUGAUUUGAUAAUUCUUCAACCAAAAAGUCUCUUGGAACUCCCAAUAGAGGAAAACGAAAAUUUCCCUGUGUCAAACGAAGACUGUAUGCAUUACAACUCAAUAAUCGAACUUGCCUAUACAAAGGGCAUUCAGAAGUAUGUCAAACAGUUCCCUUUAGCCUGUUGUUAAGUAUUUUUUUACUCACUAGUCUUUUUACAUGUUUUAUUGUAUGUGCUCUAUCAUAUUAUUUUGUACGAUACCAUAAUUUAUACUCCCCUUUUUCAAGUUUCAUGAUAAGUUUUUCUGUUCUCUGUGGCAACAACAGGAGGUAUGCGUUGACGUAUUCAAUGGUUCAUUGUAAUUAUGUAUCACUUGGUCAAAGCCUUAUGCCAACUGGCAAAGUCGACAAUUUCUUGAUCCCAUGUUUUUGUCGUAAGUUCUUUGAGGACCGUCAUCCCACAAUCUCUGGAAGGCACCAUUUUUUUCCUCAUAUUGGUGUAUGUUUCUAGUUUUGCUCAUCAUAUUUUUUUCUUUUGUUGGCUUCUUACUUUCCCUCCACUUGCAAUUCUGUAAUCUUUCUUGUAUUUUCUGCCUCCCCCUAGGAGAACAUACUGCACUACACAAACGAAGACCAACUAAAAUCGAUUGCCACUUCGUUCUUGGGGGCAGCAUCAGCAAGUAGGGGUAAACGGCCUGAAUUAUCAGACACGGUGUGUUCUUCUAUGUCCUUUUUCUUUGUUCUUUUCCUUCUUAUUUUAUUUUUCCAUUUUGACAUUAUUUCUCCAAAUUUAUAAUAUGUUAUUUUCCUUCUUAUUUUCAUUGUAUGUCUGUUUUUUUGAGUAUUUGUUCAUUACCAUUUCAUCAUUGUUUAUUUCAUUAUUCUGUUUUCAUCAGUAUUGCCGCCCGUAGGCUAGCUGAUGGGGUCAUAGUCCUAGGGUAGGGUCAUAGGCCUGCCAUACAGGUCCUACCCAAGGACUACCCCACACAAAGGACAGGACCCUAAGUCUGCCCCGACUGAAUUAAGGAGUCCCCAUCAUCCAGUCGGUAACAGGCCCUGAAUCUUCCAGUCGGAGACUAGCAUUCGGAGCACACCAGGCUAACCGACUAAAUACACUCGGUACAUCGUAACCUCUCUGGAGAGAAACUGCCGUACGUUUCCGGGCGCAUUUAUUAGCGUUUAGAGCAUACGUUACCUGUAACGUACGCAUUCAACCCCCGUUACUCCACCCCUGUACCGGAACCGUUGUGGAGGGCAGCACACUCUAUAUAAGCCACCCUCCCCCACUGGUAAAGGGGUUAGCAAAUCAUUGUAUUCCAUAUUACACUCGGCAACACGCUCCGAGAGCACUGAGACGUAGGGCUGUUACCUCCACCGCAGAGGGGCCUGAACUCAUACAACCUCGCCGUAGCUAGGACUCUGCCCAUCUCAUUCGUACCCUACACAUCUACUGUCAGGCUUAUACCCACGACAGUUGGCACCCACCUUGGGGCAGGCGUCUAAGCGACUUCCGGCGAGUUUGCGACUACUUCCUUUCGUCAUGUCGACCGGCGGAGAUUCGAGCAUGGGUCACCUGAUCUUCUUCGGCGCCCUCUUCUUCAUCGUCGACGAUUCGGCGUGGCUUCGGGAGGCACCUCUCGACGUCGAGGCGCUUCCCCGUCGCGGGGCCACGCACUUCCGUGCCGGCGCUCGCGGCGUUCUUCUUCUCCAACAAUCGGCUCCGUUGUCGGCUUGUACCUCCAUCAUGCGCCGCAACAAGCGGUCCCGCAGUCCGCGUCUCCAACGUUGGGUGCAGCAUGCCCGAGCGCGUCAGAUCGCGUCUUCUCAAGUGGCAGUUCUGGAGUCUGUUGUGGUUGCCCCGCGUUUGAAAAGGACGUGGAUGUCGCCUAGAGGGGGGGGGUGAAUAGGCGCUUUAAAAUAGUUAAGGUUUAGGCUAGAACAAAUGCGGAAUAAAAGUAACGUUUAAUAUGUCAAGCACAAAACCUACAAACAACUAGGCUCACCUAUGUGCACCAACAACUUAUGCUAAGCAAGAUAAACAACUAAGUGAUAGCAAGAUAUAUUACAAUAAACAAUAUGUCUAUCACAAAGUAAAGUGCAUAAGUAAAGGGUUCGGGUAAGAGAUAACCGAGGCACGGGGAGACGAUGAUGUAUCCCGAAGUUCACACCCUUGCGGAUGCUAAUCUCCGUUAGAGCGGUGUGGAGGCACAAUGCUCCCCAAGAUGCCACUAAGGCCAUCGUAAUCUCUUCACGCCCUCGCACAAUGCAAGAUGUCAUGAUUCCACUAAGGGACCCUUGAGGGCGGUCAUCGAACCCGUACAAAUGGCAACCCUUGGGGGCGGUCACCGAACCCGUACAAAUGGCAACCCUUGGGGGCGGUCACCGAACCCGUACACGUGGCAACCCUUGGGGGCGGUUACCGGUACCUGUACAAAUUGCUCGGGGCAAUCUCCACAACCUAAUUGGUGACCCCGACGCUUCCCGGAGCUUCACACCACAAUGAUUGAGCUCCGAGACACCACCAAGCUUCUAGGACGCCAAAGCAUCCACGAAGAACAAUAUCAAGGGUAUUAAGUACCAAAGGUAGUAAGCUUCUCAACUUCUCACUUCCACGUAUCACCGUGGAGAACUCAAACCGAUGCAACUAAUGCAAUGGCAAGAACACACGAAGUGGUCAAGUCCCUCACACUCAAAUCCCUCCACAACAACAAAAGCUAUGGAGAAAUAUGAGAGGAAGAACAAGGAGCUCACAAAGAACUCCAAGAUCAAGAUCCAAGGGGUUCCCCUCACAUAGAGGAGAAAGUGAUUGGUGGAGAUGUGGAUCUAGAUCUCCUCUCUCUUUUCCCUCAAGAACAAGCAAGAAUCAUUGGAGGGAUAGAGAGUAAUCAAGCUCUAAGAAUGUCAAUAAUGGAGGUAGAACAAGAGCUCAACAGAUGGAUAAGACCAAGGGGGAAGAAGACCCCCUUUAUAUAGUGGGGGAAGGAAUCAGACCGUUACCCCCACUUUCUGCCCGAGCUCCAGCGGUACUACCGCUGGCUGCAGCGGUACUACCGCUGGCACUCCAGCGGUACUACCGCCAGCUAGCGGUACUACCGCUAGCUGCAGCGGUACUACCGCUGGCACUCCAGCGGUACUACCGCUGGGCCCAUGGUAGUGCAACGGCACUACCACCGCCAAGAAAGUCUUCGCAAAAAGGUCCGUCCACGAACAACCGCUAGACAGGCGGUACUAAGCUCCUGGAGCGGUACUACCGCUGACCAGGGGCGGUACUACUGCCAGUCAGCGGUACUACCACUAGGGCCAGCGGUACUACCGCCAACUCCAGCGGUACUACCGCUAGGUCCAGCGGUACUACCGCUCGCCACUGAAACAGCCAUAACUUUCGCAUACGAGCUCCGAAUCGAGCAAACCCAAGCUUGUUGGAUUCAGGACGACAAGGGCUAUCCAAACAACGGUUAUGAAUAUGCCAAUGAUAUAAAGAUGUGAGAUCUCUAUGAAUGAAGAACCGGCAAAAACUCCAACAUCGAAAACAUCAUAGUAGUUGCAUAUGGACUCCGUUUUCGAUGAACUCGAGCUUGUCAUGAAGAUGACCAUAAGCUCUAAAACUCACAAAGAGAAACACCAAAUAAGAACCAAGAAGUAUGAUGCAAGGAUGCAAAUGGUUUGAGCUCUCAACGAACGAUACGAUCAAGCUACUCACUUGAGAGCCCCCUUGAUAGUGCAGCAAUCUAUCCUAAAUAGAAAACCUAUCAAGGGCAAACCUAUACCUUACACCUCGUCCUCUUGAGCUAGAUGAUGAUGAUCUUGGCUUCCUCAAGAUGGACCACCUUUCUUGAUUGUGUUGGCUUGAUGAAGACUAGUUGAUUGCUCCCCCAUACUCACUAUGGGUGAGCCACUCUUCAGCAUAUCUUCACAAGUCCAUUGCCACCACAAUGGACGGCAAGCUUCAAGCAUGAUAUCUUCGUGCUGAUCCACUUGAACUUGCACAUCGCAAUCUUGAUGACGAUCACAACUUGACGUCAUACUCCAUGGGUUGUAUGAGAUCUUCCCUUUGACGCAAGCCCAUGGAAACACACCUAACCCCCACAUAGAACUCUCACGAAGACCAUGGGUUAGUACACAAACACGUAAUGGACAAUGCUUACCAUACCAUGGGAUCACUUGAUCCCUCUCGGUACAUCUUGUACGCUUUUUGUGUUGAUCAUCUUGAUUUACUCUUUGUCUAAGAUCUUGAUCAACCAUUGAUGAUGAUCACAUCUUGACGUCAUACUCCAUGGGUUGUAUGACAUCUUCCCUUUGACGCAAGCCCAUGUAAACACACCAUACCAUGGGAUCACUUGAUUCCUCUCGGUACAUCUUGUACGCUUUGUGUGUUGAUCAUCUUGAUUUACUCUUUGUCUGAGACCUUGAUCAACCAUGUGUCUCUAUGACCAUUCUUUGGAUAAUACCUUGAAUACCAUCUUGGUCAUCAUAUAAACUCCUUGAACCCAACAGAUGGACUUCAAGAAGUGCCUAUGGACAAAUCCAUACCAUGGGAUCACUUGAUCCAUACCAUGAGAUCACUUGAUCCCUCUCGGUACAUCUUGUACGCUUUGUGUGUUGAUCAUCUUGAUUUACUCUUUGUCUGAGAUCUUGAUCAACCAUGUGUCUCUAUGACCAUUCUUUGGAUACUACCUUGAAUACCAUCUUGGUCAUCAUAUAAACUCCUUGAACCCAACAGAUAGACUUCAAGAAGUGCCUAUGGACAAAUCCUAUAAAUGUAACUUAAGGCAACCAUUAGUCCAUAGGAAUUGUCAUCAAGUACCAAAACCACAUAUGGAGAUAUAUGUUCCAACAGCGUUCCUAGUGCUCGGGCUCGGUUCCGACUGAGUUCCCUUCCGAGUACGCAGGUCGCGGGCCUGCAGCAGAAGUACACAUGGCCAACUCCCAUGAAGAUCCCCGUCAAGCUGGCCGGAGCGAGCGCGAGAUCGGUGAAGCAUCCGGUGCACGCCGUCCACCUCGCCGUUCUGCCAGUCGGCACACUCGGCGGAGCAACGUACAGUUGUUCCGCACACCUCUCCUCAACUUGGCUGCGGCUGCCAAGAUUGCCGAUUCCCUCCACCCGACUGAUUCAGAGGCAGGAAGGGGAAUCGAGCAGAUCCGAGCUCUGUUGCACACGGCGCAGCAGCAGAAUUCGGCAGUCUCCCAGUCGCACAACCGAAUCUACAAUAGUUCCGUCCAUGCAAACACGCAUCGGUCGGUUCACAGCCCUGGUUCCCAUCAGCACCACAGGGGAGGCAGCCGCUCCAUGAUCCACGAAGAUCGCCGCCGCUCACGCACCCCUCCGCGGGGUGGGCCUAUGGGUCCCGGCAUCAUGAUGAUCGGCGUUCAGUCGGCGAAUCGCCCAGCGAAGGGUCGACAGGGGUCGAGCCCACCGCGAUGGUCACGAUAUGGGCCGUCCAAGCGGAAGCAGGACCAUCGUGUCCGGCCCCGAGUGUUUUAGUCGAGCCAUCCGCUCGGCUGACAUCCCGCCCAACUGUUGGAAUUAUGCCCUAGAGGCAAUAAUAAAUAUAGUUAUUAUUAUAAUUCCUGUAUCAAGAUAAUCGUUUAUUAUCCAUGCUAUAAUUGUAUUGAAUGAAGACUCAUUUACAUGUGUGGAUACAUAGACAAAACACCGUCCCUAGCAAGCCUCUAGUUGGCUAGCCAGUUGAUCAAAGAUAGUCAGUGUCUUCUGAUUAUGAACAAGGUGUUGUUGCUUGAUAACUGGAUCACGUCAUUAGGAGAAUCACGUGAUGGAUUAGACCCAAACUAAUAGACGUAGCAUGUUGAUCGUGUCAUUUUGUUGCUACUGUUUUCUGCGUGUCAAGUAUUUAUUCCUAUGACCAUGAGAUCAUAUAACUCACUGACACCGGAGGAAUGCUUUGUGUGUAUCAAACGUCGCAACGUAACUGGGUGACUAUAAAGAUGCUCUACAGGUGUCUCCGAAGGUGUUAGUUGAGUUAGUAUGGAUCAAGACUGGGAUUUGUCACUCCGUGUGACGGAGAGGUAUCUCGGGGCCCACUCGAUAAUACAACAUCACACACAAGCCUUGCAAGCAAUGUGACUUAGUGUAAGUUGCGGGAUCUACGGAACGAUUAAAGUGACUUGCCGGUAAACGAGAUUGAAAUAGGUAUAUGGAUACUGACGAUCGAAUCUCGGUCAAGUAACAUACCGAAGGACAAAGGGAAUGACAUACGGGAUUAUAUGAAUCCUUGGCACUGAGGUUCAAAUGAUAAGAUCUUCGUAGAAUAUGUAGGAUCCAAUAUGGGCAUCUAGGUCCCGCUAUUGGAUAUUGACCGAGGAGUCUCUCGGGUCAUGUCUACAUAGUUCUCGAACCCGCAGGGUCUGCACACUUAAGGUUCGACGUUGUUUUAUCCGUAUUUGAGUUAUAUGGUUGGUUACCGAAUGUUGUUCGGAGUCCCGGAUGAGAUCACGGACGUCACGAGUGUUUCCGGAAUGGUCCGGAAACGAAGAUUGAUAUAUAGGAUGACCUCAUUUAAUUACCGGAAGGUUUUCGGAGUUACCGGGAAUGUACCGGGAAUGACGAAUGGGUUCCGGGAGUUCACCGGGGGGGGCAACCCACCCCGGAGAAGCCCAUAGGCCUUGAGGGUGGCACACCAGCCCUUAGUGGGCUGGUGGGACAGCCCAAAAGGGCUCUAUGCGCCAAGAAGAAAAAAUCAAGAGAAAAGAAAAAAAGGGAGGAGGUGGGAAGGAAGGGGGACUCCCUCCCACCAAACCAAGUCCAACUCGGUUUGGGGGGGAGUCCUCCCCCCUUGGACUCGGCCGACCCCCUUGGGGCUCCUUGAGCCCCAAGGCAAGGUCCCCUCCCUCCCACCUAUAUAUACGGAGGUAUUGGGGCUGAUUUGAGACGACUUUUCCACGGCAGCCCGACCACAUACCUCCACGGUUUUUCCUCUAGAUCGCGUUUCUGCGGAGCUCGGGCGGAGCCCUGCUGAGACAAGGUCAUCACCAACCUCUGGAGCGCCGUCACGCUGCCGGAGAACUCUUGUACCUCUCCGUCUCUCUUGCUGGAUCAAGAAGGCCGAGAUCAUCGUCGAGUUGUACGUGUGCUGAACGCGGAGGUGCCGUCCGUUCGGUACUAGAUCGUGGGACUGAUCGCGGGAUUGUUCGCGGGGCGGAUCGAGGGACGUGAGGACGUUCCACUACAUCAACCGCGUUCUCUAACGCUUCUGCUGUACGGUCUACAAGGGUACGUAGAUCACUCAUCCCCUCUCGUAGAUGGACAUCACCAUGAUAGGUCUUCGUGCGCGUAGGAAAUUUUUUGUUUCCCAUGCGACGUUCCCCAACAGUGGCAUCAUGAGCUAGGUUCAUGCGUAGAUGUCUUCUCGAGUAGAACACAAAAGUCUUUGUGGGCGGUGAUGUGCGUUUUGCUGCCCUCCUUAGUAUUUUCUUGAUUCCGCAGUAUUGUUGGAUUGAAGCGGCUUGGACCGACAUUACUCGUACGCUUACGAGAGACUGGUUUCAUCGCUACGAGUAACCCCGUUGCUCAAAGAUGACUGGCAAGUGUCGGUUUCUCCAACUUUAGUUGAAUCGGAUUUGACCGAGGAGGUCCUUGGAUGAGGUUAAAUAGCAACUCAUAUAUCUCCGUUGUGGUGUUUGCGUAAGUAAGAUGCGAUCCUACUAGAUACCCAUGGUCACCACGUAAAACAUGCAACAACAAAAUUAGAGGACGUCUAACUUGUUUUUGCAGGGUAUGCUUGUGAUGUGAUAUGGCCAACGAUGUGAUGUGAUAUAUUGGAUGUAUGAGAUGAUCAUGUUGUAAUAGAAAAUAUCGACUUGCACGUCGAUGGUACGGCAACCGGCGGGAGCCAUAGGGUUGUCUUUAUACUAAUGUUUGUGCUUGCAGAUGCGUUCACUAUUUUUCUAGGAUGUAGCUUUAGUAGUAAUAGCAUGAGUAGCACGCCAACCCUGAUGGCAACACGUUGAUGGAAAUCAUGGUGUGGCGCUGGUGACAAGAAGAUCGUGUCGGUGCUUUGAUGAUGGAGAUCAAGAAGCACAUGAUGAUGGCCAUAUCAUGUCACUUAUGAAUUGCAUGUGAUGUUAAUCCUUUUAUGCACCUUGUUUUGCUUAGAACGACGGUAGCAUUAUGAGGUGAUCUCUCACUAAAAUUUCAAGACGAAAUUGUGUUCUCCCCGACUGUGCACCGUUGCUACAGUUCAUCGUUUCGAGACACCACGUGAUGAUCGGGUGUGAUAGACUCAACGUUCACAUACAACGGGUGCAAAACAGUUGCGCACGCGGAACACUCGGGUUAAGCUUGACGAGCCUAGCAUGUGCAGACAUGGCCUCGGAACACAUGAGACCGAAAGGUCGAUCAUGAAUCAUAUAGAUGAUAUGAUUAGCAUAGGGAUGCUUACCACUGAAACUAUGCUCAACUCACGUGAUGAUCGGACUUGAGCUAGUGUAAGUGGAUCAUGAACCACUCAAAUGACUAAAGAGAUGUACUUUUUGAGUGGGAGUUUAGCGAAUAAAUUGAUUAAGUUAAACUCUAAUUAUCUUGAACAUAGUCUAAGUCCACUUUGAAUAUAUUUGUGUUGUAGAUCAUGGCUCACGCGACAGUCAUCCUGAAUUUUAAUACGUUCCUAGAGAAAGCUAAGUUGAAAGAUGAUGGAAGCAACUUUGUAGACUGGGCUCGUAAUCUUAAGCUAAUCUUACAAGCUGGGAAGAAGGAUUAUGUCCUUAAUGCUGCGCUAGGAGAUGAACCACCCGCUACGGCUGAUCAGGAUGUUAAGAACGCUUGGUUAGCACGUAAGGAGGACUACUCAAUAGUUCAAUGUGCAGUCUUGUAUGGCUUAGAACCGGGACUUCAACGUCGCUUUGAGCGUCAUGGAGCAUUUGAGAUGUUCCAAGAGUUGAAGUUUAUCUUUCAGAAGAACGCCCGGAUCGAGAGGUAUGAGACCUCCGAUAAAUUCUAUGCUUGCAAGAUGGAGGAAAACUCGUCUGUCAGUGAACAUGUGCUCAAAAUGUCUGGGUACUCAAACCGUCUAGCUGAGCUGGGGAUUGAACUCCCACAAGAAGCUAUCACUGACAGAAUCCUUCAAUCACUGCCGCCAAGCUAUAAAGGCUUUGUGUUGAACUACAACAUGCAAGGGAUGAACAAGUCUCCCGGCGAGUUGUUUGCGAUGCUGAAAGUCGCACAGUCUGAACUCCGUAAAGAGCAUCAAGUGUUGAUGGUGAAUAAGACCACUAGUUUCAAGAGAAACGGCAAGGGCAAGAAGGGUAAUUCGAAGAAGAGCGGCAAGCCUGUUGCCAAUCCAACGAAGAAACCCAAAGCUGGACCUAAGCCUGAAACAGAGUGUUACUAUUGCAAGGGUAUGGGUCACUGGAAGCGCAAUUGCCCCAAGUAUGUGGCAGAUAAGAAGGCGGCCAAAGAAAAAUCAGGUAUAUUUGAUAUACAUGUUAUUGAUGUGUACUUAACCGACUCUCGUAGUAGUGCCUGGGUAUUCGACACCGGUUCUGUUGCUCAUAUUUGCAACUCGAAACAGGAACUGCGGAAUAGACGAAGGCUAGCGAAAGAUGAAGUGACGAUGCGCGUAGGAAAUGGUUCCAAGGUUGAUGCAAUCGCCGUCGGCACAGUGUCACUUCAGUUACCAUCAGGAUUAGUGAUGAACUUAAAUCAUUGUUAUUUAGUGCCUGCGUUGAGCAUGAACAUUAUAUCUGGAUCUUGUUUAUUGCGAGACGGUUACUCUUUUAAGUCAGAGAAUAAUGGUUGUUCUAUUUCUAUGAGUAACAUCUUUUAUGGUCAUGCACCGAAUGUGAGAGGAUUGUUCAUAUUGAAUCUUGAUAGCGAUACACAUAUACAUAACAUUGAGACCAAAAGAGUUAGAGUUAACAAUGAUAGCGCCAUAUUUUUGUGGCACUGCCGCUUAGGUCAUAUUGGUGUAAAGCGCAUGAAGAAACUCCAUGCUGAUGGACUUUUGGAGUGACUUGACUUUGAUUCACUUGACACGUGCGAACCAUGCCUCAUGGGCAAGAUGACUAAGACUCCGUUCUCCGGAACAAUGGAGCAUGCAAGUGCCUUGUUGGAAAUCAUACAUACCGAUGUGUGUGGUCCGAUGAGCGUGGAGGCACGCGGCGGAUAUCGUUAUUUUCUCACCUUCACGGACGAUUUGAGUAGAUAUGGUUAUGUCUACUUGAUGAAGCACAAGUCUGAAACAUUUGAAAAGUUCAAACAAUUUCAGAGUGAAGUGGAAAAUCAUCGUAACAAGAAGAUCAAGUUCCUACGGUCUGAUCGUGGGGGUGAAUAUCUGAGUUUCGAGUUUGGUGCUCACUUAAGACAAUGUGGAAUUGUUUCACAGUUAACAUCGCCUGGAACACCACAGCGUAAUGGUGUGUCCGAACGUCGUAAUCGUACUCUAUUAGAGAUGGUGCGAUCCAUGAUGUCUCUUACCGAUUUGCCGUUGUCAUUUUGGGGUUAUGCAUUAGAAACAGCUGCAUUCACUUUAAAUAGGGUACCAUCAAAAUCCGUUGAGACGACACCAUUCGAACUGUGGUAUGGUAAAAGGCCAAAGUUGUCUUUUCUUAAAGUUUGGGGAUGUGAUGCUUAUGUCAAAAAGCUUCAGCCUGAAAAGCUGGAACCCAAAGCGGAAAAGUGCGUCUUCAUAGGUUACCCAAAAGAGACAGUUGGGUACACCUUCUAUCUCAAAUCCGAGGGCAAAGUGUUUGUUGCUAAAAACGGAGCUUUUCUCGAGAAGGAGUUUCUCUCGAGAGAAUUGAGUGGGAGGAAGAUAGAACUUGACGAGGUUGUCGAACCUCUCAUCCCUCUGGAUGGUGGCGCAGGGCAAGGGGAAACCUCUGUCGUUGCGACGCCGGUUAAGGAGGAAGUUAAUGAUGAUGAUCAUGAAACUCCAGUUCAAGUUUCUGUCGAACCACGCAGGUCGACGAGACCACGUGCUGCUCCAGAGUGGUACGGAAAUCCCGUCUUAUCAAUCAUGUUGUUAGACAACAAUGAACCUGCAAAUUAUGAAGAAGCAAUGGUGGGCCCAGAUUCCAACAAAUGGCUAGAAGCCAUGAAGUCCGAGAUAGGAUCCAUGUAUGAGAACAAAGUAUGGACUUUGGAGGUACUACCUGAGGGCCGCAAGGCUAUUCAGAACAAAUGGAUCUUUAAGAGGAAGACGGACGCUGACGGCAAUGUGACCGUUUAUAAAGCUCGACUUGUGGCAAAAGGUUUUUCACAAGUUCAAGGAGUUGACUACGAUGAAACAUUCUCACCCAUAGCGAUGCUUAAGUCCGUCAGAAUCAUGUUAGCAAUAGCUGCAUUUUUCGAUUAUGAAAUCUGGCAGAUGGAUGUCAAAACAGCGUUCCUUAACGAUUUCCUUAAGGAAGAGUUGUAUAUGAUACAACCCGAAGGUUUUGUCGAUCCUAAGAAUGCUAACAAGGUGUGCAAGCUCCAGGGAUCCAUUUAUGGACUGGUGCAAGCAUCUCGGAGUUGGAACAAACGCUUUGAUGAGGUGAUCAAAGCAUUUGGGUUUAUACAAGUGGUUGGAGAAUCUUGUAUUUACAAGAAAGUGAGUGGGAGCUCUGUGGCGUUUCUAAUAUUAUAUGUGGAUGACAUAUUACUGAUUGGAAACAACGUAGAGUUUUUGGAGAGCAUAAAGGGUUACUUGAAUAAAAGUUUCUCUAUGAAGGACCUAGGAGAAGCUGCUUACAUUCUAGGCAUUAAGAUCUAUAGGGAUAGAUCAAAACGCCUGAUAGGACUUUCACAAAGAACAUACCUUGAUAAAGUUUUGAAGAGGUUCAAAAUGGAACAGUCCAAGAAAGGGUUCUUGCCAGUUCUACAAGGUACGAGAUUGAGUAAGACUCAGUGCCCAGCAACUGAUGAAGAUAGAGAGCAUAUGCGCUCCGUCCCCUAUGCUUCAGCCAUAGGUUCUAUCAUGUAUGCAAUGUUGUGCACUAGACCGGAUGUUAGCCUGGCCAUAAGUAUGGCAGGUAGGUUUCAGAGUAAUCCAGGAGUGGAUCACUGGACAGCGAUCAAGAAUAUCCUGAAGUACCUGAAAAGGACUAAGGAGUGUAUGGAGGUGACGAAGAGCUCGCUGUAAAAGGUUACGUCGAUGCAAGCUUUGACACAGAUCUGGACGACUCUAAGUCGCAAACCGGAUACGUAUUUAUUCUUAAUGGGGGUGCGGUAAGCUGGUGCAGUUCCAAGAAAAGCGUCGUAGCAGAUUCUACAUGUGAAGCGGAGUACAUGGCUGCCUCGGAGGCGGCCAAGGAGGGUGUCAGGAUGAAGCAGUUCAUGACGGAUCUUGGAGUGGUGCCAAGCACACUGAAUCCAAUAACCUUGUUCUGUGACAACACGGGUGCCAUUGCCUUAGCAAAGGAACCACGGUUUCACAAGAAAACCAGACACAUCAAACGACGCUUCAACCUCAUCCGCGACUACGUCGAGGGAGAGGACGUAAAUAUAUGCAAAGUGCACACGGAUCUGAAUGCAGCAGACCCGCUGACUAAACCUCUUCCACGGCCAAAGCAUGAUCAACACUAGAACUGUAUGGGUGUUAGAUUUAUUACAAUGUAAUUCACAUGAUGAUGUGAGGGCUAGAUUAUUGACUCUAGUGCAAGUGGGAGACUGUAGGAAUUAUGCCCUAGAGGCAAUAAUAAAUAUAGUUAUUAUUAUAAUUCCUGUAUCAAGAUAAUCGUUUAUUAUCCAUGCUAUAAUUGUAUUGAAUGAAGACUCAUUUACAUGUGUGGAUACAUAGACAAAACACCGUCCCUAGCAAGCCUCUAGUUGGCUAGCCAGUUGAUCAAAGAUAGUCAGUGUCUUCUGAUUAUGAACAAGGUGUUGUUGCUUGAUAACUGGAUCACAUCAUUAGGAGAAUCACGUGAUGGACUAGACCCAAACUAAUAGACCUAGCAUGUUGAUCGUGUCAUUUUGUUGCUACUGUUUUCUGCGUGUCAAGUAUUUAUUCCUAUGACCAUGAGAUCAUAUAACUCACUGACACCGGAGGAAUGCUUUGUGUGUAUCAAACGUUGCAACGUAACUAGGUGACUAUAAAGAUGCUCUACAGGUGUCUCCGAAGGUGUUAGUUGAGUUAGUAUGGAUCAAGACUGGGAUUUGUCACUCCGUGUGACGGAGAGGUAUCUCGGGGCCCACUCGGUAAUACAACAUCACACACAAGCCUUGCAAGCAAUGUGACUUAGUGUAAGUUGCGGGAUCUUGUAUUACGGAACGAGUGAAGAGACUAGCCGGUAAACGAGAUUGAAAUAGGUAUACGGAUACUGACGAUCGAAUCUCGGGCAAGUAACAUACCGAAGGACAAAGGGAAUGACAUACGGGAUUAUAUGAAUCCUUGGCACUGAGGUUCAAACGAUAAGAUCUUCGUAGAAUAUGUAGGAUCCAAUAUGGGCAUCCAGGUCCCGCUAUUGGAUAUUGACCGAGGAGUCUCUCGGGUCAUGUCUACAUAGUUCUCGAACCCGCAGGGUCUGCACACUUAAGGUUCGACGUUGUUUUAUGCGUAUUUGAGUUAUAUGGUUGGUUAACGAAUGUUGUUCGGAGUCCCGGAUGAGAUCACGGACGUCACGAGGGUUUCCGGAAUGGUCCGGAAACGAAGAUUGAUAUAUAGGAUGACCUCAUUUAAUUACCGAAAGUUUUUCGGAGUUACCGGGAAUGUACCGGGAAUGGCGAAUGGGUUCCGGAAGUUCACCGGGGGGGAGCAACCCACCCCGGGGAAGCCCAUAGGCCAUGAGGGUGGCGCACCAGCCCUUAGUGGGCUGUUGGGACAGCCCAAAAGGGCCCUAUGCGCCAUACAAAAGAAAAUCAAAGAGAAAGAAAAAAAAGGGAGGUGGGAAGGAAGGGAAGGACUCUCACCCACCAAACCAAGUCCAACUCGGUUUGGGGGGAGCCUUCCCCCCUUGGACUCGGCCGACCCCCUUGGGGCUCCUUGAGCCCCAAGGCAAGGUACCCUCCCUCCCACCUAUAUAUACGGAGGUAUUGGGGGUGAUUUGAGACGACUUUUCCACGGCAGCCCGACCACAUACCUCCACCGUUUUUCCUCUAGAUCGCGUUUCUGCGGAGCUCGGGCGGAGCCCUGCUGAGACAAGGUCAUCACCAACCUCCGGAGCGUCGUCACGCUGCCGGAGAACUCUUCUACCUCUCCGUCUCUCUUGCUGGAUCAAGAAGGCCGAGAUCAUCGUCGAGCCGUACGUGUGCUGAACGCGGAGGUGCCGUCCGUUCGGUACUAGAUCGUGGGACUGAUCGCGGGAUUGUUCGCGGGGCGGAUCGAGGGACGUGAGGACGUUCCACUACAUCAACCGCGUUCUCUAACGCUUCUGCUGUACGGUCUACAAGGGUACGUAGAUCACUCAUCCCCUCUCGUAGAUGGACAUCACCAUGAUAGGUCUUCGUGCGCGUAGGAAUAUUUUUGUUUCCCAUGCGACGUUCCCCAACACCAACUUCCGAUUGGCCGCGGGAAUCGGUAAAUUUACGGGGGAAUCCAAGCCUGAAACAUGGCUAGACGACUACCGAGUGGCAGUUCAGAUCGGAGGAGGGGACGACCAUGUCGCUAUGAAGCACCUCCCUCUGAUGCUCAACGGCUCGGCGUGAGCGUGGCUGAACCAGUUGGCCCCCUCGAGCAUUUACAGUUGGGCAGAUCUGGCCCGAGUGUUCAUCAGGACUUUUGAAGGGACGUGCAAACGCCCUGCAGGCCUUGUGAAGCUCCAGCACUGUGUCCAGAAGCCGAAUGAGCCCCUGCGCGACUUCAUCCAGCGUUGGACAACCCUCUACCACACGGUGGAGAACGUCACCGAGCAUCAAGCAGUGUGCGCCUUCAAGGCAGGCGUGCGGUACAGAGAGCUGUACCUAAAGUUCGGUCGAACAGGCGACAUCUCCAUGAGCAAGAUGAUGGAGAUAGCAGCUCGCUAUGCAAAUGGCGAGGAAGAGGACCGCAUCCGGAGCGGCAAGCACAAGACAGUCGGCGAUGUCGACGGAGGUAAUACUCGGAAGCAGAAACAUAAGGUUCCGCCCACACCGCAAGCAGAAGCUGUAGUCGUGACUAGUGCCAAGUUCAAGGGCAAAGGGAAGGCGCAGUUUACCCCCAAGAAGAAGCCAUUCAACAAUCCUAUCUUGGACCAGCCUUGUCCGGUUCACACGAAGAUGGACGAAGAAGGCAACCCCAUAUACGCAAAGCAUACCACUCGACAGUGUCGUCUCCUGAUCCAGGGGUUCAGCGAGGGACAACCGAGUGAGAAGGAUCCUGAACAAGAUGAGGAGGAUAAGGAGGAUCAGUUCCCCCAAGUCCAUGCAACCCUCAUGAUUUUUGCUGACAUCGAAAGCAAGAGUCGACUGAAGCUGGUGAACAGGGAGGUCAACAUGGCCGUUCCGACCAACCCCAAGUUCCUUAAAUGGUCUCAGACUGCGAUCACCUUUGACCAGUCGGAUCAUCCAGCGCAUAUACCCACCCCAGGAAGACAGGCUCUGGUCGUCGACCCGGUGGUGGAAGGAGUCCGACUACGCAAAGUCCUCAUGGACGGCGGUAGCGGGCUGAACAUCAUGUACGCCGACACUCUCAAGGGAAUGGGCAUUCCGAUGUCCAGACUCAGCGAGAGCAGUAUGCAGUUCCACGGAGUCGUCCCUGGACGGAAGGCCAAGUCACUCGGCCAGAUCGCGCUGGACGUCGUUUUCGGCUCCGACAAGAACUUUCGCAAGGAGAAGCUCACAUUUGAGGUGGUGGAUUUCCAGAGCGCUUACCAUGCAAUUCUGGGCCGUCCAGCAUAUGUGAGCUUCAUGGCACGUCCAUGCUAUAUAUACUUGAAGUUGAAGAUGCCAGGCCCGAAAGGCGUGAUCACCAUCACGGGCAACCGUCAGCGAGCCGAAGAGUGUUUGCAGCAGGGAUCAAGAAUCGCCGAUCAGCAGAUGGUUGUACUUGAGCUCGACGAGUACAAGAAGACAGUCGACCCUGCCGACCUGAUGCGCUCAAAGAAACCAGCUUCUGAGUCCACGUUUCAGUCGGCGGGGGAGACGAAGAAGGUCAGCAUCCACCCGACGGACGACUCUGCCGCCCCGACGAACAUCUCCACCACCCUCGAUCCUAAAUAGGAAGCCGAGCUCACCCAAUUCCUCCGUGAGAACUGGGACAUCUUCGCAUGGAAACCCUCUGACAUGCCAGGUGUGCCCAGGGAGUUGGCUGAGCACCGACUGCAUGUGGAUCCCGUCGCUCGGCCAGUUCGAGAGCGCCUGCGCCGGUCCGCCGCGCACAAGAGGAAGGCGAUCGGAGAAGAGGUGGCCAAGUUGUUGGCCGCCAACUUCAUUCGCGAGGUUCACCACUCCGAGUGGCUCGCAAAUGUUGUCAUGGUGCCCAAGAAGGACAAGUCGCUCCGAAUGUGCAUCGACUUCAAGCAUCUCAACAAGGUCUGCCCGAAAGACCAUUUUCCGCUCCCCUGCACAGAUCAAAUUGUCGAUUCGACUGCGGGAUGCGAGCGUUUGUCGUUUCUUGAUGCCUACUCGGGCUAUCAUCAGAUCCGUUUGUAUGGUCCCGAUGAGUUAAAAACAGCCUUCAUCACCCCAUUCGGGUGCUUCUGCUACAUCACUAUGCCUUUCGGUCUGAAGAAUGCAGGAGCUACCUUUAUGCGCAUGAUCCAAAAAUGUCUCCUCGACCAGAUCGGUCGGAAUGUGGAGGCAUAUAUGGUUGAUAUCGUAGUCAAGUCACACAAAGGUUCCGACCUGCUGACUGACUUGGCAGAAACAUUCGCCAACCUUCGUAGGUACGAUAUCAAGCUCAACCCAGCCAAAUGUUCAUUCGGUGUUCCCAGCGGAAAGUUACUCGGUUUCUUCGUUUCCGAACGAGGGAUCGACGCCAACCCCGAAAAGAUCGGGACCAUCGUCUGAAUGGAGAGGCCGGUCAGAAUACACGAUGUUCAACGGCUCACAGGUUGCCUAGCGGCUUUGAGCAGGUUCAUCAGUCGACUCGGCGAGAAAGCACUUCCUCUGUACCGACUCAUGAAGAAAUCAGAUACCUUCGAGUGGACAGACGAAGCCCAAGUCGCACUCGACGACCUCAAAGUCCUACUUUCCACCCAGCCGGUUCUUACUGGUCCGCUCAGUAAAGAGCCCCUUCUUCUAUAUAUCGCGGCUACAAACCAAGUCGUCAGUACUGUUCUUACAGUCGAGCAAGAAGAAGAAGGCAAAGCAUACAAAGUUCAGAGGCCAGUGUACUACGUCUCCGAAGUCCUGACUCCUUCCAAGCAGAGGUAUCCCCAUUAUCAAAAACUUAUCUAUGGGAUCUAUAUGACUGCGAAGAAGGUGGCCCAUUAUUUCCAAGACCACUCGGUAUCUGUCGUUUCUGAUGCUCCGUUGUCGGAAAUUCUCCACAAUCGAGACGCGUCAGGCCGAGUGGCGAAGUGGGCAAUGGAGAUGUUGUACUGUGACAUCAAGUUCGAGGCCAAGAAAGCUAUUAAGUCUCAAGCCCUGGCUGACUUUAUAGCAGAAUGGGUAGAACAACAGCAACCGACCCACAUCUACUCGGCUCAUUGGACAAUGUUCUUCGAUGGGUCUAAGAUGUUGAAUGGCUCCGGCGCUGGUGUUGUGAUCAUAUCACCAAAGGGCGACAAGCUCAAGUACGUGGUGUAGAUACACUUUGAUUCCUCCAACAACGAGGCAGAGUAUGAAGCUCUCCUCUACGGAUUGUGCAUGGCCAUCUCACUCGGCGUCCGUCGCUUGAUGGUCUACGGCGAUUCGGAUUUGGUGGUCAAUCAAGUGAUGAAAGAGUGGGACGUAAGGAACCCCGCCAUGACAACAUACUGCAAUGCAGUGAGAAGCUGAAGAAGAAGUUUGAAGGUCUAGAGCUCCAUCAUGUUCCCAGACUGAAGAACCAAGCAGCUGACGAGUUGGCAAAACUCGGAUCCACUCGGAGACCAGUCCCGAGUGAUGUCUGCCUCGAGCACCUCCAUCUUCCCUCAGUCAAAGAAGAUCCCUUCACAGAAGAACCGGUACAACCCAAGAGCGCAACAGAUCCGACGGAAGUCGAUGUACCUGCUGUGGUUGAUCUGGUCAUGGAGAUUCUGGCUGUCAUUCCCGAUUGGACUGUGCCGAUCAUUGCAUAUAUCCUGAAGCAAGAACUUCCAGAAGACGAAGUCCAAGCCAGGCAAAUAGUUCGCAGGUCGAAGGCAUUCACUGUCAUUGAUGGCCAAUUGUACAAGGAGAAGGAAGGGCAGUUGAUCCUAGAGGAUAUUCACUCGGGAACCUGCGGUCAUCACGCUUCUUCGAGAGCAAUCGUCGCCAAGGCAUUCAUAGCCGGUUUCUUUUGGCUGCAGGCAAACGAGAUGGCUAAAGAUAUGGUCGACCGAUGUGAAGGCUGUCAGUUCUACUCCAACAAGUCCCACAAGCCAACAUCUGCAUUAAAGACGAUCCCACUUGUGUGGCCAUUUGCAGUUUGGGGAUUAGAUACAGUCGGACCAUUCAAGACAGGCCAAGGAGGCUACACACAUCGGUUGCUGGCAGUCGACAAGUUUACAAAAUGGAUAGAAGCCAAGCCCAUCAAGAAACUCGAUGCCUCAACAGCUGUCAAGUUUGUCAGGGACAUCAUUUCCAGAUUCGGGGUACCUCACAGCAUAAUCACGGACAACGGGACAAACUUCGACUCGGACAGAUUCAAAGGUUUCUGUGCGAGCAAGGUAUCCGAGUGGAUUUCGCUUCCGUGGCACAUCCCCAAUCCAACGGACAAGCCGAAUGGGCGAAUGGGCUUAUUCUUCAAGGUUUGAAGCCCCGACUCCUGCGAGAGGUGGGACACGCUACAGGUGCAUGGGUCACCGAGCUACCUUCAGUGCUUUGGGGCCUCCGCACCACUCCGAACAGAUCAACGGGGAGAUCCCCGUUCUUCCUCGUUUAUGGAGCAGAAGCGGUCCUUCCGAGUGACCUGCUUCACGAUGCCCCACGAGUCGAACUCUUCUCCGAAGCUAAAGCAGAACAAGCAAGGCAAGAUGGAGUCGGUCUUCUAGAGGAGGAGCGCGAGAUGGCACUUACUCGCUCAACAAUUUACCAGCAAGAUCUGUGACACUUUCAUGCGCGUCAUGUCAGGAGUCGCACAUUUCAAGCAGGCGAUUUAGUGCUCCGAGUGGAUCAGCAAAGACCCCACAAGUUGGCUCCGGCCUGGGAAGGGCCUUUCAUCAUCUCCAAGGUGCUGAACAACGGAGCAUACAGACUCUACAACAUUCAGAGGGAGACAGACGAGCCGCGGCAUGGAACGGAGAUCUCCUCAAGCGCUUUUAUACGUGAUUGUCGACUGAAGCAGUGUAACGAACAAGUUUUGAUGAAAUAAUAUACAACAGAUUCAGUUUUUUGCAGAUUCAGAGUUCUUCCACGGUCGCAGACUCCGGUCACACACACACACAAAAAAAACUUAGCUGCGAUCCUGAAUCGCCUAAGUACUAACUUCCUCCGAGUGUGCACUACACGUCGCACUCGGGGACUUAGCUGUGAUCAAGAAUCACCUAAGUAAUAACUUACUCCGAGUGUGCACUACAAGUCGCACUCGGGGACUUAGCUGUGAUCAAGAAUCACCUAAGUAAUAACUUACUCCGAGUGUGCACUACACGUCGCACUCGGGGACUUAGCUGCGAUCCCUGAAUUGCCUAAGUACUAACUUCCUACCGAGUGUGCACUACACGUCGCACGUCGGGGACUUAGCUGUGACUCAAGAAUCACCUAAGUAAUAACUUACUCCGGAGUGUGCAGUACACGUCGCACUCGGGGACUUAGCUGCGAUCCCGAAUCGCCUAAGUACUAACUUCCUCCAAGUGUGCACUACACGUCGCACUUGGGGACUUAGCUGUGAUCAAGAAUCACAUAAGUAAUAACUUCCUCCGAGUGUGCACUACACGUCGCACUCGGGGACUUAGCUGUGAUCAAGAAUCACCUAAGUAAUAACUUCCUCCGAGUGUGCACUACACGUCGCACUCGGGGACUUAGUUAUGAUCAAGAAUCACCUAAGUAAUAACUUCCUCCGAGUGUGCACUACACGUCCCACUCGGGGACUUAGCUGUGAUCAAGAAUCACCUAAGUAUUAAUAUUCUCCGAGUAUGCACUAAACGUCGCACUCGAAACAGCAUUCAAACAAAAGACUAAAUGCUUUCAUUCCGAUUCCAAAAGUCUAGAAAGGAUAGCUAACUCGGUGCGGAUCAAGCUUACCCACACCGAUUUAAAAGUAUGACGGCCAACAGAAGUGGCCAGAGUACCUUACAGAUAAACACUCGGCAUACCGAGGACAAAGUUUUAUUACGCGUAGCCGGGCCGGUGCCAGGACUGGAGGGCUCCACGAAAGUGUCCAAGUCGAUUCCAUCGGCGAUGCAGGUAGCACUCUCAAGGAACGUCUCCAUGAAGUCUUCGAAUCGAAGCUUCUUCGUGUUGGCGACCUUCAGUGUCUUCAGCUUCUCUUCCGCACCUCCUUGCAAUGGACUCGGACCAAGGACAGGGCAACAUCAGCACCGCAAUGCGCCGCCGAUUUCUUGCACGAUUGCACUCGGCUCGGAAUCUCCUCCACUAGCGCCAUCAGGGUCUCCAUCUCCUGCCGCGACUCGUCUUCUGGCCAAAGUUCCUUGUCAAUUCGGCCAACGACCUCUCUCAGUCGACCGAUGAAAGGACCCACUUUGCCUACGCGGAUAUGCGCCCGGAGCAGAUCCCGAUUGGCGUCCUCGCCGAGUGGCACGUUGUCCUCAAUGGACCGCUCCACAGCCGACGCUUCAGCUUCAGCAUCAACGCAAAAGUCUGCAACACAAGGGCAAGUAUACAAUAAACACCGAGUGUAACACACACGGUACAAGCACUCGGCAAAACAUAAGGCUUACCAGCCAGACGAGUCAUCAUCUGCCCAGCCCAGUCGUUGACAUACUUCUCCUGAGCUAUGCAUCAUCUAUUCUGGACAGCCAUCUGAUUCAUGAGAACAGUCCUUUGUUUCCCCAUUCUUUCCACCUCCUCCGUCAACACCUUGUUCGCCUCCCGAGCCUCCUCCAGGGACUUCUCUCGUCCCUCCAGAGCAUCCUUCAUGCCGGCCAUGGCGAGCAUAGCAGCAUCAAGUUCACCAGCGAACUGGUUCCUCUCCGCUCUCAGGGCCUCAUAGGCCGUCCCCAUUUCACAAGUUUUGUGCCACCAAGAAACAAAGGACAAUCAGCAAGUUCAACAGUUAACAGUCUAAGUUCUUCAGACCCCUGCCGACGCAAGCAGUCGACAGCGGUCUUGGGGACUACACCCAGUGGGUUCACUGAGAGUGACCCCACUGGCAUGCACCUCAAGCAGGCAUGUCCUAUUGAGAUGCAUGUUAUCACCUACGCCUCCGAGGCCAAUACUACCCGACCUGAGUACAACUUACUCUCGGGGACUCUUACCAUAAGUGCACUCCGACUGCAACAAAUACUCGCACUCGGUAAUCCUAUCUACAGACACAACCAAACUCAAGGCGAAAUGUAUAAAGACAACUGUCGGUGCAAGCACUCGACAGAAGUCUCAGGGACUACACCCACUGGGUUCACUCAGAGUGAACCCAUUGCAAACAACACCCGCUAUUCAAGAACACCCAGUGGGUUACAGGGGAAAAGUAAAUACUGACUAGACCACUUACUCGGAUAUCAUCGCGCAGCUCCAAGCUCCGCUGGUACAAGGCCGCAACGGAGUCAUAAGCCCUCUUGGCUUCUCCAGCCAUCAGCUCCGCCUGCACCAUAGCCCCCUUGGCCGCUCCCACCUGCUCCUCCGGAAGACGCCGGAUGCUGAAUUCAACAUUCGACGAACCUGGAAUCGUCGGAGGUUCCUGGGGCAUCCCAAGGUCCGCCCCAGUCGGCUCCUCCCCCACCAGCACUGGUUCAGUCGGUGGCGGCGCUUCAGUCGGCGGGACGUCGGCGACAGGAGCGGCAGCAGGAGGAGCAGCCUCAAGAACAGGCUCCACGGCGGGGUCGGCUCUCCCCUGGUCGUCCUCGUCCAGGCAAAUCGCCCCUGACAAGCCGAAUGACAUGACGUCUUAGAAAAAGAAAGAAACAAGCCCUAUGAUAGAAUUGGAGACGCGAUGGGAUAAAACACCCGACUCUCCUACAACGCACCUGGCUGGGACGAAACGACGUUGUCCGUAUCCAUGGGGUCGUCCCCUUGGCGGGCCGGAGAGGUGGCAGAGGUAGCGACCCUGUCGAGUGAAAUCCAUUCGACCUGUAAACAGGAGUUCACUCGGAUAACAGAAAGAGCCGAAAGCUAGAUACACUUACGUGGAGGUGACAGGGAUAGCAACCCUCAUUCGCGGCAGAGCCUUCCGAGGCUUAGGCCCACUCGGCUUGGGCGCCCUGGAAGACUGGCCCGCGGGCUCAGCGGCGGCGUCCCUCGCCCUCUUGGUGCCUCGAACACUCGGGACCACCGAAGCACUAGGCGGAGCACUCGACGACGCAGGAGGAGCUGAAGGGACGGCGGGCUCGUGUCGGCGCUUGGUCCGAUGCUCUGGUCGUGGAGGUGGCGAGUCUUGCUCCUCAUCUUCUUCCUCUUCCUCGCUGUCCUCCUCCUCCGAUUCCCCGCUGUCGGAGACGUAUUCGGCGCUCUCCACGCUGCCCUCCUGGCUGCCUUCCUCCUCUUCCUCCUUCGGAUUCCCAUUCGAGACGGGGGAGAACCAGUUGGUCCACGCCUGCAUAAAGUUCAGUCGGAAACAUUAGGCAUCACACGGAGAUAUAAGCAAACGACUGGAAUUAAGACAGUUCAAUGCACUUGACAAGUGCCACUCACCUGAUUCGGUGGAGGAUGAUCCGCGUUGUAAGGCUUCACUCGGCGAGCUCCUUGGGGAUUCCCACAGGGACCCGUGAUUUGGACCACCCACGAGGUCACCCUCUCCUCGGUCACGCCCACCACGUUGGUCCGAGUGGAGUCUUCGGGCCCCGUGUAAUGCCACAUAGCAUGGUCGCGAGCCUGCAGAGGCUGGAUCCGCCGACCAAGGAAGACUUCCAGCAGGUCUAUACCGGUGACCCCCCUCCUGACGACAUCCACGAGUGCCUCAACCAAAGGCUGGAUGUCGUUCUUCUUGGCCUUCGAGAGCGCGAGCUGCUUAGGCGGGGCGGGCCAGUCUAGACUAAAAGGAGGCAGCCCAGUCGAUGCAUUCGGACAGGCGAUGUCCUGGCAGUAGAACCACGUCGACUGCCAGUUCCUAACCGACUCACUCAACUGGAGAGCAGGAUAGCUACUCCGACUCUUCUUCUGGAAUCCUAAACCUCCGCAGAGCUGGAGGAGGUGCGUCUUAUCAUCCGACUGACUAAGACGUUUGAUAGUUUGGGAUCGGGCGGAGAAGAUGUGUUUGAACAAACCCCAAUGGGGGGGCAACCGAUGAAACACUCGCACAAAACAAUAAAGGCAGAAAGAUGGGCGAUGGCAUUCAGAGGAAAGUGGUGAAGUUGGGCCCCGAAGUGAUUCAUGAUGCCCUUAAAGAAAGGAUGCGGGGGCAAAGAAAUACCUCGGUGGACAUGGCUGAGAAGCAAGACGCGCUCCCCCUCCCGAGGCGCUGGCUCGACCUCGUCGUCCGCCGACAGUCUCCAGGACUUAUGAACGAGCAUCCCGUGCUCCACCAGCUCCAGCAGAUCUCCCUCCGUCACCGUGGAGGGGAGGAAGUCUCCUUGGAUCCACCCCGCCGGCAGCGGCCGCUGCCGCCGCUGGGCAGCCGUCGCCGCCUUGCUCUUCUUCUUCCUCGCCUCCAUCUUGCUGGUCUGGCCCUUGGUCAUGGAGGCGACGGCGAACCCUCGAGAGGGAGGAAAAGGAAGGAGUGUUGGGGCGCUGGAGGUGGCAAGGAAGACGGAGCAGGCAAGAGCGAAAGAUUCGGCGAGCGUAACGAAGAAGCCUCGCCGCCCAGAUUUAAAUAGAGUUCCGACUGGGUCGCUGGCGGGUGGCCCCGGAAUCUUAUCCGCCCGACCGGCCACGGCGAUAUCAGUGGAGGAGUUGAAGGCGCGAGAAUCGAGGCGUCAGGCGCUACUCGAGCUCGCUGGCGUCAUCCCCGCUGAGCGCGCGGAACCCGAAAUUUGAGAUCCCGGAAAAUCUGCUGCUGUCAGUUGACCGGUCACAUCAAAAGAUGCCGCAGAAACACUCGGUUCCCGACAAUCUGUUUCGCAAGCACUUCCACUCGGAUCGUUGGUCAGGAAAGAUAAAAUGGAUAGAGGCAAGCAACGCCCAAGCCGAAUCUAGUCCAGUCGGAUCUGAACCUCAAGCACCGCUUCGUCGUUUCAACCCCAAUCCAUUCGGGGACUAAUGAUGGGGUCAUAGUCAUAGGGUAGGUUCAUAGGCGUGCCAUACAGGUCCUACCCAAGGACUACCCCACACAAAGGACAGGACCCUAAGUCUGCCCCGACUGAAUUAAGGAGUCCCCAUCAUCCAGUCGGUAACAGGCCCUGAAUCAUCCAGUCGGAGACUAGCAUUCGGAGCACACCAGGCUAACCGACUAAAUACACUCGGUACAUCGUAACCUCUCUGGAGAGAAACUGUCGUACGUUUCCGGGCGCAUUUAUUAGCGUUUAGAGCAUACGUUACCUGUAACGUACGCAUUCAACCCCCGUUACUCCACCCCUGUACCAAAACCGUUGUGGAGGGCAGCGCACUCUAUAUAAGCCACCCUCCCCCACCGGUAAAGGGGUUACCAAAUCAUUGUAUUCCAUAUUACACUCGGCAACAAGCUCCGAGAGCAUUGAGACGUAGGGCUGUUACCUCCACCACAGAGGGGCCUGAACUCAUACAACCUCGCUGUAGCUAGGACUCUCCCCAUCUCAUUCGUACCCUACACAUCUACUGUCAGGAUUAUACCCACGACAGCAGAAAAUUCAGCUAGUGUCUGAACCUAGCAAGUAAACGAUUAUAGCCAUCUUGUUUGCUGUAUCAACUAGGUGUCAAAUUUAGUUUUACAGUUUUUAGUUUGGUCAGUUAAAGUUUACUUGUUUGCUGUAUCUGAACCUGUAGGUGUCAAAUUCAGUUUACGAAGGCAGAAAAUUCAGCUAGUGUCUCAACCUAGCAAGUAAACGAUUCUAGCCAUCUUGUUUGCUGUAUCAACUAUCUAAAAUUCAGUUCUCUACCAUAAGAUCCAAGCACACUAACAUUUUUCAGAUAGGAAGUAUGCAGUAGCGAGGUGGGUUGAGGAAGGGGGGGAUGUGGUGGGGGCUGUACCUUGGUUGGGGCGAGGGCAGUACGUGGCGGCUCCAAGUCCCCGGGAUCUGGAUCACAAGCCGCACCAUCCAUGUCUUCUCCCGUGCCAGCCGUCUUUGCCCCUGCACGGACCUUUUUUUCUUUCUUGAGGAAGAAGAAGUGAUGGGGGGGGGGUGGAAGCAGGAGUGCGGAAAAGAAUACGCAGGCCGGGUAAAGGUCGGCCUGCUAAACUGAUGGGUGGGCACGUGGUUCUUUUUCUUUCUUGGACCUUCAUGUUUUUGUGUUAACGGGUGCGCUAGGCGGCCCGUUUAGGGAUUUGGUUCUUUUUGCGGUGACGGGCCCUUCGCAAUUUUUCGACCUGAUGCGGGAAAGAAAACAGUUGGUUUUUUUCACUGAUCAAUUUUAUGACUGAAUACUCAGCCACGUGUCAAUCAUUUAGUGGAACAAAAAAACAACCUGACACUAAUUUAAAUUCAGACAUCUGUUCAUUAGUCACUCCCUAUACUUAAGAACGAAAGGAGUAGAAGACAAAAGUGACAUGUCACACCAGGCACCACCAGCCGCAGCAGCUGCAGUGCUAGUGCUGUUGCUGUUCAAACGUGCAACAAAGUCUACGCGCUGUUGCGUGAAAAACGUGGCGGGUCACCCUUCCUGCAGCAGCGAUUCCCGGACAGUUCGUGUCCGUCACCCAACCCCGACGGCGACGUACGUACAUGCAACGAAACCGGCCAACCCCGAACCGAAUUCCGGCGACGGUUUGUUUGUGCGUGCAGCUGGACAACACAUCUCUGUCUCUCUCAUUGUCUCACACCCUCUCUCUCUCUCUCAAAGAAGAAUAAUCAAUUUGCUCUUAGUAGUAUAUAGAGAAUUCUCUUCAGAAAUCCUGGCAGUCAAAGGGAAUGUAUGUAGGUGCAGGUGCUGCUAUGACCAGAGCAGUGGAUUAUUUUUUCACUUUGACCUGCCUGACUGGCAAUCAUGGAUUUAGCAUGCAAAAUGGAGUAUCUUUUUCUUCAGAAAUCCAGCAGGCAGAGAAGUUGGUCAGAGAGAAUGUAUGUUUGGCCAAGACCCAAGAGUUUUUGCCAAUAGUUACAUCUUAGGACAUGUUUGUGACUGCUUCAAUUCAUCAACAUCAGUUUCACUUCGUUAAAUUCAGUUUAGAGCAGUUUUAUAUAAAAGAUAUAGCAUUAUCAAGAUAAUGUUUGGCUUCUAUCUAACUCCAGCUUCAUGAAUAGAAAAAAAUAAAGGGAUAUUCACUUACUGAUGACAGUGGUGAGUAAUUUUCCCCCAACUUCAGUUUCUAGAGUUUUUUAAAACACCCUCUCAAGAGCUUCAUAAAAACUUUGAAGUUGUACCCCAAAUUCUAGUUUUUUUCGGAGCGGCAUAUCGUGAAGAACCCGUUUAACUUGUUUUUUCUAAAGUAGAGCUGAAUUUUAAAGAACAGAGCAAUCUUAAACAGGCUCUUACUACCACACAUGCUCUACACACGCAACUAGUUCACUUCACCAUUUUUGGAAUUCCACUCUAAUUAACUUCUGUACGUACACAAACACAAGAUUGGUUGGGUAAUUCCUCACCAACGAACAAUCUUACUACCACACAUGAUCUACACAAGCUCAGAUCAGGGCCGUCCGUUGCUCUGAUCGGACGGCUACGGCGGAUCUAAAAUGUUUCUGUGGAGGCACUGAACCUUGUUGAACGGCUAGCUAGGGGACGACGACGACCUUGACGACCUCCACGUCGUCGGGCUUGCCGUUGCCGGAGCACUCGCGCCCCACGGCGGCGUCCUCCAGCAUUUGCACCACGGACCUCAUCGACGGCCUCACCGCCGGCGUGCGGCUCGUGCACAGCACCGCCACGCGCAGCACCCGCACGGCCUCCUCCUUCUCCCACUCCUCCCGCGCCGCCGACGCGUCCAGCAGCGCCAUGGCCUUGUCGCGCCCGUUCCCGGGCCCGUCCAGCCGCCGGGACGCCCACUCCACCACGUCCUCGCCGUCGGCCACCGCGGCGCGCCCCGUCGCCAGCUCCAUCAGCACCACGCCGAAGCUGUACACGUCGCUCUUCUCGGUGACCUUGCGCGUGUAGGCGUACUCGGGCGCCAUGUACCCCACCGUCCCCGCCACCGCGCCGCCGCCCGACGAUGACCACGGCUCGCCCUGCUUGCCGCCGGCGUCGAGGAUCUUGGCCAGCCCGAAGUCGGCGAUGCGCGGCUUGAAGGCCUCGUCGAGCAGGAUGUUGCUGGACUUGACGUCGCGGUGGAGGAUGGGCCGGUCGCCGCAGCCGUGGUGGAGGUACUCCAGCCCCCUGGCGGCGCCCACGGCCACCUCGUACCGCUCCGGCCAGCCGAGGCCGCCCAGCUUCCUCGCCGUCGGGCCGUGCAGGCGCUCGUACAGGCUGCCGUUGGGUAGGUGCUCGUACACCAGCAGGCUGGCGGCGCCGUCCUCGCUCGUCACGCUGCACAGCAGCUUCACCACGUUGACGUGCCGUAUUGAGCUCAGCGUGCCCACCUCCGCGUCGAACUCGCGGCACUGCCGCGCCGACGCCGACGCCGAACGCGGCAGCAUGGCCGCCGUCGGCGCGGCGCUCGCGGGCGCGGCGGCGCGGGUACGGGUGAUGUGCUUGACGGCCACCACGGUGCCGCACCCGAGCUUGACGCGGUACACGUUCCCGGAGCCGCCGCUGCCGAUCAGGUUCUCGUCGCGGACGCCGCCGACGAUCUCCCGCUCGUCGAACGCCAUCAUCCUGAACGACUUGACGUUCCAGGACCCCUUCUUCGCGAACAGCAGCUUGUUGCCGCCGGCCAUGGCCGCGGCCUCCGCGUGCUGCCGGCGCUUCUUGAUGAAUAUCACCACGCCGAGGACGGCGAGCAGGACCGCCAUGCUGGCGAGGAGGCAGGUGACGAGCGUGCGCGCGGUGCUCCCCGAACGGCCACCGUCUCCCGGCGUGCAGCGGCGGAGGAAGCCGGCGCCGUUGUUGGCGCACAGGCCGGGGUUCCCCAGGAAGCUCUCGCCGUAGGCCGAGAUGGCCAGCCCCGGCGGCACGGGCCCGUCGAGCCGGUUGUCCGACAGGUUCAGGUUGCUCAGCUUCAGCUCGGCGAGGAUCGCCGGCACGGCGCCGGAGAGUUCGUUGCUCGACAUGUCCAACCAAUUCAGCCGCGUCAGGCCACGCAGCUCCGACGGGAUGGCCCCGGCGAGCUUGUUCUUGGCGAGGUUCAUCGUGCUGAGCGACGAGCACGAGCCGAGGGUCGCCGGGAUGGCACCGCCGAUCCCGUUCGCGGCAAUGUCCAGGCUGUCGAGGUGGACCAGCUUGCCGAUGCUCGCCGGUAUCUCGCCGGAGAGCUCGUUCGACGACACGUCAAUGCUCUGCAGAUUCCCGGCGUCGCCUAUCGACGACGGGAUCGCGCCGGAGAAUUUGUUCCCGGCGAGGAGGAGGCUGGUGAGGGACGCGGCCUUCCCGAUGCCGUCGCCGAUGCCCCCGGUGAACUGGUUCCCCUCGAGGUCGAUGAUCUCGGCUUUGGGAAGCGCCCAGAGUCCCUCGGGCACCUCGCCGGUGAGCGAGUUCUUGCUGACCCUGAACCUCAGCAGCGUGGUGCAGCUCGCGUACGCGGCCGGAAUUUCGCCGGAGAAAUUGUUCUCGAGCAUCAGCAGCUUCAGCAUGGUGCCGCGCUUGCACAUGUCCGGCGGGAUCGGUCCCGUGAGCGAGUUGGUCGACACGUCGAUGAAGUUGACGUCCGACGAGCUCCCCAGUUUCCGCGGCAGCUCGCCGGUGAGGUUGUUGGUGUAGAGCGACAGGUUCACGAGCUCCUUGAAAUCUCCGAACUCCUUGGGCACCUCGCCGGAGAGCCCGUUGAAGAAGAGCUGCAGUGAGACGAGCCGCGUGAGGGACCGGAGCUCCGAGAGAUCGCCGGUGAGUGAGUUCUGGGACGCGUCGAAGAACUGCAGCUUGGUCAGCUUCCCGAACCCUCGCGGGAGAGCGCCGGUGAGGGAGCAGUUGUAGAGCUCGAGGCUCUGUAGAUUCACGAGCUGGGAGAUGGCCCGGGGUAUCUCGCCGGUGAGGGGGUUGUCGGCGAGCUCGAGGUCGACGAGCUCGGUGAGCCGGCCGAUGCCCGCGGGGAUGGGGCCGACGAUGUUGGCCGCAGAGAGGUAGAGCGCGGUGAGGUUGGUGAGCCCGAAGAUCUCGGCCGGGAAGGACCUGGUGGGCGUGAGGUACGGGUUGUCCCCGGCGGAGAGCACCUGGAGGCCCUGCAUGGCGGCGAGCGCGGACCAGGGGAAGGAGCCGGAGAAGGCGUUGGAGGAGAGGUUGAGCGUGCGGAGCCCGGCGAGCGGCGAGAGGUCGGGGAUCUUACCGGAGAAGGAGUUGAAGGGGAGGCUGAGGUCCCGGAGCGCCACGCACGCGUCGACGCCGGCGAUGGUCCCGGCGAGCGAGUUGGACGUGAGCGAGAGCGCGGCGAGCGAUUUAAGCGAGCCGCAGAGGACGCCGAACGGGACGGACGCGGCGGAGACGUUGAGGUCGCGCACGGAGAGCGCGGUGACGGCGGUGCCGCGGCAGGUGACGCCGGCGAAGUUGCAGGGGCUGGACGCCGCGGCGUCCCAGGAAGAGAAGAAGGCGUCGGCCGCGGGAGGGAUGGUGAGGGACGACUUGAAGGCCAUGAGCGCGGCCACCUCGGGGGCCGUCGCGGCGGAGGCGGCAUGGACGAGGGUGGAGAGGAGGAGGAGGAGGAGGUGGAAGUGGCCGGCGGGCGGCAUGGCUGGGGAGGAGGAAAGGAAGCUUCUUUCUUUGUGUCAGAGCGCUUGGACUCCCUGCUGACCGAGCUCGGUUUUAAGGUUGCGGUUGGCUCGCGGGCCCCACCACUGCACUGUCCUACACUGUCAUAGUGUGCUAACGAUAGUGCCUAAUAAGCUUCAUGGAUUUUUUUGAUAACAAUAAGCUUCAUGGAUUUGUGAUUACAAGAGAGCAGUUAUGGAUUUGUGAUUACGAGCAUUUUUUUUAUAUACGAUUUUUAAUGACUUGCCUUUUUUGAAAUACGAUUUUUAAUGAUUUACCUCUUAGCGACGAAUCAAAUUUGGAUUGUGAGGGAUAAAAAAACAUAUAUUGACUUGGGUGCUGUCAUAAGAGCUAUAUCUGUAUUAUUAACUGGCAAAAGAUACUAACCCCUCUCCUAGCUUCGUUAACCAAACUUUGAAUUUAAACAUAUUUUAGAUAGCUGAUGUAAUUGUAUUGGUUGUGCCCUAAUUGACAAAUGUGUGAAACAUACUACGAAGUAAAUACUCCCUCAAUUUCAAAAUAACUGUCUCAACUUUGUAUUAGCUUUCGUACAAAAUUAUACUAACUUGAGACAUUUAUUUUGGAAUGAAGGAAUUAGAAUAUCAUGCAUUAACUCAACCAAAUUAAAUAAAAUCAAUUCUCGCCAAAAUCUUAACUCAAUCAAAAAAUUAUUUGGCUUCUCGUACCCAUAGCCAAAUGAAAAUAAAUGUGAUCAAAACCUCAACUGGAUCAAAACUUUCAUUGCCUUCCCUACCCUACUCAAAUAAAAUUAAAUCUUAUGAAAAGAUAGAAUAUGAUGAGUGUAAAGUAUACGUCAUACAUACGUGAUUGAUGUUGAACCACUAGAAUAUGUAUGUCCUAUUGCAAUGCACGUGCAAAUGACUAGUUUGUGUUAAUUAUAAGAGGGGUCUAAAGUGCACAACAAUGGGUUUAAAAAAUCCCUUUCUUUGGUGGUCCUCCCAAGGGCGAUUCGAGGGAGAAUAACUCUUCGUUUGACGCCAUCCCCUCCUCCGCAUCCUCCUCGGCGCCUCGAGAGGCAAUCGGUGGGAAUCCCAUGCGAACGCUGGUGAGGGUGGUGAUGAGGUUCUCGACCAUUCUAGUGGCAAUCUCUAAUGGAGGUUGGCAUCGUUCUGAUGGUGGGUGGCUUUCUCUAGAACUAAGGGGCGCUUGUCCUCGACCGCCGUGGACGCGAGUCCUAUGCGGUUUCUACCCCGUGACCUUUUCGCACCCAAUCUAAAGACGACGACCUCCUCACAUGUUGCUUCCCAUCCCACAUCGAGUUCUCACCUUAUAAGGUGGAUGGCUAGGUGGGAGACGGUUGGACGCUCUGGAUCGAAGAAAUCUCUUGGCUAGCGCUGGCAAACAUGAUGUUGGCAACGCUCUAGCCGCCAAUUUCCUUCUUAGAUGUCACGCUAAGGUUCAUCUCCUCAUCCCCCUCCACUCGGAUAAAAACCCUCAUUCCUUGGAAUGGGUAGGGGCGACGCCACAAGGAGUCAUUUUAUAGCUUCUGUGUGUGUGCGCGCGCGCGCGCGCGCGGGGGGGGGGGGGGACCUACAUGCCUUUUGUGCUCCUGGUGGGGGUUUGUUUCUUCUUCUAGUGAUGACACAUCAACGUUGAGGGUUGGUUACCUCCGCAGCCGGCGUGUUCUAUUCAUAGUGUGGUCCUCUCUGUUUGAGAGGUCAAAACCUUCGAGCCUAGGCAUCGAUUUCCUUCGUGGAAACAAUGGCAUGAUGAUUUUAUGAGCGAGAAUUGUCUUAAUGAGUUUUGAGCCCCAUGGUGGCUUUGUUAUUCAAUGCUUUUAUCGUGUCCUCUUGAGGAGUCUCGUCCUGAAGCUAAUGUCUUUGGUGCUCCAUGUUGUGUGUAACGGCUUGGGUCCUUAGGAAGUUUGCUUGGUGUGGUGGUCGUGUUGUUAUCCUGACUACCAAUCUAUUGUUCAUGUGUGCUCUUUGGGAAGUAGCUCCACCUUGCGGACUAUGUGGCGCCAUUCGAUCCAAGGCGAGAGUGCAAGGGCCCUCUCCGGAGGUGGAGGCGGAUAGCAUUGUGACUUCACAUUGUGAAUAGGGAACGUUCGAAGCCGAGAUCUUCUCGAAUGGCGUGACUCCCAUCAGUACUUGUGUUCCUACUCUCGACAUUGAGUUUGUUGGUGGACGAGGUCCUCAACAUUGUAUCCUUUUCGCUCUCGGUUCAUGAUAAAAUGCAGGACUAUGGGUUUGUGAAUUGCCGAGAGGACGAUCCACUAAUGGUCGUCAUAAUGCAUUUAUACCUUGAGUUUAUGGUAUACAUUAAAAUAUUAAUUUUGUUUUUCCAUGCACGAUGAAAAAACCGCUAUUUCUAAGUUGACGAUAAGAAUCGCUGAUAUUUGUAUAAGCACAAAGGGAUGAAACAUUUUCUUUGCUCGGGUAUGUGCGAUAAAUGAGAAAGUAAUAUCAUCGGACAUAUAAUUAAAUGGCAUAGCUUGUCUGUUCGUGUUAGUGGUGUAUCCCAAAUUAAAGAGCCCUCACUUCAACGUGUGUUGUGUGUGAGAGAAAACAUGACUCAACCUAAGUGCGGCAAUAAGAGGUGUGUCUAAAUUAAGCCACAAAAUCCCUCGAUUGCUCAUUAAAUAUACAAGUACUACGUACAUCACUAUACUGUGUUUAGUUGGCACAUUUUAGACACAUAUGAUGUGAUUGCAUUGGUUGUGCCCUACGACAAUGAGUAAAGCAUGAUAAUUAUAUAGUAGUGUAAUUAAUCAAGUAUUCUUCUUUGCUUUGCUUCUAGUACUAAUUUGUUCCCAUUAUAGCAUAGUUAGCCAAUGCCUUCUCCGGUGGAUACGAUCGAGGGGGGCCAGACCAUAUAUCUUUCUAGUGGCAUGUCCUUUUCGGUAUCAUGAGCAAUUGGGGAAUGUAGUCCUUCUGCAACCCUUAAUUCAGAUGCUUAAAACAACUCUCCUUUCAUAUUGCAAUGCGUAGAAGUUCGCCAUUUGCAUUUGUCUUUUCAGAAUGGACGCACCAUCGUCUUGGUGCAAAAACCGUGAAUUACGUUGGACUGGGAUCCCCUCACGACCCCCUCGCGACGGCGCUGCCAGGGGCGUCAGCGCCGCUAGCAGCCAACAUGACGCGGCUUCCCCUCCGUUGCUGUCGCCAGCAUCGGCCAUGGUGGCGGCGGGCCCGACGCCGAAGGGGUCGGGGAGCUGGAUGCGGCGGCGACCCUGCUAGAUUGAUUGGGGCGACUACAACGAGGAGGACAUGCACAAUGGUCAGGGCGGCGCGCCUGGUCGUGCGACGACGGUGCUAGCUCCCAUGCCCUCUGGGAACCGGCGGGUUUUCUGGCAAUGGUGGACAUGGCGGCAGCCGCGGAUCUGGAUCCCACCCAGAUCCGCCAUCGAUCCUUCACGUGGAUGGUAGGCGACGCAAUGAGGGCUCCGGUGAGGGGGUGGAGGAUCUUCAUCGGAGUAUUGGCGGUGGCAUACGUCUUCAUGGCAGGGCUCAGCGCGGUUCCAGCCAGCCGCGAGAUCCGGACGACGCUGCUUCCGAUGAAAUCGCACCCGACAACGGUCUUGGUGGAUAAUGGCGGCGUAUCUGACGUCGUUUCCUUCUUGAGGCAUCGUCGUUGCAAGUCACGUCAACUCGAUCGGGAUGUUUCGAGGGAAACCCUAGAUUUGGGUCUACAAGAUCAGACGAUGACGAUGCCUUUGGUGUCGGUCUUCCUCCUGACGGCACCGUUUUGGAGCAAGUGCUGGCUGGAGAGAAUAAGAGGAGGAGUGAUGUUACAUCUACCGCAAGGCAGACGUCGGAUCUUAGUGGCACGACGCCGUGGAGUUUCGGCGAUGGGCGCGUAUGGAUGGAUACAUGCAGGAUGAUGAUGUUGUCUAGCGUCGAUGGUAGGUCUCUUAAGGUCAAUGCGUCAGUGCCUUCUCCGGUGAUGGAUCGGUGAAAGAUGGCGACGACGGCCUCUGAGAGUGCGUCGAACCGGUACGUGCUCCAGACUCAACAAUGCGUCUUGGUUAGGGCCUCCGCCUUUAAUGUUAUGUUUUGGUGUAAUGUUUGUUUGGCAUUCGGCUUGAAUAUUUGACACCCCUUCAUCGAGUGGAUAUGAGCAGCAACAUAUAUUGUCAAUAUGAUGGCUUUAGACUACAUGAUGUACUUGUUUUUUUAAUAAUUAAUAAAAUAACUACAUGCAUCGUCUAGAUGCAGAGGUCGGGUAUCAUCCUCUUUUUCAAAAAUAAAUAAUAAUAUUGCCAUGAAUAAUUUUGUCCAUCUCAAAGUCUGCAUACCUUUCAUUCCUAAGCUUAAAAUACUCUCCCUUAAGAGAGAGAGAGAGAGAGUCAAGAAAAUGCAUAUGUUUUCUUCCAUUAUCUAGAAAGAAAGAAAGGUGAGAGGUUGGUUGUGGAGUGCAAAAAGACCACAGCACUAGGUAGUAAGUGGUGGUGCAUGUCGUAAUCCGAUGAUCUAUAUGGGCCAAAAGCACAUGCAAUGCAAGAAAAGUGUAAAGCUUCACGACAGUGUGAGUUGGGAUGGAUUUGUCACCACAUAUAGAAAUACAGAUGACUAAUCGACGAUAUGGACGUAUGACUAAUUUAGGAGGGGGUGUAUGCGUGCAUGGCACUGACUGUGGAGCAUGGUGUUAAAUGGCAGGAGCCAGAUGGAGAUAUGUAGUACGUGUGCCGUGUGCUGUGUUUUGACAUGGGCUAUGGACUCAUGGAGUAGUGUUAUUAGUCCUUGCAUGAUUGGAAAUCAUGGUUGCGUUGAGCCGUUCGAAGCGUUACGCGAUGAUCUUUCGUUUUUGGAUGUUUUUAGAGAAGGAACGUGAGCUGUUCCUAAAGACCGUACGUAGAACCAGCGGGCGGCGCGCGGAAGAGCAAUGCAAGGGAAUCUUCAAAACGGACCCGUAAAUGUCCUUCAACUAUAGGACCUAAAAGUCAUCUAACACGGUCCUGUAUCGAUUCGUGGAGCGGUCCAGACGCGGUUUAUUCCGUAAACCGAAAACAAGCAUGGAGAGAUUUGCAAGAGGGGGGGGGGGGCUAGUUCAGCCCCGCUUGCGGGGCCUAGGACUCCGGACGAGGUUAUUAAAUGAAGCUCCUAUGCUGUAACAUUAGGGGCUUUGGCCUCACUGUCCGGAGGCAGCAACUCAUUGAUUAUUUGCGCCAGGAAGAGAUUGACAUUGUGGGUCUUCAGGAAACGAUUCGUCAACACUUUAGCAUGCUCGAACUUCAGCGGUUGUCUCGUCACCAUUUUGCCUGGCAGUGGCUCCCUACUACGGGCCACUCUGGGGGCAUCCUUCCCGAUGUUAGGAAGGAUGCAUUCACGGUGAAGGACAUGGACCGCGGGGAAUUUUUUGUUAGCAUGGCCGUCACUGACAAACGAGUUCACCUCAGCUAGGAGGUGAUUAUCGUCUACGGUCCGGCGGACCAUAGCCGAUCGGCAGACUUCCUCGCCGAGUUGAGGAAUAAGGUGGAGCGGUGCACCACCCCGGUGGUGGUGGCUGGUGAUUUUAACCUCAUUAGGUGGGCUUCUGAUAAAAAAGCUCACUAAAUGUGGAUCGGCCCCGUAUGCGUCUAUUUAAUGAUUGCAUUGCGGAUCUGGCGCUUCGUGAGAUAGCCCGCGUAGGGGCAAGGUUCACGUGGUCUAAUAAGCAGGUCGACCCCAUCCGAAGUGUCUUGGAUCGGGUCUUUGUGUCAGCCUAAUGGGAAGUGAUGUUCCCUCUUUGUGGGCUUAAGGCGGUCACGCGGAUUGGCUCCGACCAUACCCCCCUCAUUUUCUCGACACGGGAUGGGUCCCCUCCGAGAGUCCGUCGCUUCCGUUUUGAGUCUUUCUGGCUUGAUCAACCUGGUUUCUGCGAACGGGUUCGAGACCGCUGGCGUCUUUCGGCCUCUUCCACGCCACGCGUCUUCUGUGCGGUAGAUGUGUGGCACCAUUGUGCUAAGUUGGCUCGCCAGUCUAUGAAGGGCUGGGGUGCAAACCUGGGCGCAGACCUACGGCCCCGUAAAGGGGCCCUGCUUGGUCAGUUUAAGGCGUUAGACGACCUGGCCGUGGGCCGGGGCUGUCCCCGGACGACUGGCUCCGGAGGAACUCCCUCGAUACUUCGUUCAUGGACAUCUUCAAGAGCGAGGCACUGUUCUGGCAGCGUCGAGGGGGUCAGAAUUGGCUACUAAAGGGUGAUGCAAACACCGCCUACUUCCAGGCCAUAGCUAAUGGCCGUAGGAGGAAAUGCGUUAUUCCUUUCCUUUGGGAUGGGGAUGUGCUCCUGGAAAGCCGAGAGGACAUCUCAUCCCAUAUUUACUCCUUCUAUAAGGAGUUGUUCUCAGCUGCACCGCAUGGAGGCGCCUCCCUGUGUGAGGACUUCUGGCCGCCUACUGACCAGGUAUCCGACGCGGAGAAUGCGGAGCUUACUCUCCCGUUCUCACCGGAGGAGGUGGGGCAGGCGAUCGCCUCUAUGAAGGCGUGCUCGGCCCCGGGGCCGGAUGGCCUCCCGGUUAUGUUCUUCCAGCGAUUCUGGGAGACCAUGCGCCCGGUUAUAAUGCCCAUGUUCCAGGAAUUCUAUAUCGGCACCCUGGACAUGGGCAGGAUUAACUUUGGCGUCGUUGCCCUCAUCCCCAAAGUAGUUGGGGCUUCGGACAUCCGGCAAUUCCGCCCCAUCACUGUGAUUAACGUGUUGGCGCGAAUCUUUGCUAAGGUCUGUGCUACUCGCCUGUCCCCUAUGGCUGAACGGAUUGCUCACCCCUCCAGUCUGCAUUCCUGAAGGGCAGGCGGAUUCAUGAUGGGAUCCUUGCUCUUCACGACAUUGUCCAUGAGGUGACGUCCAAGGGGCUCAAGGGGGUCUUCCUUAAACUGGACUUCCAGAAGGCGUAUGACCGCCUCGAUUGGUCCUUUUUGAGGUUGGUUAUGGAACGUCGGGGCUUUGGUGAUAGGUGGUGUUUCUGGAUCAUGCAGCUUGUCAGAUGUGGUAACACGGCGAUCAAUAUAAAUGGUGAAGUGGGCCCCUUCUUCCAGGCCUCUAGAGGGGUAAAGCAAGGGGACCCUAUUUCCCCCUGCUUUUCAACCUCGCCGUUGAUGCCCUAGCUGGCAUCUUGGAUAAGGCCAAGCUGGCCGGCCAUAUCCAGGGGGUGGUUGGGCACCUCAUUUCGGGAGGUGGGGUAUCUCAUCUGCAAUAUGCGAAUGACACCAUGAUCAUGGUCGCUGGCUCUGACUCGGACAUUGCUAACCUUAAGUUCCUACUGCUCUGCUUCGAGGAAAUGUCUAGACUUAAGAUUAACUUUGAUAAGAGCGAGGUUGUGGUCCUCGGCUACUCCGACGAGGAGCAGCGCAGGAUUGCGGACCAACUAAACUGUAAGAUGGUUGUCUUCCCCAUCUCCUAUUUGGGGAUGCCACUAGCUAAGUCCAGGAUCAUGGUGAGUGGUUUUGAUCCGCUGGUAGGACGAGUAGCGUCCCGUGCGGAGCCCUGGUGCGGCAGGUUUACGUCUAAAGGAAGCAAGACCGUCCUCAUUUCCGCUAACCUUGCGAGUCUCCCCAUGUAUAUGAUGGGGAUGUAUAUCUUGCCAGAGGGUGUGCAUAGCUCCUUCGACAAGGAGCUGGCGAGGUUCUUUUGGCACGCAGGCGACGGUAGGUCCAAAUACCACAUGGUGAAGUGGGCCGAUAUCUGCCUGCCGAAGGACCGUGGGGGCUUGGGCAUUACUGCAUCAUGAACGUUGCUUUGAUGCUGUAGUGGGUGUGGCGGAUUCUGCAGGGGGAUGGGGGUCUGUGGCUACAAUUGAUCGAGGCCAAAUACCUUCAGGGUAGACCCCUAUUCGCCUGUUCUCUCGUGACUGGGUCGCAGUUCUGGAAAUCUAUUCAAGGCAUCAAGGAUGAGAUUAGGUUGGCUAUUCGGUUCUCGGUGGGUAAUGGGGCUGGGACCCAGUUUUGGUUAGACCCAUGGCUGGACGGGGAACCACUUCGCCUCGUUUUCCUAGGCUUUCUGCUAUUUGCGGGGACCCUGCCGUUCUUGUCUCCGCGACUGCUCGAGAGGAUGGAUGGCAUGUGGCAUUCCGCUGCCCACUCGGUCCAGCCGAGGUCCACGAGUGGGAAGCUUUGCAGGUAUCGGUGCCUUUCCCUACCUCGUCAGAUAGAGACUCUCCUUCGGGAGAAUUCUCCGUUAGCUCGGCAUAUUUGGCUCUGUGUAGGUUGCCGGUCCUUCCUUGGUUAUCCCCACUCUGGAAGGCUCCGCUGCCCCUGAAGAUUACGAUCUUCGUCUGGCAGCUUCUCCGUGACCGCCUGUUUUCAGGGACUGAGGUACUGAAACGCCACGGUCCGGGUAACGGCCUCUGCCCCCUAUGUCACGACCCGAAGACUGGAACCCAUAUUAUUUUCUCCUGCGUUGCGGCUCAAGCCCUUUGGGGCUUUGUGCGUGAGGCUCUGGGUCCGGAGUGGGAGGCCCACGAGCUCGCAGAAUUUCUGCAAAUUAGGGCCAACCAGGCUGGUCGUAAGCGCCGUCUGUUCUGGCUGAUUUUCGCAGCACUGACUUGGACUCUUUGGACGACUCGCAAUAAAAUGGUGAUUGAGCGGGUGUUUUAGCGGCUUGCAUCUAACUCGUUCUUCAAAUUCCUUGCCUUCUUGCAGCAUUAGCAUCCGCUCGUUAGGCCCCGAGACCGCGAUCGACUUCAGGGCUUCCUGAACGCGCUGCUGAUGUCCGCCCGGCGGCUCUUCCUUGGCCCCCUUGCUGCUUAGCCUGCCCUAUGAUGGCUUUUUCCAUUUUCUGUAUUCUUUCUUCUUUCCUUGGGCGUGAUUGUGCUGUUGCCCCAGCCUUUUUUGGUCUACUUAUGUGUUGGGCAGGAUUGUUGGAUGUUGGUUCGUAUGCUUUAUAUAUAAAGCGGGGCGAAAGCCUGUUUCGAGAUUUACAAGAGUCCACACGCUACUUCGCACAAUUCUGACCGCCCUAGCCCAUCAAAAGAAACCCACAUGUCCUUUCGCGCUCUCCAUCCUAUGCGCCGCGUCGCAUUUACGCUAACCCAAAGCAUGUAGAGGCCAUCAUUGAAACCGUAAUUUGACCGGACGAAAAGGUGACACAGAUGUGCGCGACCUCACGGCCCUCACCGCUUCAAUGCAGAUGCCACGUCCCGAGGAACCAACUCCAGCAGCUGCGCCGCAUUGAAACGGGUUGACCGCCCCAUCGCCUAGCAUGGCAUGGCUAUUUAAGCCUUGCUUCGGCGCCGUCCAGAGCAAAGGACCUUCCUCCUCUCCCGCCCCUCCCCCCAUAUUUCCUUCUCUACAUCCUCACCUAGCCAAGCCAACGGCGAUGUCGAAGUCGUGCUUCUCCGCACCGACAGGCGGCCCCAGUGGGAGCUCGUCGUGUGGUGGAUCGUGGCACCGCCGCCCUCGGUCACCGGGGCCAUCGGCAACCAUGACGGUCGGCUCCUCCAGCAAGGAGGAAAUAGUCAUCUCCCCUCACGACAAGGCUGAGCAGCCGUAGUAGCAGCCACAUCUGUUGUCUGAGGUAGUUGUAAAGGACGAAGAUUUUGUCUGUCAGAUGGAGAUCAUGACGGAGCGUUACCUCCGUUAGAUGGGACCGAUCCCAGCAUCAUUGGCGCGCGUGAAGGACGAGCCACCGUCCCCGUCGCAGGUCGGCGUCAAGAACGAGUAGGCAUCCCCGAUAUGGGAGGUCAAUGACGAGCCCGUGUCCCUGCUGCGCAACCACGGUCAUGUGAAGCAGGAGCCCUCGUCCCCCUAGUGCCCCCAGCACAUGAAGCCUGAGUUGCCGUUCGCCACCGCAUAGUAGCUACAUGUACAUGCGAAUUGACGGUCACCACAUGAAGCCUGAGUCGCCGUUCGCCACCGCAUAGUAGCUACAUGUACAUGCGAAUUGACGGUCCAUCGUCGCCAUCUCGACGCCACCGUCCUCAGGAGCUCACGCCCUUCACUACCAGGGUGUUGGAGGCUUCUGCGAUGCAUAUGGCUGUCGGGCCGUGGUGUUUGAUGCCGAGCACGUAGCAGGCAGCACGCGAGGUACGACUGGCGCAAUGUCGGUAGUCGCCCCGUGUUUGCCAAGAUGGAUGUGGCACCCGAGUGGGUACGCAAGGACCGAGACCUUGCUGCGGCAUGGGCGCUCAACCGCUCCAUGACCAUCGCAGAGUCGGCCACAAGGUGUCGUCGCUGCCUUGAUGACGAGCUCGCCAUGAUCGGCGAGGAGUGGUGACCUAGCGACUGCUCCACCAAUGUCGGUUGUGGCAAGGCAGCCGCCAGGGUUUCGAAGACCAUGUCGUCAGUGGCCGCGGUGGCACUCCGCGCGACACAGCACGAGGCGGAGCAGCACGUAACCGUUGGACAAGUUUGCCGCUGCCCUUCGGCGCCGUUCUGCCGCUGAGGACCGACCAUGACGACGGCGAUGACGAGGACACGGACGAAAACGACGGUGCGGCAGGGCAGGAGGCCACACGUACGAGGUGAUCGUCCGGUAUAGGGUUUAGGUUUUUUGUUGUUGAUUUUUUAGUUAAACGGUCGAAAUAUCCACCCCUUUUAUAUGUAAAUUAUCUUCAAACUUGAAUGAAAUACGCCUUUUGAUCGAAUUUCGUGAGGUUCGUUGGAAUUAUUGGGUGGAUGUAUGUGGCUACGGUUGGAUGUCGUCCUUCCGCACCGGACUGUUUCCCUACUCGCGAACGGAUGCGGGAGAUAAUUUGCGAGUUAUCGCUGGAGGUGUCCUAAGUAAUGAUGUAGUAUUCUCACCCUCGUUUGUGUAUUUACACCAAUUUCGCUAAGUCCGAGUCGACGAGCAACUCCAACGGGGCCAUCUAUUUCAUUCUCGAACGUCCGUUUGGGUCCCCUUGGACAUAAAAGACGGCCCAACUCGUCGACCCAAACGGACGCGAGUCCGCUUUUCGUCUGCCUGUCGACCCAUUUUUGGUCCAAUUUUUAGCCUGAUUUGGGUCGGCGCGGACACAAAGAGAGCGCGGACGACGCGCGCUUCCACCAUUCUCCGGCCCGCCAGUCGGUGGAAAAUUGGUCGUUCUCCACCCCAUCUAGCCCUCGCCUCGCCCUCAGUCCCCUCGCCGCCGCCCAGAUCCGGCUGCGUCCUCCCGUAUCGCAACGCCUAUCCCACGCCGCGGCCAGGGCCGCAGCAUCGUCGGGGCACCGCAACUUCCCCGACCCUAAAUCGCCGUCGUCGGUCAGCUUCCACGCCCGCAAGUUGUUUGACGGUUUGCCUCAAGGUACAAAAUGAACUGCGCCGAUGAGUUCUUUUCCAUUAUGUUAUAUGUUACUCCGACGAUUAGGAGAUGCUACUUGCCGUGUUGGCAUGUGGAAGGACUACUUUGAUACAAACAAUCCGCUCUUCAAACAUCAGAAAUUUUGGCAUCGUUAUCGUUUGGCUAGGCAUGUUUUUAACCGGAUUCAAGAGGGGGUGGUCGGAUAGGAUAACUACUUCGAGUGCAAAGAGGAUGUCAUUGGAAGGAUUGACUUCUCAUCUUUUGGGAAAUGCAUUGCUGCCAUCCGGAUGCUUGCUUAUGGAGUACCUAGUGAUCUUAUCGAUGAGUACGUCCGUAUGAGUGAGUGUACAUGCCUAGAAUCGUUAUACAGAUUCUGCAAGGCUGUUAUUGUAGUGUUUGGUCCUGAGUAUUUGAGAGAGCCGACUGCUGCAGACACAGCCCGCCUGUUGGCGACCAAUGCCAGCCGGGGCUUCCCAGGGAUGCUUGGCAGCAUAGACUGCAUGCACUGAGUAUGGAAGAACUGCCCUUCUGCUUGGCAAGGCCAGUACAAGGGCCAUGUCAAGGCUUGCAUUGUCAUACUUGAGGACGUAGCCCGUCAAGGUCUUUGGAUCUGACAUUCUUUCUUUGGCAUUGCCGGAUCGCACAAUGAUAUCAACGUGCUUCAGCGAUCGCCGGUUUUGCAAGUCUUGCCAAAGGCAACAGCCCACCGGUCAAUGUUAACAUCAACGGUCACAACUACAACAAAGGAUACUAUCUAGGUGAGGAAUCUAUCCACAGUGGACCACUAUUGCGAAGACAAUGUCAAACUCUGUCGGAGAGAAGAAGAAAUGAUUUGCCCAAGAGCAAGAAAGUGCUAGGAAGGAUGUCGAGUGUGCCUUUGGUGUUCCGCAAUCUCGGUGGGGCAUAGUUCCGUAUCCUGCUAGAACUUGGAGCACCAAGAAGUUGUGGGAAGUGAUGACUGCUUGUGUGAUCAUGCAUAAUAUGAUCUUAGAAGAUGCGCGCCCGGAACGUCCCCACGAUCAAGGGUUUGAAUUUCACGGUGACAAUGUGGUACCUCAGCAUGGCGGAGCAGCGUGUGUGAGAUGAAAUGCGUGAUUUGGAAACUCAUAUUCAGUUGCAAGAUGAUUUGGCUGAGCAUAUGUGAGAUCAUGUUGGCAAUCAAUAGGUGUAUUUUGUAGAUAAUUUAAUUUUUAUUGGGCUUGUGAAACUUUGCUAUAUUUUAUUUUUGAUUGUAAAACUAUGUUGUAUCAUUUGCACAAUAUCUGUAUUUGUUUAAAAACUGGCGGCUAGCCGGUCAGGCGGUCAAAUAUGGGUUGGCGUGUUGGACGCGUUGAUGACCCAAAUCCUAACCCGGACGGACCCGGAGCCAUCGGAUGAUCCGAACGGAUGAAAAACGGACGAAAUUGGCGUCUGUUUGGGUCGAUUGGUCGGUUGGAGUUGUUGUUAGAUUUUGUUAUGUGUGAGUCGAUGCUAUAUGGCUUUGAUCUUGCAUCGUGAUCCGUAUAAAGUUAUAUACGGUUCAUUCAGCAGCAUGAGAUGUAUGGAUCGAGGCAAGCGGAGGAGGAGGCACCGCUCCGCGGGUGGAGGAGGAGGAGGAGGAGGAGAGCGUGAUGCACGCGUGUGUUAGGGCCGUUCGUUGCAUCUGGAGUGGAAAGACAAAACAAGGUGCACCAAAAAGACAAAAGUAGAGAGAUGGAUAGGUAUAGGGAGGGAGCGUUUGCGAGCUAGGUGAUGUGUUCGUUGUCGAUCGCACGUUCAUCCCAUCAUGUGUGCGCGUGUGUGUGUGUGUUGGGUCGAAGAACUAGACAGGCGGCGAGCCCACGGAUCCACGUCCAGCGGCACACGACUUUAAGGCAGAGGCUGACGCUGACGCGCCGCUAGUGGUGGUGGUGGCCACUAGCCAGUGCUAUCUCCAUCACCAUCACCAUCACCGUGUAUGUAUAUAGUGUGUGUAUCUCCAUCCAUCUCCAGCGGUGCCGGUGAGGUCCAGCCGCCGCGUUUGACAAAUCUGUCCGCACUCACACGAUCCAACGCAACAACGCAGGCCAGGCACAAUGAAUGAGUGAUGAUUCUUCUUCUUCUUUUUGUCAAGGGGCCAUGACCGGAUGAUUGCUCCUUUCUACGUAUCCUCGCCGUGCAAAACCGCUCGCUCGCUAGAUAUCUCUUUCUUCUCUUGGCGCCUGACCGCCCGCCCAUCCCAUCCAGGUGGAAGCCAACUAUAGUACUGUAGUGCUCAUCAUACUCCCGCCUGAUUAGUCUACUAGUGCCAUCUGCAACAUGUACAAUGGUUUUCCUGUGACUGACAGUGAGCUCCUCAGUUGCAGGUUUCAUGCUGUAGGAAAGUGCAUGCAUGCAUCCAAAGACUUACGCACGUGCUCUCCAGGUAGCACCAAUUUGCUCCACAAAUCAGUCGUUAGAAAUAGACGUGUGGAUGGGUACCGUAUCCUCCUUUUUCUUCUUCUUGUUCUUUUUCUUCUCGUCACGGUCGACAGUCCGAGGAUUCCUCUCUCUUCACCCCUUUCAUCACNAUAUAUAUAUAUAUAUAUAUAUAUAUAUAUAUAUAUAUAUAUAUAUAUAUAUAUAUCCCCCCUAUAUCGAGGAAAAGAAAGACAACAACAUAUAUAUAUAUAUAUACACGCCCCCAUUGACUGCUUCACACUUUUCCGUGAAAAGAAAAAAUACCUCACUCCACUAGCAAAUCACAGCGGAUGUCCCUUUUCCGACUGCCUUUUGAAUCCCGGCCCGCUUAAUUCUUCCUGUGUACAUAGGAAAGCAUCAUGCUAUGUCUAAUAAACAUGGUCGUAUAUCAUCUCCAAAAAUGUUUAAGUAAAUAAAUUUCUUUUCAUGCAUAAAGAAAUAGGUGUGCGAAAAAUAAGUAGCAAAGACAAGUAUCGAAAAAUAAUCAAUAUUGUGUAUUUUAAUCACAUGGUACGGCAUGCAUAUAUCAUGAAUGAAGUACUCCCUCGAAACAUAAGACCUUUUAGAGAUUUUAUCAUGGACUACAUACGAUGUAUAUAGACGUAUUUUAAUGUAUAGAUUCACUCAUUUUGCUCCAUAUGUAGUUCAUAAUGAAAUCUUUAAAAGGUUUUAUAUUUGAGAACGAAGGGAGUACGUAGUACACAAUCCAAUAAUUAAACCAUCAUGCAUGACAACUGGAACUGAUUGUAAUAAUAGUCACUAAAUAUAUAGCUCAGUCGGCUUACCGUGAGAGCACAUGGAUAGGUGAAUAUAAGAAUUCAGAUAGUACAUGAUGCAAGGGAGCACGUUCUUUUGAGCUUAAUGUGGUAUAUUGAUGUGAAGAGGAGGACGGCACUAGCCAGAAGAAAGCAACACAUUGCUUGGGUAGAUUGAUGAGAUAGGUGCAAUGGAACAAGACAAAUUACAAGCGUAGCAAGCUUACAACUCCUGCCUGAUUAGUAAGCCAUUUAAAAACAAAAGUAGAACAGAAACGCUCUAGCUUUUUUUUCACAAGAAAAAACCUAGAACUUCUCCGUUGGUGCACCUGCUCCAGGAAUAAUCAGCAAAACAAUCCACCUCUGAAUAAUUUGCCUCGUCUUGUUCAGGCUGCCUGCAUGUGCUCGCACCUGGCGUCACCUACUUAUCAUUUCCCUUGUUCUUUGUCACAGUCGGCAGUCCCCAGGAUUCCUUUCUCUCUUUCUUUUCUUUCGGGACAGGAAUAUAUCAACGAAUUUUACGGUUUAGAUUCGAUUCGAUUCGAUUCCAUUCCAUCGGGGUCGAUGCCGUCUGUCUAAAUUACAGCACGCAAAUCCGCAGGCAACCACGCACCCGUGUGCUUGCGCUUCUAGAACGGAGACAAGAGAUAUCUGUGGGUCAUAAAUUAAUAAUUCACUCCACUAGCUGCUGCUACUCCUCCUUUUUGACAGUGCACGGAGAGUAGCUAGCUAGGUUUAAUCUUAACGGCGGUGCUUACCAGAUCAACCACUAACAGAAUGCAUGUCUCAUAAACAACCGUUCGGUGGUUUGACCACGGCACUGCCUGGUCGACUAGGCAAACCUGAGUGAUAAAUCAACAACAACAUAGUACUAAUUAAUCAUAUAUUUCAGUGUUUCACUACAAGGCCUACAAAAAUACAGCAUAUGUAGAGUAUGUACUCGGGACCUCAUUCUUUAAUCAGUUUCUUUGCAUGCUUGGUCUGAUCGAUACCUUAAUUAGUUGAAUGAACAGUUGAUGCUUGGUCUGAUCGAUACCUUAAUUAGUUGAAUGAACAGUUGAUGCUUGGUCUGAUCGAUACCUUAAUGAGUUGAAUGAACAGACAUACUGAUCCAUUGAUAGCCGAUGGUAGAUGCAUAAUCCAAGAAUUAUGCUACUAUAUGCAUGACAACUGGAACCAGUUAAUAGCUACAUGCUCCUUGAGUCAGCCUACUAUAACUGAUCAGAUAACAUCAGGUGCAAAAUAAAGAAAUCAGAAAAAGGAGAGCUAGCACAUUCUUAUAUACAAUUAAGUUGGUUAAUCAAUAAAAAUUCAGACAAGGUGAGAGUAGUAUAUUGCGGUGAAGAGGAGGACAGCACUGAGAGAGCCACAAGAAAACAACGUACGCAUGCAUGCUUAGGUAUAUUAUUGGUGGUAGAUGCAAUGGAACAAGACAAAUUAGCAGCUAGCUAGCAGUUCAUGUAGUGGGGUGCUGCACUAGCUGCUUCCCUUUCUGUUAGCGAGAGAGGCGCCAAACCCAGAGCAAAAGCGCAACCUACCUUUUGUGCUCUUUGCUGACGUAACCCCCCCCCCCCCUUUUUUUUUUUACUCUACACGCUGCUGCUUUGGCCGGUGUCGAAAAGGAGCCACCGGGCAUUCACACUGUUGCUACCAUAUACUAACUUUAUUUUUAUUUAAAGCCCUUAGGUUUUUCCUCAUUUACCGAAAAACAAAGUUCACCAGCAACUACGAGGAGAAGUAGUCCAGUAAUCUACUUCCUCCGUCUCAUAAUAUAAAAGCGUUUCUUACUACGUUAGUGCCAAAAAAUGCUCUUAUGUUAUGAAACGAAGGGAGUAAUACAUAAUCACCCCUUGGUUUAGUUGGGACAAUACUGUAAUUAACUACUAUCUGAACACCCUGCAUGACAUGUGUGCAGUUUGUAUAUAUGCUACAUAGUAGCCAUAAUUAAUCUCUUAAAUCGACCAGAUAAGUCUAGCUAUCUCUAGGUAGGAAGGAUCAGCAGGUUGAAUGAAUAAGCAAGCAUGCAUGUGUCGGCAUCAGUCGCUGGAAUCCCGCAACAACAACCCAACACCGGAAGAAACCAAGGAUAUGAACAGGCAUUCGCCGAAUAGAUGUUGACCGGCAGUGCGCGAAUAAUGCAGCAAGCAUGCACGCAGAUAUACAUAUCUAUCCAUCAGGUUUGACCGCUCACGCUUUUUUAUAUAUGACCAAUGGCAAUGGAUCCAUCGAAUGCAAUCAAGUCGCACUAGUAGAAAAAGGGGCUUCCGUCCCAGCUCAAUUUACACAUUAGUCCCGGUUCCAUUACGUACACGGACUAAUGUUAGCAUUAGUCCCGGUUCGAACGGCAAAGGCGUCGGUCGGUCAUUAGUCCUGGUUCAAAAGGGACCUUUAGUCUCGCUUCGUGUCUCGAACCGGGACUAAAGGGUUUGGAGGCUUUAGUCCCGGUUCAAGACACGAACCGGGACUAAAGGGGUUUUGUAUUUUUAUUUUUUCCUGUUUUUAAAUUUUAUUUCUGUUUGUAGUUUCUGUUUUAAAUUGCUUAUAUCUUUUAGGAUAUUUUUUUUUAGUGAUUCUUUUUGCAUUAGAUUCAAAAUUUUGUCUAGUUUUUGUUUGUGCAAUUAGUUUUUAAAUUUGAAUGGUUUAAAUUUGAAUUUGUUCAAAUUUGCUUCAAACCCAAAUUGUGAAUAACUUGAGUUUACAAAUAGUUUUUAAUUUAAUUCUUUUUUCUCCUAGUCAUCUGUUAGAUUGUUAUCACAGUAAGAUUUAUUUGGUUAUUUUUAGAAUAAUUUAAAUUUGGAUUUUAAUUAAAACAAUAUUGUUUUGCUUAUAUAGUUGUUUUAGUCAUUUAAUUGUUGUUUUUUAUUAUUUUUAGUUAGUACUUUCUGUAGAUUUUUAACAUGUUAUAGUAUGGUGCAUAUUGAAUGCAUAAAAGUCUGGAAUUAAAAUCAUUUUAAUAAAAUGCCUUUGUAGCAGAUGGGUUUUCGUCUGAAAUGUUGAUACUUCGAAGGAUGAUCCAGUUUGUACACGAAGUGCAUCCAGUUUUUAUCGUAACUCUCUCAACUUUUUAGCACAUGCCAUGUGAGUGAAACUAUGAUACCAUGCCAACUUUCAACCUUUUCAGAGUUCAUUUGUAGUGCUUUUCAAUUUCAGGGUCAAUUAGCUCAAAAAAGUAAGUAAAUGCAUGAAAAAUACCAAAUGAAGUCAGAAAAUAUUGAAAAUUUAUGAUGUGGCUUUAAAUGGUGUAUUUUAAACACACAAAAAGUAUGGAGUUCAAAUAAGUUCAAAAAAAUGAAAUCCCUUUGCAAUAGAUGAGUUUUCAUUCGAAACCCUGAUACUUCGAAAGAGAUUGUUCAUUUUGUACACGAAAUGCAUCCAGUUUUUGACGUAACCCUCUCAAAUUUUUAGCACAUGCUAUGUGGAAGAAAUGAUGAUACGAUGCCAAGUUUCAACCUUUUCAGAGUUCAUUUGUCGGGCUUUUCAAUUUCAAGGUCAUUUAGGUCAAAAAAUCAUUAAAUGCAUGAAAAAUAGCAAAUGAAGUUAUAAAGGGUCGAAAUUUAGGAUGUGGUUUUGAAUGGUUUAUAUUGAAUGCACAAAAUGCAUAAAAUGACUGAAGUUGAAAUAAGUAAAAAAUAAAAUAUCUUUCUAGCAGAUGGGUUUUCGUCCGAAACCGUGAUACUUCGAAGGAGAUGGUCCAGUUUGUACACGAAGUGCAUCCAGUUUUUGUCGUAACCCUCUCAACUUUUUAGCACAAGCUAUGUGGAUGAAAUGAUGAUACCAUGCCAAGUUUCAACAUUUUCAGAGUUCAUUAUAGUUCUUUUCAAUUUCAGGGUCAUUUAGCUCAACAUAGCAAAUAAAGUUAGAAAGGGUUAACUCUGUCUUGGUUAACCUUAGUUGUGAUUCUGGCAGGGACGGUGCUAGCAAAUGUAGUCGACGGGUAUGAUUGGACUCUUGGCUAAAGGGGGAUUCUGAAAUUUUCAAACUCUACCCUUCCUGGACCGUCUUUUUUAGUUUUGUAGAAAAUAAACGAAAAUGCUAAAAUCUUCAAAAAAUAAAAUUCUUUGAGAUGUAGUUAGGUUUUAGUGCCUAGUUGGUAUACAAAUUUUGAGAUAUGAAUUUUGACCGUUUUUUCAAAAAGGGAAAAAUGUAAAACGGCCAUAACUUUUGCAUACGACGUCAAAAAAAAGUUUAAUAUAUCAAAAAAAACUAGAGAAAAUUGGGAAUCGAUUUCACCGGGGCUUGCCCGGUGAAGUUUUCUCAGAUGCUCAAAAUUCCAAAUGUAAAAAAGUUAUGGCAAAAAGAAGUUUUUUCCACAAAAAUAAGAAAAAUUAAUUUUAUUUAAAAUCUUUAGGUUGUUUUCAUUGAAAUUCACUAUUAUUAUUACUUAUUUUGUUUAUUUUAAUAAUUGUUUGAAUUCAAAAAAUUAAAUCAUGUGACAUGACAUCAAACCCUAGGUUGUUUAGGAUUGAUAGCUUACUAUUGUCAAGAGAACAACAAGUGCAGACUUGGCAACUAGGGGCGAUAGAACUAGGGGCUGAAGCAGUGAAAGGAUGGAUGACCGGCCGAGAAGUUAGAGGGUGACCGGCCGAGAAGUUACUCGAUUUGAAAUGAGUAAUCUACGCUAGAGCAGUGAGGAUGGGUGAUUAGAGAUUAAAUUGUCAAAUAAAUCAAAGAUUUAAAAAUUGAAAUAAAAUAUAAAAACAAAUCAAAAAAUAUUCAAAAAUAAAAUUUGAAAAAUAAAUAAAUAAGGUACCUUUUUGGGUCAAACAAACAAAAUAAACAGACGGAUCCUUUAGUCCCGGUCUGUGUUAAGACCCGUGACUAAAGGGCCUGUCUCUGAGGACGCUCCGAGGCGCUCACGUGGAGCACCUUUGGUCCCGGCUUGGAACAGUGCCGGGACUAAAGGCCUAACCUUUAGUCCCGCCUCUUUGGUCCCGUUGAUGAACCGGGACUAAAGCCCCUUACGGGCCGGGACUAUAGGCCCUGUCUCCACUAGUGUCACUGUUAUAACUUAUUAGUGUGUUACUGACUUAUUGUUAGUAGCUAGCUGACUCGUCACUGUUUGUAGUAUGUGAGCAGCCAGCUGAUCCACGAGAUGGGAUUGGUGUAGGUUAGGCAUAUGAUUGUAGGAAAUUAUAUGCAUCAAAGUUUGUUUGCAAAAUAUCAACAUGUGCAAUUAUAUUGUUCAUCCACAUCAACAUAUGUGCAUGAACCAGGCAUAGCAUAGUGCUUGUUAACAUAAUUAUUGGUACUGAUAAUAUAUCAUAUCGCAGUUGAUAGAGACAUGAGUGAGGAGUCCUGUCAGUUAUCAACACACGACUAAUAGAUUUUUCUUUUCCUGUUUUUGUCGGGGUGAGGCGGUGAAUGACACACAAUUUUGGAAGAGAACAUCUUUUCUUUGAGACAAUGGAAGAGAACAUCUGAAGGGGACACCCAAAGGCAUGUGGACCGGACCAACGUUGUACAUGGGCCGUCCCAACCACUUUCGUCCUAGUUUUGUGAAGGUUCUAGAAUAUUCCAAGACCUGUUAUGCUUCGGGGUUUUCCAUGUUUGUUCUUUCCAUUCUUUUUAUUUUGAUUUUCGUUUUUUCUUUCCUUUUCCUUUUUGCUGACAUUUUUAUCUUGCUUUUGUAUUUUAUUUUUCUUUUAGGGUACUUCUUCUCAAAUUCGUGAACGUUUGCUGAAAUAAUGAAUAUUAUUAAAAUUUAUGAACAAUUUAAUGUUACCACAACCAUUGCUAAGUUCGUGUACAUAUUUUUGAAAAUUCAAGAAUGUUUUUUACAAAUUCGCAACCAUUUUCUUAAAAUUGUGAACAAUUUUAAUCUCCAAAAAAAAUUUGAAUCCUAUUUUUUAGAGUAAUAUUUUGAAAAUAAUUGGCAACAAUUUUUGAUAUUCAUGAUCCUUUUUUGUUUUAAUGAACAUUUUUCUAAUUCGAGAGUUUUUUUAAUCAGCAAUUAUGUCUUGAAUCCUUAAAUACAAUUGUAAUUCGAGGACAUUUUCUGAUUUAUGAACCUUUUUUUGAAUUUAAGAACAAUUUUCAAAGUUCAUAAACAUUUGUGAAAACAUAGACAUUUAUUCAAAAUCAUUAAUAUUUUUGGGUCAAAGAAAGAAAGGAAAGUGGUCCUCGCUUCGUACAGUUAGAGCAUCUACAACCAACCGAAUGCCUCAAACGACCCCUCAGACGUCCGUAGACACGCCCAGUUAGUGACCGGACAGUCUUAUACAUCCGAGCUGUCCGCGAGCCAUCAUAUUGAGGACAAAUAUAGGGAAGAUAUAAGGACUCGCGGACACGUCCGGACGCGCUUGGUCAAUCUUCCACGUAGGAUGUGACCUAUCCCGGACCACAUUUUUUCUUUGUUUAUUCUUUUCUUUCUUUCUCUUUCUCUCUACCAAUUAUGUGCAAGUGGCCAAGUGAAGGCUAUGUCAAGCUGGACGUGGAUGCUGCAUUCAGCGAUGACCAAGGUAGUGGAGCUUCGGGUGCUAUUUAUACACGACAUCAGUGGAGAUUUUUUGGCGGGGUCUUGCAGCCAUAUUCCAUUUGUUGAGGACACUGCAACAACAGAAGCCCGAGGUCUCCGAGAUGGCCUUAUCUUGACAAGUGAUAUUGGAUGCAACAACAUAGUGGUCGAAGCUUAUUGCUUGGAGAUAAUUCAAGUGAUGCAAGAUGGUGGCAGCUCGCUAGGACCAGCAACGGCAAUAUACAAGGAGUGCACUUUCUUAUGUCGUAGUUUUAAUUAUGUUAGUUUUUACCAUUUCCCUAGGGAGGCCAAUACGGCGACAGACUUGUUAGCUAUUAGGUUGGAGGUUUCGCAAACCGUGAAUUGCCAAGGGGAACCACUUGAUUUUCUAGUGGAUGUACUCUCAAACGAUGUGUUGUUGUUCCGGCAUGAAAUAUAAACCGCCAUGAUUACAUUUCCCUUAGAAAAAAACAAACAACAAGUACUGCAACUGUUAUUCUGCUAAUAUUAGAAGAAUAAUAUUCUGCUAACAUUUCUAAACUGCAUGCUCAACGCAAGUGCAUGGCAUUGUGAAGCAAAGUGUACUGCAAUGCUAGGCGAGGCGAACAGCUUGUCGCAGAAAAAUCUGCACCCAUUUUUUCGGUACUGUUUUUUAUCCAGCUUUUUAACCAUUUUUCGGAACGAAGCGUGUUAUACGCCCUUGGAAAGCUAUGGAUUAGGCACAACUUUUUUUAUGUUGAACCCUUUCCGAGAUUUCAAACGGUUUAAGGCAGUUUCAAAAAUGGUGUGGCCCUCGACGAGUGGCAGCGAGCAUAUUUUCGCAUUUUUUAAACCGCUCGCCGGAAUAAUGCAAAUGAUACGCCAUUGAAAACAUAUCGUGGAGGCACAACUUGUACCUACAGAACAUACUCUCUAAUUCCAUACAGUUUAAGAGAAAUUUUAAAUUUACCAAAAUGCAAAAAAUCUCUUGUGCAAAUUUGUGAUUUUUUCGGUACGGUUUUCGCUGCACUUCUUUAACUGUUAGUUGGAAUGGGGUGUGUCAUACAUCGUCGGAAACCUAUAGAACAGGCGCACCUUUCAUAUAUAGGACAUUUGUUGAGAUUCCUCAUGAUUUUAAAUAAAUUUUGAAAACGAUACGGCCCCGACGAGUGAUGGCAACUGUUUUUUCUUAAUUUUUUCUAACCGCUCGUCGGAACGAUGCAAAUGAUACAUUGUUGGACAGAUAUCGACAAAGGCAACUUUUUCAUAUAUAACACUCUCUAUUUCCUUACGGUUUAAGAGUAGUUUUAAAAUUACCAACAUGCUGACACUCUAUUUUUCUUGACACCAAAAUAGACAGAGUGAACUGCAUCAGAAAAAAACUGCACUCUUUCAAUAGGAAAACCGCACUGUAUCAGACGGGCAAAUGAACUGCAUGAUUUCUUCUAUCAGAUGUAAAUUUUAUGUGACAACGAAGUGGAGUGCGCUUCACAUCGGGCGUAAGUGAACUAUAAACACAAUAUCGAAAAGUGAAUCGCAUUACCUUUUUCGUCGUUUCCAUAACAAUUUUUGCACUUCAUAUUUUGGGAGUAAAUGAACCCCGACACCACCGAAAGUGAACCGCGACACUAUCAAAAGUGAACUUCAUGUUUUUUUAAUCCUUUUCCUAAGUUUCUGUACACCAUUUUUUUCUCCAUGCAAUCUGAAUUGCGAGGCCACAAGAGUAGUGAACCACAUAAGGGGAAGUGAACCUCGAAGCGAAUCAAAGUGAACCACAGUUUUUUGACAUCAUUUUUCUCCCACGUUGUUUUACAAAGUGAACUACUUGACUCACUACAAAAUAAACUUGUAACAUUUUUCUGCACUUCACAUUGGGAUUAAGUGAAUCAUGACACUACCGAAAGUGAACCUAUGUACUAUUGAACUGAACCGUGUGAGUUUUUGUUGUCCAUUUUCAUGUUGCCUACUAUCUAUUUCCUCUUGUUAAUUUUAGAUAUAUGUGGGUCUUACUAUCAUUUGCUUGUGAAGCACAUGUGUGAUAUGGAUCUUGUUCUUGAGUGCUUUGAAGAGCGAGCAAAUUUGGACUUGGUCCUAGAUCAUAAACAAAUGUACGCGUUUUUCAAAUGUUCAAGUAAAUUAGAGAAAGUGUUGCGUACCGUUCAAUAAUAUGUAUGUUACUUUUUAAAUAAACGUUUCAAAAAUAUGGUCGUGGCAUUUGAAAAGAAUGUUUAUACAAUGUAAAAAAACAAGGUUUACAUAGUUUAAGAAAAUGUUUGUAUCAUCCAAAUAAAUGUUUCGAUGUGUAUUUGAAAAAUGUUUAACACGUAUCCAAAAACUUUAACUUGAAAAGAACUAGUCAUGCAUUUGAAAAGUACUAUGUAUGUACAAAAAAUCAUUUAUAUGUAUACAAAAAAUGCACAAUGUGUAUGAGAAAAAUGGAGAUCAAAACAUAUAUCUAAAAAUGUUAUAUGUGUAUAAAGGUUCCAGAUGUAUACAAACAUGUAGACAUGUGUUGAAAAACAGGGAAAAGGGGGAAACCGGUAAAACUGAAAAAAGAAGUGAAGAAAAGCGAAGAUAAAAAAGGAAAAAGUAGAGAAAACAAAAACACUACUACAAACAAUGAAAACCCCGAUGAAAACUACAAAGAAAAAACUCACCCCAUGGCUAUAGUACUAGCUCGGCCCAGUAGCGCCGCACCAGAUCUACAUCUCACAUAUGGCAAGAAAUAGGACUGCGGUAGUGGCAUGCAUUCGUAGGGGAAAUCAAAACAGAAUUGGGCCAUUCUGGCAAGGCACAUGCCACACAUAACAAGUUUGACAUUCCCUAAAAAAUACAAGUUUCGAUGUGUUUCAUCAAGUGGAUCUGUCUCACUUGAUGGAGCAGCACUCAAACCUUCAUAGACAUGGGUGUGGUGGGUAGUGUCGUAGGCAGGUUUCUCCUACGCCCGGGUCAGCAGUGUAGCUACAACCAACGAAAAAACCACAUCCCAGCCCUGGGUGUGGGUGUAUGCAUUUUUUUAUUUGCUAAGUGUAUGAUAAGUAUUGCUCAAGUCAUUCAAGAACCGUCUUAUCAUCUCUUUUAUCAUGUGAGAGUAUACGCUGCAGAACCAUGUGGUCAUUCUAUUUCCAUGUUUCGUUUCCUCUUACAAAACGAGAAGAAGAAAAAUAGAGUGAACCUUUCAUGAAAUGAGGAGUUCAGUAUCAAUCGCAUGAGGAACACAAGGAAUUCCAUGAUGGCCAACUUAUAAAUACCCCUGUUUAGGUCUAGCUUGUUCAAGACUUAUUCGGAGAUGCCAAAUCAAUCAACCGAGUACUCUGAAAUAUUGGAGAAAAACAAGAGAUGAGGAGCCAGUGUUCGUGGCCGAAAGGUUAUUUUUACUUGGCUUUUCAAACCUUUGGAUAGAUGAUACAACCACGUGCCACGGAAUUCUCGCUACACAUAUGGUAUUUACUCGGCAGUUCGGGAUUGCUGGUUUCUUGCUGAUUUCUUGAUUGGCAGAUUGGUGCUCUAAUCCUACGCUCAUAUUGAAACAAGAGAUGUAUUUACAUUCCUGCUAGCUUUGGAAUUGGUCGUCAACAGAUUGAACAUUUGGAUUUGGUUGCAUGUAUGAUUUGAUUAAGUUAAUACAAAUGAUAAAUUUUGAAGAGUUGAAUGUGCUUUAUAGGCUCGUUAUGCGUCCACUAAUGUGAUUGCCUUUUUUGUUCUCUCCAACACUUGGGAGGCGUCAACUGGAAGUUCGAGAGACCUAAUGGAUAGAAAAUAAAACUAUACUAAGCUAGGGAGUAUGAUUAAAAAUGUUAUAUGUAUUUAUAUUUACCGAACAGAUGUCGUAAUAUGUAAAUGUGUCUCAUAUCUCAUCUUUGCACAAGUAAGUAAGUAUGCAUGACGAGAGUGGCUUGCAAGCGAUACCAUGUGGUUAAAUAACAAGGUUUGCAUUCAGAUAUACAACAACGCAAAUACUGUUGUUUUCACUGAAGGCUAAAGUUGUGGAGCUUCAAGGUUGAUGACUGAAAGCAUAUUCUGAUUAAUGAGACACACGGGGUGCCAAACAUGGACAACCACCUCAUGAGCAUCAAACCACAUGUUUCAAGUGGGACCUUAAACAUCACGCAUAUGGAUGGGCAAUGACUUACAGUUCAGGCUGGGACUACUCCAUGAUUCCUAGUGUAGUUGAGCAAUUCAGGUGUGUCAAUGUGAUGUUAUUUUUACAAGAAAGUUAGUGCUCUAUCAUCCAAAUCGGGUAUUCUUCAGGUGAGCCAGAUUUACUCAUGUAGGCGGACGCAUCGGCAUGGUCCCCGUAUGCCAACAUGCAGCCAAGAUAAACUAAUUUGGUUUAUUUUAGUGGUAAGGACGAAUGCCAACAUGCUACAAAAAAAUUUGAGGGAGCCAACAUGCUACUCUAAUAAUCGUGACGCGGACGAUUCAAACGCAUCCUCCUGCAUGUCUACACGAAUUGUUGUGGUCGUGGACACUUUUAUAAAAACUAUCAUUCAUUUCUAAAGGAGUAAAAUGAACUGGACCGCGUUUGGAUCCGACAUGUGCAAAACCCCACGGUUCCACGGUAUGUUUAAGAGUUCUUUUAAGAUGAUGGAAGGACGGCACAUACUCAAACAAUUAUCCAAACCCUCUCAAAAAAACAUCUUGCAAAAGGACGAAAUAUUCCACAGGCCAUAUUAUUCUUGUGUUACCACAGCAUGACAUGAGUAUGGUGUAAAUCAUCCAGAAACUGUUUUAUCAUGUGAAUACACACACUUCAAGUGCAAAAUCCUGUGACCAUCCCACCGCUCGUUUUCAUUUCCACUUGCGAAAAAUGGUUAAAACUGCAUGAAAUGGGUAAGGGAUGUCAACUGCAUGAAGAAGGGUGAGAAAUUCAUGGACAUACAUUGAUUGUAUAAAUAGUCCCAUCAAGAUUGUAUUCAAGACUUGCGAUUCACAAAUGUGAAAUCAGUCUACCGAACAGUCUGGAAUAUUGGAGGAAGACAAAAGAUGAGGAAACACGGGUUCUGAGAAUUCUCCUUAUCUAGCUUUUCUUCAUGUUGUUUUCCUCCAAUUAUCCAUCUCUUCAUCAAAUUGUUGGAAUCCAUUGUUGAUCCUACCAUGUAUGGAGCUCUACUUCUCUUGAUAUCAGAUCAGUAAAGGUUUGAGAGACUAUAGCGAUAAAGAAGGAAAUAGAUAUAAGCAUAUAACUUAGAAAUAUUCCCUUUUACUGCACAAAUAAGAAAAUAAAGAUCUCCACAUGAUAGGCGUGCCGGGAUCCGUUUAGAAAAUGUGUCUCAGUUUAUCUUGUAAGUACGUAUUCAUGAAAAAGUGUCUCUACCAGAUGGCUUGACAACAAGAUUUGCAUUCCAUACCAGAGAUUACAAUAUCAAGAUACUCUGGCUGCUUUUGCAACCUUGAGAUCAUCAAAGCCUGAAAAUGCUACCCUAGUGUGAGCUGCAAUUUUCAAUGUUCCAUGAAUUGCAUCUAUCUUGCCUUGAGAUCAUCCAAAACCGCGGAAGCGGCAUUGCAGCCCAGGGCACCCCCAUCACCCAACCGCCUGGGUGUGCGCCGCUGCCACAGGGGUUUAGCCCCUUCACAGGGUUCUGUAAUCUGACAUGUUUGGUGCGGAGCAGAAACAGAUUGGCCAUGAUCGCAAAGGCACUAAUUCUGAACCUUGACAUCCCUUGGCAGGCCAUAUUAGAAAGAGAGAAUCCAAUCCCAUUGUGCUGUGGAAGAUGUUGUCUCCUGAAAAAAAAAGUUAGUUCACAGUGGUAUCGAUUUGCACGACAUAUAAAAGACGAUGAAUCUAUAUUAUACAGUAUGGAGAGAAGUUACCUGUUAAGCCAAACUCCCUUUCAAGACCAAGUAGGUAUGCAUGACAAAAAUGUCCAUACCAGGUGGCUUAACAACAAGGUUCACUGAUACAAGAUAUUACAGAAUCUCACACACUCUUGCUGAUUUUGCAGCCUUGGGCUUGAAAAUGCUACUCUAGGGUCAGGCUGUGCAACUGCCCAUUUCCCAUGAAUUACAUUGUUCAAUCUUGCCAGAGAAUUUUCCAUCAAACAGCACAAUCUCAUCAGCAUAGCCAACGCUCACAUGAUGAGAACAAUGGUCAACCAUGGAUAAAUUAUAUGACCAUACAACACGGCGUCCAAUCUGCAUGUAUCUCAACCUUAACAUAUACUGUACAUCCAAUCAGCAUUGAACCUUAACCUUAACAUAUACGUACAUCCAAUCUGGUGAUGGUACAAUCUGAACUAUAUAUAUAAUAUAUCCACAUGAUGGUAAUAAUAUGAACAAGCACUCCAUAAUGCGAUGUAUUUUCCCUAAUGUACACGCUAUAUAUUUCCUUGUAACAAAAGCAUAAAGAGCAGCAGUUCCAUACGAUCUCGGACAACGCCACUAGUUGUGUAUUGCUUAACGCACUGCAAACGCGCGAGAGGUACCUGUAAAAUGCUCGAUCGACCCUAACAGCGCCUUGGAGGCACCAAAAUGCCUCAGCCUAUAAACACCAGGGGCAGCAUCUUCAGGAAUGGUCCACUCCAGCGUCGCAAAGCUCUCCGGACUGAGUUUCGAAGGCCUCGACCACUUGAAUUGCAAAGACCAAUCGUCAUCGUCGUAGACAGGGAUCCAGUCGUUACCAUUUAGUCUCUCAACAAGGGCGAAGGUACCGUCAGUUAGAAGGUCAUUCCGUGGACAGGCCGAAUGGAAUGUAGCAUUCACGGUACUGCCCUUCCUGAAGUCUGAGUUUGCUUCGACGUCGGAGCUGACAUCCCCAAAGUGAACACCAGGAGGAGUCGAGUCGAGAACGACGCCUGGCAGCAGUCCGAUUUGCUUGUCCAACAUGUCAGGAGGUAGGAUGUUUGUUGCUGGGAUCUCUUUGUUUUCAAUCAUAGCUGUGGCAAGUUUCUGAAAAGCUUGAAUGUAUGCACUCAAGGUAUGGGGGCCGUACAAAGUUGACGCACCCUGCAAAACACAUAUUCACUCCAACGAAACUGAUGAAACAAUAACUGAAAAUUCAGGUUCAGAAAUGACAGAUCUUUAGCAACAAAACAUUAACUAAAGCCAAACUGGUAUAAUUGUGAACAGUCUCUAACAAAAACAGAUAUGUUGGUUUGCGCUUAAAAAAAUUGGAUGUGGCUGAAACAAAUUCUGACGAAAUUCAAAUAAUGGCACUCAAAUCCAGUGCAGGCUUGCAAGCAAAUCGAAGAGGAAGGACUAAUAUUCUGACAUAUCAAGAUGGGGCAGGGACAUAUGGACAACAUGCAUUCACUUUAUCUAAAGGCUGAGGGUACUCCCUCCUUUCCGUAAAAAAGGGGUAGCAACUAGCAAGGACAUGAAAAACAUCACAACGAGAAGUCUACUGAUGGAUGUAAUCUGUUGUGGGAUCCAGCCACCGGCAGGCUGCUCAGUUUUCUUGGGGUGGAGCUGAUUGGAGAUAGCCACUCCAGAAGUUCACGCAACAAUAAUUGUAAUCAAGGGUCAUAGUUCUAUGAAACCGCUCCAGUCUUUAAUAUUUAAUGGACUAUAUUGCCCAUUUUGAUUAAAGGGUUGUGUUUUGAUCUCCACCGUCAAUUUAUUUAAGGGGGUGUACAGAAGCAAAGUUCACAUACCUCGUAUCUUUGGACCUGGUAUUCUUCGAAUGUUGUAACAUACUGAGAAUAUGUGUUUGUCAGCCCCGCAAGAACAACGUGAGUGUUGGAAUUAAAUUCACCAUUGCUGCCACUUAUCAGUACAUUUUUUAUAGCAUCGCGUAACCGCCUGCCAGCCAUUGUCGUGAAUUCUGUGCCAAAACAUAAUAAAAAAUAUUAGAGGAGCACUGACGCUUAUUGACCAUAUGAUUGCUAGCUCUGAAACCCAAGCAAUUGCCUCCCACCUAACUACUGCCCGGGAAGACUUGGUGCUUGGCAGAGCUCAAAAACCUUGCUACGUAAAGCAAGUUCAUUAAGAUGGGAAAAGUCUUCCUUUUGUGUUGUGGACGUGUGGUCCGCUGAGCAGUCUCUAAUAAUUACUACUCCCUCCGUCUCAUAUUAGUUGUCGCUGAAAUGGAUGUAUCUAGACGUAUUUCAGUGCUAGAUCUAUCCGUUUGAACAACAACUAAUAUGGGACAGAGGGAGUAUAUACAAUUUCACUUAGCUCUGCUGGCCUUACUGCCUUGAGCUAUUGCUCAAGUGGACUACUUCUUUCUUACCUAGCAAAGCAAAGUGGGAAAAUGAUGCAGACAUGCAUGUUGCUGGUUUUGUUGAGAAAGAACGGUAACUCAAAAGAAUGGGUAAGAUGAGCAUGACAUGUCUUGAUAGAUAAAAGACCCUCCUGCACUUCUAACUGGGCAGACAUAAUAGGGUUGACGAACUGGAAUAUACCUCCAGGAACAGACAAGAUAACCAGCUGACCGAUUCUUAUGAUCUGAAUGGGGAGUAUCGCAGGCUGCAAAAGAUUACAGAAGUCAAUAAGAUCAGGAAAUAAAAUUUGUGUUAACUCGGUAAAUUGGUUUCUAGUUAGAGAUUUUGCUUUGUGAUUUUGACAUGUUAUGGAGCUUCACAACAGGUGCCCUGCAGUUCACAAAUAACGGAUCAUUUGAUCCCAUCACGUCUACCAGAAAAACAGCGUUGUUAGAGUACGUGAUGGGCCUGGGCCCGUUAGUCUUAGGGUUUGCUUAGGGGUCAAGUAAGCCUUACUUGGGAGUCAAGUAAACCUCUCUAUAUAUGGAGAGGAGAUGUAUCAAUCUAAUCAGGCAAGAAUUAAGAAGGAAAACCCUUUUCCCUCUUGCCCGGCCGUGGGAAAGGACCCCCACGGCCGGCUCUCUCGUGCCCUCACAGCUCUCUCUCUCCCGCUGGAAGAAACUAGGGUUCUACCGGCCCUCUGCCUUAGGUUAUAAGGAUAGGAGGGAGGUUGGAGGGGACGAGGGCGCCGUGGCCGGCGCGACGGCGCCGUCUCGGCAUAGGGAGGAGGCGGCGGCGAGUAGAGGAGGCGGUGGCUAGGGUUAGGGUUCCGGCUCCUCUGGGAGCCGGGCAAUAGAAUUGUCUUAUUGCUUAAUUCCAAAAGAGCUGUUUACAUCGGUUUAUAUAAUCUCGAUAACUUUGACUCUAAGAUAACUAAGAUAAAUUGGACUCUAAGAUAACUAAGAUAACUUGGGCUAAGCCCCUAAUAUUAUUAAGAUAACUGGGCCAGUUUGGCUAACUGGGCUUCUCAUCAUAACAUUUCUCCCCGCCUGCGCAAACAGCUCGUCCUCGAGCUGGAUGUCUAGAAAAUGUUGGCAGAAUUCCUUGAGCUGCUCCCAAGGUGCCUUUGGAGGGUUGAGCUAGUCCGAAGUACGUCGUGCAUCAAGGCCUGGAAUGUCACCGGCGCAUUGGAGAGACCGAAAAGCAUCACCAAAAACUCGAAGUGAUCAUGAUGGUAGCCAGAACGCAAGUUGAGCGUAGGGAAUAAGCGUGGCCCUUGCGGCUUUUCCCAGAGCUCCGCCAUGACCGGUAUAGGAAAAUUGACCCUCAUCGUCAUGGUAGUGAGAGCACGGUAAUCGAGGCAGAAACGCCACAAGCCCCCGGGCUUGUGAACAAGGAGCACCGGUAAAACGUCGCCGUGCCGCUGCGGGAGAUGAGCCAACAGGGGCGGCUCGGAGUCUGCUAUGGCGGUCGACAGCUGAGAGGGAAAUGCUGGAGAAGUGCCACCCUCGCCCUUCCACUGCACCAUGCGCCCUUGACGCCAGAAAGUCAUGGUCAGUGCGUCGAAAUCCCAAAGGAUGGGUCCGAGCGUCCGCAAGAAGUCGACGCCGAGGAUGAAGUCAUAGUCGCCCAAGUCGAUGCCGACACACGUGAUGGCGAAGGACUCGUCGCCGAUGAGGAUGGGAACCUGCUGCGCAAUUCCGUGGCAGCGGAGACGGUCACCAUUAGCCACGGUAACUCGGAGCUGCUCGCCGCCCGUCGGCUGGAGGGCCAGGCGUUGCAUGGUAGACGCGGGCAGGAAGUUGUGUGUAGAGCCCGUGUCCAGGAGAGCUAAGAGGCGCUCCCCAUUAACCGUCACUGGCAACAGCAUCGUUGUUUCCGUUCGUAUGCCGACAAGGGCAUGCAGGGAGACCACGAGAGCGGUGGCUGACGUCGGGGCUGCCGCCUCGGCAAGCUCGGAGGGAGCUGUAUCCUCCACGACAUAGUCGUCCGCCUCCAGAUAGAAGAGGCGCGGGCAGAGGCGCGGGCAGACGUGGCCUGGCACGUAGGGCUCAUCGCAGUUGAAACAUAACCCCUGGCGACGACGCUCGUUUUGUUCGGUCGGGGUUAGCCGAAGGAACGGUCGAGUUGCUGCUGUGGCGGGCGUCCCUGUCGCCGGCUGGGCAGGCUGGGUGGGUGCAGAUAUAGCCGGCUGAGGGGGUGGGCGAGGUGCCUAGGCCGGGAACGCCUGCUGCAUAGCCACCGCCCGUUGCUCGAAUGCGCGGGCAUAGUACAUGGCCGUCUGGAUGUCCUGUGGUCCGCGCAUCUCGACGUCCACGCGGAUGUGGUCGGGGAGGCCCCCGACGAAGAGCUCGGCCCGCUGACGAGUCGUCACGCCAGGCGCGUGACACGCCAGGGCCUGGAAGCGGUCGGCAAAGUCCUGCACCAUGGAUGUGAAGGGUAGGCGGCCAAGCUCCGCCAACCGGCUCCCUUGGAUCGGAGGCCCGAAACGUAGGAGGCAGAGCUCGCGGAAACGCUCCCAUGGAGGCAUGCCGCCCUCGUCCUGCUCGAGAGCGUAAUACCACGUCUGUGCGGCACCUCGGAGGUGAUAUGAAGCGAGCCAGGUGCGAUCCGACACUGGCGUCCGUUGCCUCCGAAAAAACUAGUCACAUUGGUUGAGCCAGCUCAGGGGGUCCUCCGUGCCGUCAUAGGUGGUGAAGUCCAGUUUGGCGAAGCGCGGCGGCGUGUGGGUAGGGCCGCCUUGGCGGUACAGCUCGUCGGCUCGGAGUAGUGCAGGGGUCGGCGCCGGGUACCCGUCGGGGCCGGCGAAGCUGGAGGGCCCGCCGUACUGCGGGGGUGGCGCCGGUGGCGACUGGAUGUGCGGCGGCGCCGAGGCCGUCGUGUACACCGGCUAUGACGACUCAGUCACCCAGGCCGGUAGCGGCGACGGCAAGGGGGGAAAUCGGAGCUGGUGGAUCGGCACCCCCGGCGCAGAGGUAGGGCGCGGCCCGGAGGUGGUUUGUGGCGGCGGCGGCAGCUGCAGGGUCGGCUACAGCGGCCCGACUGAGGGUGGCAGAGGCAGCUGCAGCGGCCAGGCGUGCGCGGCGGUUGCCGCCAGCAGCGGCUGCUGCCAGGGCGGCCAGGACGGGCCGGCGCUGGCUGGUGGUGGCGCGGCUGGCUGCGGCCCGUAGGGCGCGGCCAGGUAUAGCCGAAUGCCCUGGACGGCGGUAGCCAGGUCGCGGAUCGCACCGGUCAGCUCCUCCGGGGUGAGGACGGCCGGAGGCGGCGCGGCAGAAGAGGCUGGCGCAGGCAGGUGCGGCCCGCCGGCCGUGGAGAUCAUCGGAGUGGUGGUGGGGGACGACGGCGCAACGGUGGAGACGGGCGGCGGUGAUGACAUGAUCGAACCAGAGCCUCGUGAUACCAAACUGGUAGAAACUAGGGUUCUACCGGCCCUCUGCCUUAGGUUAUAAGGAUAAGAGGGAGGUUGGAGGAGACGAGGGCGCCGUGGCCGGCGCGACGGCGCCGUCUCGGCGUAGGGAGGAGGCGGCGGCGAGUAGAGGAGGCGGUGGCUAGGGUUAGGGUUCCAGCUCCUCUGGGAGCCGGACAAUAGAAUUGUCUUAUUGCUUAAUUCCAAAAGAGUUGUUUACAUCGGUUUAUAUAAUCUCGAUAACUUGGACUCUAAGAUAACUAAGACAACUUGGACUCUAAGAUAAUUAAGAUAACUUGGGCUAAGCCCCUAAUAUUAUUAAGAUAACUGGGCCAGUUUGGCUAACUGGGCUUCUGAUCAUAACAAGCGUCGAGAGUGAACAUGCAGAUAUAUAGCGCCUAAACAUUAAUCUCUAAAACUAAGAAACUCCCACAGAAAAAAAUCAAGUUCAUUACAGAAACGAAAUUAUGUCUUAUAUACGUAUCAGGCUAUCAGCCUAUGCAGUGUUGAUUUGAUGCUGCAGCAAUUGGUCCUUAUUGAUGGUGGCAUUGGUGUCAGCUAUUAAGUGAAAUUGCAAUUAAGACAUUUCAGAGAAAGCGACGUAACAAGCCUGCUUAUGAUUACUUAAAAAGAAAAUCAUACCGCCCAAUCAUAUGGUUCCUUCAUUUCACCAGUGUCUAGCAAUAUUGGUUUUGGAGCUUGGCACUCGACUUGCUCUUUCCCUGGUUUCUUUAGUAUGCCCCCCACUAAUCUCCAGAAGGGGUUUCCCUGAUAAUAGAAGGUGCACAAUCAGUGAAUACCAUGUCAUCUACAAUUUUGAAGCAAGUGUUUAACUGAUAUACCAAACCUUGUCAUCUCCUUGUUUGAAAUCAAAAGCUCCAGGGCCAUCUGUGGUUCCAGCAGCAAAUGAAAAUCCCAUGGCUGCUGGGCAUGUUUUCACCACCUGCUGACCUCCCGUACUCGUAGAAACACUAACUUCGAGUUGUGAGAAAUCUAAGUAAGUGUGACGAUAGUCAAUUUUUCCUUGUAGUUCUUCCGAAGCAGAAUUAAAGAGAUCUACAGCCUUCAGAAAUUGCCUAUUCCCAAUUAUGCGGGUACUUUCGAACUCAUUAGGAUACCUGCAAGGCAGCAAUAUUUGAAAACCUCAUUUAUAAGGACUUGUUGCUGAUGCUCAUGGAAGGUUAAUAACUUGCUAUGCGAGAAGAAUACCCUGGGCCUCGUCCAUAGCAAAGUUCGUUCUUCCCAUUACACGUGCUGUGAUUGAAGUCACAAGGAAGGUUGGUGUCUAUGCAAAAUGCUCCCAGGACAUUUGGACUAACAUCUCCACAGUUUGACUGGCAAAAUGCGGAAACAAAUUUGGCAUUCUUUUCUUGAGUGCUUCUAAUGCGCCUAGUGAUAUUUGAACCUGCCAAUAUUCUGCCACCUGAGGCCUCGUAGGAUGAUGCUAAUUGCAUUAAGUCAUCCGCUGAACAAAAGCAAACGGAGAAAAUAAUAGGUUUAGGAACAACCUAACAUGUUCAUUCCGACACACUAUAUAUACAAGGCAAGAAGGAUGGAACAUACUUAUCUCAUCUGGCUCUGGUAUUAUUGUAGAGACUCUUCUCGGAAGGUGCAAAGAUCCAAAAUCAUCAGAAUUUGCAUGACCUGUCUGCUUCGGAAGGCCAUUUUGUUCAGCCCAGUCUUCCAUGAAACGUGCAGCUGCUCCUUUGUUAUCACCACUUAUCAAAGAAUUUGUACGACUCAUUGAUGUUCCGUGAGUCGCAAACCAAUUAAAACUUCCAACUGGACCGAAUUCAUCAUCCACAAACUUAACAAGGGUCAUUUCUUUAUCAACAUUGUAUCGAUAUUUGCUUCUCUCUUCAGCUGGAUUAUUCAGAUACCCACUCGGGCUGCGAUUCACACCAGCAUCCAAAAGGUCACCUGAACAUCAAACGUAUGAGGUUGACAACAAAAUCUUCGCAGCAACUAAAUCUAAACUUAGCCGGCAUCACAAUACCAUAAAGAGAGAGAAAAGAGUAGGCAUUGCAUGAGGAAUUGAACAACCGGACUUAUACUGCAUUGAUUAUUAUACAGAUGUCAUAGUGAAAAAAAUAAUUGCAGACAGACUUCAAGUAACAUUUAAAGACCAAACUUAAACUAAAUGACAUUUUAAAUCCAGGUGGAAGACACUAUAAAUAUUACCAAACGUAUGUGUUUUAAUUAGAUGUGAGAUCAGUACAAAUGGUAGUUUGGUAAGACAUUAGUUUAAGACAGUGCAAUUAGUUGCAUACCUUUAUUCACAUAGAUUUUCCCAGGACGGAGAUUGUUAUGAGCUUCAACAAUACUUUGCUCAAUGCCAUCGACAAUUACAUCGAAUGACUGGCGAACAAACCCAAGUGAUGUGAUAAUAUAGACUACAUACUGCAGAUAACCUCCAGGCCCAGCAUGGGUAUGGAUGCCACUGAUAGCCACAUUAUUCUCACUAUAAAGAUCACCGUACCUGCCAAAUCGAGGCUUGCCAAGUCAACCCAACUUCAUGCGCGUGCAAGGCAGAAUCUAGUUUCUUAUUGAUGAAAUAGACCAAGCGGAUUAUAAGACUUUAAAUAUGCCAUUGAGUGCCUCUGUACAAUAUGAAUGUGCAUUAUGAAAUGGCUAAGCACGUUAAGUGACAGCACCUCAGUUCAUAUUAUCUUAAUAACGUACAGAAAGACACCAGCGGCUAAUGAUGGCUUGAACUAAUAUUUCAAGAGAGAAAAAUGCACAAAGGAUGAUGAAACCAUGCAACUGUAUGCAUGAUCUACAAAGAGACGCCAAACAUGCACUCAGAGUUGAAAUCAACAUUUCAGAAUUUUCAGAUAAUUAAUUCAGGAGAAGUUGCUUCUUACUACCUCACUUUUAGCCUUUCGAGCACCUUUAUAGUCACAAGCUGUGAUGCCAUGCAAGCAUCGAGAUUCACAAAGACAACACGCUUUCCAUCAUCAGGCUCGGCGACAAUAAACGCUCGUGACUUUAGCCUGAAGUGAAUCCCUGCUGUAACCUGCUCAGCAUUUGCAUAUCCCAUCAUGUUAACAUCUGCCGCAGGCCCUGUUAUGUCAUAGCUCCCCAAGCCGACGAGAUAAGGAGAUUCUGAGAGCACCGGGCUGCAAUUCUGAAAGAGACGCAGUAAAAGAAGACAUAGCCAUAUCCAGGACAAACCAAAACCGCAGAAUUGGUAGCGCAAGCAAGACGAUGCCUCCAUCAGGAAGGAACCAGGGAAUGAAGUUGCUAAUUAACUAGUGCAAGCCAGAAGCCUCGAGAGAACAAAAAUAUUAACUGCAGUCUGCAAAAGGGAAGAAAAGCCUGUUAAAAAAUAUCACCAAACAUUCUAUCAUACUGAUGCAAGGGAAAGGGUGCAUACUAGUAUCCAACAGGGUUAUCAAGCUAUAAUGACACGAGUACAUGUUAAGCUAUCAAUAAAGUGUCCCCGCAAAAAAAAAAUACAGUAGUGUGGCGUGGGCCAGGCUUCCGGAUCACCAUCUCCUGAGUGCUCAUGGGAAAGCUGAGGUAUGGCUUCGAUUUGAUGGAUCCGACUGAUAUGUGGUCCAUCUCAUCAUCUAGCAGGCGAUGACAUGUUUUACUAAAAAAAAAUUUAGAAAAGGAUGUUUUACUAAAUGAAGUAGGAGUUCUGAACUAGGAGGCAUUAAUGGCCUAUUCUGUACGGGUUAAUGGUUUGAUGAACUGGGGUCCGUUUGGUAGGUAGAUCUGGACUCUGGAAUUACUAGUAGUGUAUUAGCACCUAAUGGACAGGGAUUUUUUGGCUCUAGAGGCCCAGAGUACGCUCAAUUUAAUUCGCGGUUGCUGGAUUACUGUCAUGAAUUAUCAAUUUCCCACUUAAAUUCAAAUUCUCUAAAAAAAUCAUGAAAUGCACUUAAUAUUUUUUCCAAAAAAGAAAAAAAAAUCUUUGAAUUAGUAUCAUGAAAUUCUGAGCUUUCUUAGAAAAGACGCAAUACCUUGAUUUAGUAUCAUAAAAACUCCUGGAAUUAGUAUGGUGGAGUCCAGACUCUCCCACUUACAUUUUUUCAAUUCUGAUAAAUCACAAAACCCACUCAAUGUCAUCCACUCCACUGGAGCACAAAAUCUAGCACUACUGCCCCAGAUCCAAUUACAUACAGUAAUUUAACUAAACGCGUCGAGUUACACACACUACUGGGCCUGGCUGGAAUGAGGUGAGGGAGGCGGACUGGCUCACCAUGCGAACGGCGGAUCUCGACCGGGAACCCCGCCCCGGGCUGGCUGCUGCACUGGCACAAAAUGGUGGCCUCCGCCCGCCAUUUAAACCCGCGCCGCCCCGUCCUACACGACACGGCUAGGCCGGUUGGGAACUCCAAGAGCGGGGCGCCUCGUGGUCGUAGCUCAUGGCGGGCCGGCGACCUCGACAAGGGAUCGAGGGGGGCACGGGGUGGAGCGUACAAGGCACGCCUCGGGAUGGCGAAAGGGACCCAGCUAACCAAACAAACACGAGAAGGAGCUCGGCGCCGCGGGAACUGGUAGGGGCGUGGUGUGGACUGUGGAGUGGAAGGGGGAGCGGGGGAGGAGGAGGCGCGCGCACCUCUGAGCUCGGGGGGGUUGGACCUCGUCGGCAUGGAGACGGCCGGACUGAGGAGGAGGAGGAGGAGGAGCGGGCGAGGCGUUGAAUCGGCGGCGAGGAUGACGACCAAGUGGGCAGACGCGCCGCUGAGACUUCGGGCCGGGCCUUCCACGCGUUUGGGCCCUCUUUCUUUUUCUUACUCCCCUGCGAACGUAAGAUAUUCUUUUUAGCAGUCCGAACGUCGUUAGAGUCGUUGGAUCCCGAUCAAACGCAUGGCAAUUACUCUGCGUUUUCUUCAACAGACAUAUAUUUCGGUACGGAGGGAGCACAUGACAACGUCGCUUUAGACCAUAAUGCUUAAAAAAUUAAAAUGCUUAAAAAUAAAUGUCGAUUUAGAUCAUGGCAAAUUCAUUGUAACACUACGGGAGUUUUAUCUUUUUUUCACAUGACAACGAGGAAGUACUCACGUUCGUUAGGAAAAAUCUGAACCGGUUUUUUAACAUUUUUUUGGAUGAUCCACGUGUUUGCGUCCUUUUCCUUGGAGAGAGAGGGAGAGAGAGAAACGGGAUGGACUCUGGGCUUUUGUAACGGAUACUGGCCGGACCUGGUGUUACGUAGCUUGUAGGUGAUGUCGAUGAAUUUGUUUUUUCAUAUAUAUUAAUAAAAAAAGUACCUUCUCCCCUUCCUCAUACGCAAACUUCAUUUCAUUAAAACGGAAAGUAACAGUAUCGAACAUCAGUCAUCAUCCUUUUUUUCUUACUUCUUUUCUCUCCUCGCAACAUCGAUGAGGUGGUCAUGUCGAUGGGGUGUUGGAACAAGGUCUUUCUGGUCUCCUCUUACCUCGACCACAUUCGAUCCGGCACCAACGGAAGGUCUGUGCAAGUUUGUGCGGUCGAAUCUAAUUGGCUCUCUUCAGACCUCGAUGGUUAGUGUGUCUUUCAAGAAAAGCAAUUGGCCCUGGUGCUCCAGGUUGCACACAUUGCUGCCAUGUGUCAUCUUUGUCGUGUGCUGGCAGAUGGCAAAGAGCCUGUAUUGCCCUUUUUUGUCUGUUUUCUUUGAUUUCCCUACAUUUUCACAGCACACAUAUAUAUAGUUUCAGACAUAUUCGGCACAUAUAUUUCACAGCACAUAUAUUUCCAACGUCAUCAUGAAAUAUUUAACAAGCUAGAGAACACAUAGGCUAGCACAAAUACAUAGUUUGGCAUAGUUCAUCCAUAUAUACAUACAUAAGUUUCACAUUGUUAGUCAAUACAAAUAAAAAACCGAACACUAGUAGUCCAUCAAUGCCAACUUCCAUGAAGUGAAUAAAAUCUGCAAAAAUUCCUUGUUUUUCUUCUUAUUAUUCCUUAUUUGUGUCAUUUUAGAGCUAACUUAGGUAAUUAUGUAAUUUUGAGCUAACUAAGCUUAUUAUGUCAUUUUGGAGGAAAAUAGGGUAAGUAUAGGUCAUUAUUAAGCUAACUUAGGUAAUUAUGUCAUUUUUGAGCUAACUAAGCUUAUUAUAUCAAUUUGGAGGAAAACAAGCUAAGUAUAUGGAAUUUAUGAGCUAACCACGGUUAUUAUGCUAUUUUGACCUAACUAAGCUAAUUAUGUCAUAAAUGAAGUAAAUAAGCUAAUUAUGUCAUUUUGAAGGAUAAUUAGCUAAGUAUGUCUUUCUUUGGGAAAAUGAGCCAAGUAAGUGGCAUAUUAGGGCUAACUAGCAUGUACGAAGCUAAGUAUGCAUUCGUUAAGCAAAACACUAGAGAGAACUUACCGUCCUCGUCAUCACGGAGGUGAAGCACCCGGGUUCCUCGGGCCGGUUUCACCUUGAGAAGGAUGCCCUAGAGAAGGGUUGUGCGAUGCGGCUCCGGAGUUAUGCUGCACCAAAGAUCAUUUGCAAUGUCUCAUUAGCAUGAUGACACUCAGAUGUUAAGACUAGUAACUAAUGACCGUUCAAAUGAAACUCACCGUUCUUGCCGCGGUAAUGAAUGGCAUCGCGGGGGGGUUUGACCGAUCUUCUCGCACAUAGACUGCACAUUCGGUUUUGACGAGUCAUACAUAUUAGUUAGUAAUGAAACAAACAUUGCAUGCAUGAUUUGGCUAAUAUGAAGAAGAUACUUACCACGAAGAGCUCGUACAUGGCCCGGUGAGAUGCCUCGUUCCGUUCCCUCUCCUCCUCCAACAACUGAGCCAUCCUCUGCUGCGUGGCCAAUUGCUGCUCCUGGGUCCUCGCCCUCUCUCUCUCUGAAUAGCAGCCUUCAACAACACACAUCGUUAGCAUUGUAAUCAUCGAUGGCCACACACACAAUGUAAUGGAGGAAAGAUAGCUGAUUUUCGUAUAAUUAACCUCGAUGGCGAGAUCAACUGGCCGUGGACGAGGCCUUUGUUGAAAAUAUGCCCCAGAGGCAAUAAUAAAAUAGUUAUUAUUAUAUUUCAUGUUUCAAGAUAAUCGUUUAUUAUCCAUGUUAUAACUGUAUUGAAUGAAAACAUAAAUGCAUGUGUGGAUAUAUAGACAAAAUUGUGUCCCUAGUGAGUCUCUAGUUGACUAGCCUAUUGAUCAAGGAUGAUUAAGGUUUCCUAGCCAUAGACAAGUGUUGUCACUUGAUGACGGGAUCACAUCAUUAGGAGAAUGAUGUGAUGGAUAAGACCCAAACUAUAAACAUAGCAUAUGAUCGUGUCAUUUUGUUGCUAUUGUUUUCUGCAUGUCAAGUAUUCAUUCCUAUGACCAUGAGAUCAUGUAACUCACUGACACCGGAGGAAUGCCUUAUCUGUAUCAAACAUCGCAACAUUAAUGGCUUAGUAGUUUGUUGUCACGAAGUUUGCCACCUCCUCGGUAAUGAAUGCAUCGACCAUCGAUGCUUCAAUUCUAUGUUUAUUUUUACAUUUUGCUUGAAGCGUAUUCUACAUCCUCUGAGUUGCAAAGCACCAAUAAUUUUGCACGGGCCCACCCAAUCUUGCCUUGGUUGGGAGAUGUAAAAUCAAAUGCUGCAUUGGAUUAAAGAAGCCCGGUGGAAAGAUCUUCUCUAACUUGAAGAGCAACUCCGGCACCAACUCCUCCAUGUCAUCUACCACACCAGUUUGUUCUGUGGCCAUUUGCAAAUGUGGCUCUCUGAUACGUCUCAAACGUAUAUAUAAUUUUUGAUGGUUUCAUGUUGUUAUCUUGUCAUCUUUGGAUGUUUUAUGUACCUUUUGUAUCUUUUUUUGGACUAACUUUUUAAUUCAGUGCCAAGUGUCAAUUCCUGUUUUUCUAUGUUUUUGGCUCUUUUCAUAUCUGAUUUUGGAACGAAGUCCAAACGGAAUAAAAUCCUUGAAAUAUUUUUUUCCCGAAUGGAAGAAGAUCAUGGGGCUUGAGGGCCAAGCCAGGAGAGCUACAGGGGGCCCACAAGCCCUAUAGCCGCCACCAGGGGGCGGCGGCUAGCAGGCUUGUGGCCUCCCUGGCGGCUCCCUGACCUAGCUCAUUCGCCUGAAUAUUCCCUAAAAUACAGAAAAAAUCAGGGAAUCCACGAAAACACUUUUCCGCUGCCGCAAGCUUCCGUUUCCGCGAGAUCUCAUCUGGAGACCCUUCCCGGUGCCCUGCCGAAGGGGACUUUGGAGUUGGAGGGCUUCUACAUCAUCAUCAUCGCCCUCCAAUGACUCGUGAGUAGUUCACUUCAGACCUACGGGUCCGUAGUUAGUAGCUAGAUGGCUUCUUCUCUCUCUUGGAUCUUCAAUACAAAGUUCUCCAUGAUCUUCAUGGAGAUCUAUCUGAUGUAAUCCUCUUUGGCGGUGUGUUUGUCGAGAUCUGAUGAAUUGUGGAUUUGUGAUCAGAUUAUCUAUGAUAUAUAUUUGAGUCUUUGCUGAUUUCUUAUAUGCAUGAUUUGAUAUCCUUGUAAGUCUCUCCGAGUCUUGGGUUUUGUUUGGCCAACUAGAUCUAUGAUUCUUGCAAUGGGAGAAGUGCUUGGUUUUGGGUUCAUACCGUGUGGUGAGCUUUCCCAGUGACAGUAGGGGUAGUAAGGCACACAUCAUGUAGUUGCCAUCAAGGGUAACAAGAUGGGCUUUGUCGUAGAUAUGAGAUUGUCCAUCUACAUCAUGUCAUCUUGCUUAAGGAGUUACUCUGUUCUUUUAGACUUAAUACACUAGAUGCAUGCUAGAUAGCGGUCGACGUGUGGAGUAAUAGUAGUAGAUGCAGAAAGUAUCGGUCUACUUGUUUUGGACGUGAUGCCUAUAGAUAUAAUCAUUGCCAUAGAUGACGUCACGACUUUGCGCGGUUCUAUCAAUUGCUCGACAGUAAUUUGUUCACCCACCGUCUACUUGCUUUCAUGAGAGAAGCCACUAGUGAACACUACGGCCCCGGGUCUAUUCACACAUAUCGUUUCCACUUUCGCUUUUACUUUGCUUUGUUACUUUGUUGCUUUCAGUUCUCACUUGGCAAACAAUCUAUAAGGGAUUGACAACCCCUUCAUAGCGUUGGGAGCAAGCUUUUUGUGUUUGUGCACGUACUUGUGAUACUCCUUCACUGGAUCGAUACCUUGGUUCUCAAAACCGAGGGAAAUACUUACCACUGAUGUGCUACAUCACCCUUUCUGCUUCGAGGGAAAACCAACACAAGGCUCCAAGGCCACGGGGGGAAUCCUUUGCAUAUUUUCCUAGGAAGUCCCUUAAGGCGUAGCCGUAGCAGAGAGAUUCCUGGUGUCAUUGCUGAGGAGUAUCAAGACAAGAAUAGUCUCCCGUCAACACGUAUUUCUGGCGCCAUUGGAAGGUCUUUUGUUGCAGUAGCACUCUCACAAACUCUUUGGUUUUUGUUAACCAUUCUUUGGUCAUCUCUUUCUGACUAGUGUAACCGGUGUACAUCCACGCAUGAUCACUCAUCUUGCCUAGCUACUGGACACACAAGACUAGUGAUAUUUGAUCAUCUGUAAGGUUACCGUUUAAUCUGACAAGAAGUGAUAUUUGAAUGAAAUAUUAGAUUGGAAAACCCUUCAAACCUCAGCAUGAGUACAAACAUGGCAAAUGACUUUAAAUAUCCUACUGUGGGUAUAACUUCCUCAUUGGAUACUUCCUCAACAUGAAUAUAAAAUAUUGAUCUCUUUUGCCCAGUUGUCCCACAUGCACUUUCUUUUUAGAAAGGAAAAACUCUUUCACGUGAUGGUUUAGUCAAAAGAAAAACUCUUUCACGCUUGGUUUCAUUCUGCGGGAUAGAUUUUGAUACAUCAUCAAGUGUCUCUACGAACAAAACAAGACCAAGAUCAAUACAUCACACCACAUGUGUGCAAAAUUUGGUACAAGCAAAUCUAAUUGAAACAGAAAAGAAUGAGGGCCAACUUAUUCUAAAAAGGAACAUAAACAAAAAAAUAGUGAGGGCAAAGGAGAGAGAGAGAGACAUGAGAUCAAGCGGAUGCCCCGACCAUGGCCAAGGCCUCCUCCACCAUCGAAUCACAUUGUCAGCUCGAACGCCAGGCCUGGGCUACCCCGCAUCAGUACCCACCCCCUCGAUCUAUCUCUCUCGGUGUGGCCCAUCUCGAUGAGAUGUGGCCGUGGAGGAUCUGGCCGUCGCCCCGCUGACUUGCUCGACUCGAUCUAUGGCCUCCCCGCUUGAAGGAAAGAACGUUAGUGGAGGGCGGCGCCGGCGGGGGAGAGGGUGGAGCUUUGGGUGGGGGAGAGGGAAAAAGGGCGUCUGUGUAGAGGAGAAUGGAUCGGAGGACGCCUCUCAUACGUCCAUUUUGCAUCAUGCUUUCAUGUUGAUAUUUAUCGCUUUAUGGGCUGUUAUUUUACUUUGUGGUACCAUAUUUAUGCCUUUUCUCUCUUAUUUUGCAAGGUUUAUUUGAAGAGGGAGAAUUCAGGUAGCUGGAAUUCUGGACUGGAAAAGGAGCAAAUCUGAGUCCUCUAUUCUGCACAGCUCCAAAUGCCCUAAAAACUUACGUGGAAUUUUUUGGGAAUAUAUAAAAAAUAUUGGGCGAAAGAAGUACCAGAGGGGAGCUACCAGGGCCCCACAAGCCUGGUAGCCGCCACCCCCUGUGGUGGCGGCUACAGGGCUUGUGGGCUCCCUAACGUCCCAGUGCCCCCCUCUUUUGCUAUAUGAAGGGUUUCGUUCCAGAAAAAAUCAAUCGGGAGCUUUUUCGUGGUUUCGCCGCCGCCACGAGGCGGAACUUGAGCAGAUCCAAUCUAGAGCUCCGGCAGGACGAUCCUGCUGGGGAAACUUCCCUCCCAGAGGGGGAAAUCGUCGCCAUCGUCAUCACCAACACUCCUCUCGUCGGAGGGGAGGCAUCUCUUGUAACCAAUCUCCGUCUCGUGACUCCAAUUGGUACUUGUAAGGUUGCUGGUAGUGUUGAUUACUCUUUGUAGUUGAUGCUAGUUGGAUUACUUGGUGGAAGAGUUUAUAUUCAGAUCCUUGAUGCUAUUCAUUACACCUCUGAUCAUGAUUAUGAUUAUGCUUUGUGAGUAGUUACUUUUGUUCCUGAGGACAUGAGAUAAGUCAUGCUAAUAAUAGUCAUGUGAAUUUGGUAUUCGUUUGGUAUUUUGAUAUAUGAUGUAUGUUGUAUUUUCCUCUAGUGGUGUUAUGUGAACGUCGACUACAUAAAACUUCACCAUAUUUGGGCCUAGAGGAAGGCAUUGGGGAGUAGUAAGUAGAUGAUGGGUUGCUGGAGUGACAAAAGCUUAAACCCCAAUCUAUGUGUUGCUUCGUAAGGGGCUGAUUUGGAUCCACUAGUUUAAUGCUAUGGUUAGACGUUGUCUUAAUCUUCUUUCGUAGCUGCGGAUGCUUGCGAGAGGGGUUAAUCAUAAGUGAGAUGCUUGUCCAAGUAAGGGCAGUACCCAAGCGUCGGUUCACCCACAUAUCAAACUAUCAAAGUAACGAACGUGAAUCACAUGAACAUGAUGAAACUAGCAUGACAGAAAUUCCCGUGUGUCCUCGGGAGCGUUUUUCCUCCUAUAAGACUUUGUUCUGGCUUGUCCCUUGCUAGAAAAGGGAUUGGCCACUUGUUGCACCAUUGCUACUACUUGUUACUUGUUAGUUUUCUCUUGCUACGUUUCACCUCGCUACACCAUCACUUGUUACCGCUACUUUCAGUGCUUGCAGUUAUUACCUUGCUGAAAACCGUUUAUCAGAGUCUUCUGCUCCUCGUUGGGUUUGACACUCUUACUUAUCGAAAGGACUACGAUUGAUCCCCUAUACUUGUGGGUCAUCAAGACUCUUUUCUGGCGCCGUUGCCGGGGAGUGAAGCGCCUUUGGUAAGUGGAAUUUGGUAAGGAAACAUUUAUAUACUGUGCUAAAAUUUAUUGUCACUUGUCACUAUGGAAACUGUUCCUUUGAGGAGUUUGUUCGGGGUAUCUUCACCACGAACGGAAGCAUGAGGAGUUGUUCCUCAACCUGAGGUAUCUACUGAAAAUAUCUUUUAUGAAAUUCCUUCGGGUAUGCUUGAGAAACUGCUCGCUAAUCCUUUUUACAGGAGAUGGAUCUUCACAUCCAGACUUGCAUCUGAUCUAUGUAGAUGAAGUUUGUGGUUUAUUUAAGCUUGCAGGUUUGCCCGGGGAUGAGGUAAAUAAGAAAGUCUUUCCUUUAUCUUUGAAGGAUAAGGCGUUGACAUGGUAUAGACUAUGUGAUGAUACUAGAUCAUGGAACUACAAUCGGUUGAAAUUGGAAUUUCAUCAAAAGUUCUAUCCUAUGCAUUUAGUACAUCGUGAUCGAAAUUAUAUUUAUAAAUUUUGGCCUCGUGACAGGGAAAGCAUAGCUCAAGCUUGGGGGAGGCUUAAAUCAAUGCUAUAUUCAUGCCCCAAUCAUGAGCUCUCGAGAGAAAUUAUCACUCAAAACUUUUAUGCUCGGCUUUCUCAUGAAGAUCGUACCAUGCUUGACACUUCUUGUACCGGUUCUUUUAUGAAGAAGGAUAUUGACCACAAGUGGAAUUUAUUGGAAAGAAUCAAACGUAACUCUGUAGAUUGGGAGCUGGAAGAAGGUAAGGAGUCAGGUAUGAAUUUCCAAUUUGAUUGCGUUAAAUCUUUUGUUGAGACAAACACUUCUAGAGAUUUUAGCACUAAGUAUGGACUUGACUCUGAGAUAGUAGCUUCUCUAUGUGAAUCUUUUGUUGCUCAUGUUGAUCUUCCCAAAGAGAAGUGGUUUAAAUAUCAUCCUCCUGUAGAAAGCAACAUAGCCAAAACCAAUCUAGUUGAGGAGAAAAUCAUUGCUUUUAGUGAUCCUGUUGUUCCUUGUGCCUACGCUGAGACACCACCAUACCCUGCUAGGAUAAAGGAUUAUUCUAAAGCUCCAACUGUGAUACGUAGGGGUUACAUUAGACCACUUGCACCCCGUGAGGAGAUUAGAGUUGAACCUAGUGUUGCUAUUAUCAAAGAUCUCUUAGCCGAAGACAUAGACGAGCAUGUUAUCAAAUUCUGUGAGGACUCCGCUAGAAUUGCUAAACCUCACGCGAAAGACAAAUACAGACAUGUAGUUGGCCUGCCCGUUGUUUCUGUCAAGACAGGAGAUCACUGUUACCAUGGUUUAUGUGAUAUGGGAGCUAGUGUUAGUGCAAUACCCCGUUCCCUAUAUGAUGAAAUCAAAGAUGAGAUUGCACCUGCUGAGUUAGAACCCAUUGAUGUCACUAUUACGUUAGCUAAUAGAGACACUAACUGCCCUAUGGGAAUUGUGAGAGACGUAGAAGUCCUGUGUGGUAAGACAAAGUAUCCUACUGAUUUCCUUGUCCUUGGUACUGCACAAAAUAGCUUUUGUCCCAUCAUAUUCGGUAGACCCUUUCUCAACAUUGUCAAUGCUCACAUUAAUUUAACUUCUCCAAGUUUGGAAGACAACCCCAUGAAAAAGAGUCGACUCGUAGGGAUGAAAUCAUUGCUCUUGACUCUAUUGCCGUACCUCCUACGGAUCCUUUAGAGCAAUAUCUGUUUGAGCAUGAAAAUGAUAUGCAUAUGGAUGAAAGAGAUGAGAUAGAUAAAAUUGUCUUAGAGCAAUAUCCUAUUCUCAAGAAUAAUCUGCCUGUUGAACUGCUUGGGGAUCCUCCCCCACCAAAGGGUGAUCCUGUGUUCGAGCUUAAACAGUUGCCUGAUACUCUUAAGUAUGCCUAUCUUGAUGAGAAGGAGAUAUAUCCUGUUAUUAUUAGUGCUCUCCUCUCAGAGCACGAAGAAAAGAAGUUACUAAAAACUCUGAGAAAGCACCGUGUUGUUAUUGGAUAUACUCUUGAUGAUCUUAAGGACAUUAGUCCUACUCUAUGCCAGCACAAGAUUAAAACUGAUCCUGACUUCAAACCAGUUGCUGAUCAUCAAAGAAGAUUGGAUCCUAAGAUGAAAGAGGUCGUGAGAAAACAAAUAUUAAAGCUUCUGGAAGCAGGAAUCAUUUAUCCUGUUGCUCAUAGUGAUUGGGUAAGUCGAGUACAUUGCGUACCUAAGAAGGGAGGUAUCACCGUCGUUCCUAAUGAUAAGGAUGAAUUAAUCCCACAAAGGAUUAUUACUGGCUAUAGGAUGGUGAUAGACUUCCGGAAACUGAACAAGGCAACCAGGAAAGAUCAUUAUCCUUUGCCGUUUAUCGACCAAAUGAUAGAAAGGCUAUCCAAACACACACACUUCUACUUUCUAGACGGUUAUUCAGGUUUCUCGCAAAUACCUGUUGCACAAUCUGAUCAGGAGAAAACCACUUUCACGUGCCCCUUCGGUACCUUUGCUUAUAGACGUAUGCCUUUUGGCUUAUGCAAUGCACCUGCCACCUUUCAAAGAUGUAUGAUGGCUAUAUUCUCUGACUUUUGUGAAAAGAUUGUCGAGGUUUUCAUGGAUGACUUCUCCGUUUACGGGUCUUCCUUUGAUGAUUUCCUAAGCAACCUUGAUCGAGUCUUACAGAGAUGCAAAGAUACCAACCUCGUCUUGAAUUGGGAGAAGUGCCACUUUAUGGUUAAUGAAGGCAUCGUCUUAGGACACAAAAUCUCUGAAAGAGGCAUUGAAGUUGAUAAGGCUAAGGUUGAUGCAAUUGAGAAAAUGCCUUGCACCACAGAUAUCAGAGGUAUACGAAGUUUCCUAGGUCAUGCUGGUUUCUAUAGAAGAUUCAUUAAAGACUUCUCUAAGUUUUCUAGGCCUCUUACCAACCUCUUGCAGAAGGAUGUUCCUUUUGUUUUUGAUGAGGAUUGUGAGGAAGCUUUCGAAAUACUUAAGAAGGCUUUGAUAACCGCACCCAUUGUUCAACCACCUGACUGGAACUUGCCCUUUGAAAUCAUGUGUGAUGCUAGUGAUUAUGCUGUUGGUGCUGUUCUAGGACAAAUAGUUGACAAGAAGUUGAAUGUCAUUCACUACGCUAGUAAAACUCUAGACAGUGCCCAAAGAAACUAUGCCACUACGGAAAAGGAGUUUUUAGCAGUCGUGUUUGCAUGUGAAAAGUUCAGAUCUUAUAUAGUUGAAUCAAAAGUCACUAUUCACUCUGAUCAUGCUGUUAUUAAGUACCUUAUGGAGAAGAAGGAUGCUAAGCCUAGGCUAAUCAGAUGGGUUCUCCUGCUACAGGAAUUUGAUUUGCACGUUGUUGACCGAAAGGGUGCUGAUAACCCUGUAGCAGAUAACUUGUCCAGGCUAGAGAAUGUCCUUGAUGACCCACGACCUAUUGAUGACAGCUUCCCUCAUGAGCAAUUAAAUGUCAUCCGCACUUCACAUAGUGCACCGUGGUAUGCUGAUUACGCAAACUAUAUCGUAGCCAAAUACAUACCACCCAGUUUCACCUAUCAGCAAAAGAAGAAAUUCUUCUUUGAUUUGAGACACUACUUUUGGGAUGAUCCUCACCUUUAUAAGGAAGGAGUAGAUGGUGUUAUUAGACUUUGUGAGCCUGAACAUGAACAGGGACAGAUCCUGCAGAAGUGUCAUUCCGAAGCGUAUGGAGGACACCAUGCUGGAGAUAGAACUGCUCAUAAGGUAUUGCAAUCAGGUUUCUAUUGGCCCACUCUCUUCAAGGAUGCCCGUAAGUUUGUCUUGUCUUGUGACGAAUGCCAAAGAAUAGGGAAUAACGUCAGGAAAUGCCUAUGAACUAUUCACUUGUCAUUGAACUGUUCGAUGUCUGGGGCUUUGAUUAUAUGGGACCCUUCCCGAGUUCCAAUGUGUACACUCACAUCUUAGUUGCUGUGGAUUACGUCACUAAGUGGGUAGAAGUUAUCCCCACUAAAAAUGUUGAUCACCACACCUCUAUUAAGAUGCUUAAAGAAGUCAUUUUCCCAAGAUUUGGAGUCCCUAGAUAUCUGAUGACUGAUGGCGGUUCACACUUCAUUCAUGGUGUUUUCCACAAGAUGCUCGCUAAGUAUGAUGUCAACCAUAGAGUUGCAUCUCCUUAUCAUCCUCAGUCUAGUGGUCAAGUGGAGUUGAGUAAUAGGGAGAUCAAAUUGAUCCUACAAAAGACUGUCAAUAGAUCUCAAAAGAAUUGGUCUAGUAAACUUGACGAUGCACUAUGGGCUUAUAGGACUGCUUAAAAGAAUCCCAUGGGCAUGUCGCCGUAUAAAAUGGUUUACGGUAAGGCCUGUCAUUUACCUCUUGAGCUGGAACACAAAGCUUAUUGGGCAAUCAAAGAGCUCAACUUCGAUUUCAAACUUGCCGGUGAGAAGCGGUUGUUUGAUAUCAGCUCAUUAGAUGAAUGGAGGGCCGAGGCAUAUGAGAAUGCCAAGUUGUUCAAGGAAAAGGUUAAGAGAUGGCACGAUAAACGAAUACAGAAAUGAGAGUUCAAUGUAGGUGAUUAUGUCCUGCUUUACAAUUCUCGCUUAAGAUUCUUCGCAGGCAAGCUUCUCUCUAAAUGGGAAGGCCCUUACUGUUGGAAAUAUGCCCUAGAGGCAAUAAUAAAUUAGUUAUUAUUAUAUUUCUUAGUUCAUGAUAAUCGUUUAUUAUCCAUGCUAUAAUUUUAUUGAUUGGAAACACAAUACUUGUGUGGAUACAUAGACAAAACACUGUCCCUAGUAAGCCUCUAGUUGACUAGCUCGUUGAUCAAAGAUGGUCAAGGUUUCCUGGCCAUAGGCAAGUGUUGUCACUUGAUAACGGGAUCACAUCAUUAGGAGAAUCAUGUGAUGGACUAGACCCAAACUAAUAGACGUAGCAUAUUGAUCGUGUCAUUUUGUUGCUACUGUUUUCUGCGUGUCAAGUAUUUGUUCCUAUGACCAUGAGAUCAUAUAACUCACGGACACCGGAGGAAUGCUUUGUGUGUAUCAAACGUCGCAACGUAACUGGGUGACUAUAAAGAUGCUCUACAGGUAUCUCCGAAGGUGUUCGUUGAGUUAGUAUGGAUCAAGACUGGGAUUUGUCACUCCGUGUGACGGAGAGGUAUCUCGGGGCCCACUCGGUAAUACAACAUCACACACAAGCCUUGCAAGCAACGUAACUUAAUGUAAGUUGCGGGAUCUUGUAUUACGGAACGAGUAAAGAGACUUGCCAGUAAACGAGAUUGAAAUAGGUAUGCGGAUACUGACGAUCGAAUCUCGGGCAAGUAACAUACCGAAGGACAAAGGGAAUGGCAUACGGGAUUAUACGAAUCCUUGGCACUGAGGUUCAAACGAUAAGAUCUUCAUAGAAUAUGUAGGAUCCAAUAUGGGCAUCCAGGUCCCGCUAUUGGAUAUUGACCGAGGAGUCUCUCGGGUCAUGUCUACAUAGUUCUCGAACCCGCAGGGUCUGCACACUUAAGGUUCGACGUUGUUUUAUGCGUAUUUGAGUUAUAUGGUUGGUUACCGAAUGUUGUUCGGAGUCCCGGAUGAGAUCACGGACGUCACGAGGGUUUCCGGAAUGGUCCGGAAACGAAGAUUGAUAUAUAGGAUGACCUCAUUUGAUUACCGGAAGGUUUUCGGAGUUACCGGGAAUGAACCGGGAAUGACGAAUGGGUUCUGGGAGUUCACCGGGAGGGGGCAACCCACAAGUGCCCUAUGCGCCAAGGAUAAAAAUCAAAGGAGAAAAAAAAGGAGGAAGUGGGAAAGGGGAAGGACUCCCUCCGACCAAACCUAGUCCAACUCGGUUUAGGGGGGAGAGUCCUCCCCCUGGCUCGGCCGACCCCUUGGGGAUCCCUUGGACCCCAAGGCAAGGUCCCCCUCCCUUCUCCUAUAUACAUGGGGCUUUUAGGGCAGAUUUGAGACGACUUUCUCACGGCUGCCCGACCACAUACCUCCAUAGUUUUUCCUCUAGAUCGCGUUUCUACGGAGCUCGGGCGGAGCCCUGCUGAGACGAGAUCAUCACCAACCUCCGGAGCGCCGUCACGCUGCCGGAGAACUCUUCUACCUCUCCGUCUCUCUUGCUGGAUCAAGAAGGCCGAGAUCAUCGUCGAGCUGUACGUGUGCUGAACGCGGAGGUGCCGUCCGUUCGGUACUAGAUCGUGGGACUGAUCGUGGGAUUGUUCACGGGGCGGAUCGAGGGACGUGAGGACGUUCCACUACAUCAACCGCGUUCACUAACGCUUCUGCUGUACGAUCUACAAGGGUACGUAGAUCACUCAUCCCCUCUCGUAGAUGGACAUCACCAUGAUAGGUCUUCGUGCGCGUAGGAAAAUUUUUGUUUCCCAUGCGACGUUCCCCAUCAGUAGGGAGUGUGUGUCCCGGGUCUGUGUGUCUUUUGGUUUAAAUACCAAGCCGCUCCAAACCAGAUGUAGAUCUGUCACGGCAGUUGGAACUGGGUCAUCAACUACUGUCUUCGUUGUGAAACUCGUUCUAAUUCCUCAACCCUUUACAUUCCUCAGAUUAUGUGUUGAUGACUUUCAAUGUGAUUGUUUGAAGAAUUUGCUGAAGAUUUUCUCUGAAAUUCCUCAACCCCAAAUUCUUCACGCUAGUUAAUACUCAUCUGUUUCUGCGUGCGUGCUCACUGUGCGAUCUGUUUUCACAUUCCUCACAUGAGAAACUCUGUUGUGAAACUUUGCACUCCUGAUCCUUUACUGUUUCCGCUGUAAGUUAGUCAUCAGUGAGGAAUUUCCUCAAAAGAAAUUUCCUCAGUGAUGAAAUUCUAAAAAUCUCCUAUUCACCCCCCUCUAGUCGAUAUAACGCACUUUCACAUAUUUAUGCCUUUUCUCUCUUAUUUUGCAAGGUUUAUUUGAAGAGGGAGAAUUCAGGCAGCUGGAAUUCUGGACUGGAAAAGGAGCAAAUUUGAGUCCUCUAUUCUGCAUAGCUCCAAAUGCCCUGAAAAUUUAUGUGGAAUUUUUUAGGAAUAUAUAAAAAAUACUGGGCGAAAGAAGUACCAGAGGGGAGCUACCAGGGCCCCACAAGCCUGGUAGCCGCCACCCCCUGUGGUGGCGGCUACAGGGCUUGUGGGCUCCCUAACGUCCCAGUGCCCCCCUCUUUUGCUAUAUGAAGGGUUUCGUUCCAGAAAAAAUCAUUUGGGAGCUUUUUCGUGGUUUCGCCGCCGCCACGAGGCGGAACUUGAGCAGAUCCAAUCUAGAGCUCCGGCAGGACGAUCCUGCUGGGGAAACUUCCCUCCCGGAGGGGGAAAUCGUCACCAUCGUCAUCACCAACACUCCUCUUAUCAGAGGGGAGGCAUCUUCAUCAACAUCUUCAUCAGCACCAUCUCCUCUCCAAUCCCUAGUUCAUCUCUUGUAACCAAUCUCCGUCUCGCGACUCCGAUUAGUACUUGUAAGGUUGCUAGUAGUGUUGAUUACUCUUUGUAGUUGAUGCUAGUUGGAUUACUUGGUGGAAGAGUUUAUGUUCAGAUCCUUGAUGCUAUUCAUUACACCUCUGAUCAUGAUUAUGAUUAUGCUUUGUGAGUAGUUACUUUUGUUCCUGAGGACAUGAGAUAAGUCAUGCUAAUAAUAGUCAUGUGAAUUUGGUAUUCGUUCGGUAUUUUGAUAUGUCGUAUGUUGUCUUUUCCUCUAGUGGUAUUAUGUGAACGUCGACUACAUAACACUUCACCAUAUUUGGGCCUAGAGGAAGGCAUUGGGGAGUAGUAAGUAGAUGAUGGGUUGCUGGAGUGACAGAAGCUUAAACCCAGUCUAUGCGUUGCUUCGUAAGGGGCUGAUUUGGAUCCACUAGUUCAAUGAUAUGGUUAGACGUUGUCUUAAUUCUUCUUUCGUAGUUGCGGAUGCUUGCGAGAGGGGUUAAUCAUAAGUAGGAUGCUUGUCUAAUUAAGGGCAGUACCCAAGCGCCGGUCCACCCACAUAUCAAACUAUCAAAGUAACGAACGCGAAUCACAUGAACAUGAUGAAACUAGCAUGACAGAAAUCUCCGUGUGUCAUCGGGAGCGUUUUUCCUUCUAUAAGACUUUGUUCAGGCUUGUCCCUUGCUACAAAAGGGAUUGAGCCACUUGCUGCACCGUUGCUACUACUUGUUACUUGUUACUUUUCGCUUGCUACGUUUCAGCCUCCUCUCCAGAUCGGGGAACACCGACGCGGCCGGGAAUGCCAUCGCCCCCUCCUGGACCGUGUUGUAUGUUUUUAUCGUUACAUGGGCGAUGAGGCAAAAAAACAAAGGGUAUAGAUUAUGGGGGAACGAGAGACGAUAAAACCCAGACAAAGAGUGAAUGUGGUGGGAGGAGAGACGAAAAAAAACGAUGAACGUCGAAUACCAACUUUCCUUUUAAGAGUAGAGAUGGGCACUAACGUUUAUCCUUAUCCACACGGUGAGAUGGGAUGGUGGAAGAAAAACAAACUUGCACGCAUUCCAAUCUCCUCAACGAACGGACAGGCAACUUUUGCAUCCAGCCCCUCCACUUUACACACCUCUUUUCUCCCGCCCCCACAACCACCUCCCCUCCUCCGUCCUCCCCAGAGUCUCUUCUCUUCUCGUCUCUCGUCGCCUCCCGAGUCUCCGGCGACCACACACGCCACCUCGACGGCCAUGGAGCAAGGCGCCGACUCACCGGCGGCGAGGCGGAUGGCGAGGGUCGCCUCCCACCUCCGCCCGCCCACCUCGCAGGCACGAGCCCACAACCACCCUCCCUCCCUCCCCAUCUGCUUGUUACUGCCGCCUCUUCUCAGAUUCGGUCGGAGAACGAGAUCCUACCCAGAGGGGGAGUGCCAGUCCUUAGUUCCUCCGAUUACCUGUCGCCGCCGGCCUCAGUGGCGUCCAUUGUUUCCGGGAUCCUCUACGCGGGCGAAGACGCAUGGCUAGUACUGUAACACUUUGUACCUAGCGAUCUACUGUAUAGACCAGCAAGCCAUUGUCCAGUCCCCUUGUCAGGAUUCCCGCUGAGCUUGCAAGGUUUGAGCCUGGAGCUCAUUUUGCUCCCGGAAAGCCUAGGUAGGAAGCACUGCUGCCGAAAUAAAAUCAAGGACCAUUAGGUUUGUUACAAAUGCAGCAAUUGGGCUGUUCUGUUUGUCUACAAAGUAGGUUCCUCGAGUGAAGGAGUGUUGGCAGACCCCAACAGUUUUUACUUGGGAUCUAUUGACGAUGGGAUGUAAUUUGGUCUGCCAUCCGCAGAUUGAUUCCGUGCAGUUGAAACCUUGUCAGCCACAUGUUUAUCGAGCAUCAAAACUAGCUAUCAUGAUGAGUACAAGCUCUCAUCAUUAUGUUACUUCAAGAUCAGCAAGCUAUCUAGCUGUUGAGGGAACUCAGAAAUCACUAUCUAGCUGUUUUUUUAAAGGAUCGCUAUCUAGCUGUAGGUUGAGGAGACCCAGAAUCAGCGUCUGAAUUAUUCGGAGCUGAUGGUUUUGUCGGACAACUUCCAAAAUUUCGAUAUUAAACUUAGUUGAAUCUGCAAAACUGCAGUGGCUGGCAAAGUAGGUUACUCGGGUGAAGGAAUGUUGACAAAUCCGUCGGUUGUUACUAGGAUCUUAUAUGACGAUGGAAUGCAAUUUUUGUCUGAUAUUCUCAGAUUCUGCGCAGUUGAAAACCUUGUCAGCUCACAUAUUUACUGAGCAUCAACUAGCUCUCCUGACGAGUACAAACAUUAUAUCUUAUAUUAUUUUACUUUCAGACCAGUAAGCUAUCUAGCUGUUGAGGAAACUCAGAAUCCGCAGCAUCCUAAAUUUUAGCUCUUAAACUUUGUUGAAUCCGCAGAACUGCAGUAGUUGGCAAAUAGAAUAAGAGGUAUCAUCCAGUCCAGAAUCAGCUCUUGCUAGGCUAAAUUUUCUCUUUCCUUAUUUUGAAGAUUGAGGAGGUUGCCAUCUUGAAGGGCUCUAAUUGCCGUGCGAAAGGUGCAGCGCCAGGGUUCAAGGUCGCUGUCCUGGGUGCAUCUGGUGGGAUCGGCCAGCCACUCUCGCUGCUUAUGAAGAUGAACCCUCUUGUUUCGGUGCUCCAUUUAUACGAUGUUGUCAACACACCUGGUGUCACAGCUGACAUUAGCCACAUGAACACUGGUGCUGUGGUAUGCCCCCUUGACCUUGUAUUUAUGUCUUCUUCUUGUUUCUGCGAAGUUGCUCACUGGAAAAUGAUUCUGAAAGAAUACUGUAGUUGCAUGUUGGUAGGCCUCUAGUACAGUUGCUCCCCAUGUGAUUCGUGUAGGUUAUGUUUAGAGGAAAUUAAUUACUGAAGGAAUGUAUGUCUUCUCUACUGUCCUUGUAGGUCAUACUGUAGAGGUUUGGAUAUUAGCAUUAGCCAACUGGCUGCCACAAUCUUAUAAUCCAUAACUCGGCUAACAAGUAGCCAAUUUACAGUGGCAUUAUGCAUUGUUCUUAAAUUCAUAUUGCAUCAGGAGUGCGACAGAGGUCUCGGAAGAAUAUAUGUAGUGUCUGAUCAUUCAGUACUGAUUAUGGAUUUAAAUGUGAAAACAAUAAAUAAUGCUGCAAGGAAAGCAUAUAACCUACUUAAAUUUUAUGUAACUGGCAGAUAUUUGAUUGCCACAAUAUUAAUAGCUGUCCACAUAUCGUUGACCGCCCUAGGCUAUGCAUACGAUUAUCGUCUGAUUCUUGAACCUUAAAGGUUAUCUGAUCAUUUGGUGUAAUUAUGCUAAGGUAUAAUUUCUACAGGUGCGUGGCUUCUUGGGUCAGCCACAAUUGGAGAGUGCUCUUACUGGAAUGGAUCUUGUGAUCAUUCCUGCUGGCAUUCCUCGGAAACCUGGGAUGACAAGGGAUGAUUUGUUCAACAUCAAUGCUGGGAUCGUUCGGACUCUUUGCGAGGGAAUUGCAAAAUGCUGCCCAAAUGCGAUUGUGAACGUGAUCAGUAACCCUGUAAAUUCCACAGUUCCGAUUGCUGCUGAAGUAUUUAAAAAAGCUGGAACAUAUGAUCCUAAGCGCCUAUUGGGGGUGACAACUCUUGAUGUAGUGAGAGCCAAUACCUUUGUGGUAUGUACUUCAAAAUUGUUUGCCAUAGUGCCCAAUUAUGUUGCUAGUUUCUGUAUGGACAGGUUCUCAAAUUCCUAUUCCUGCCAUUCUCUGUCUACAGGGAGAGGUUCUUGGACUUGACCCCAGAGAUGUCAAUGUUCCUGUUGUUGGCGGGCAUGCAGGAGUUACGAUAUUACCACUCCUUUCACAGGUUAUUUGCAGCUGCUUCAAAUUUUGAACAUAUAUAUAUAUAUGUAGCUGAAAAUUUGUUUCCAUCUGAUGGAACUAGUACUUACCCUGUUCAUCUUUAUGUUUUCCUUCAUUGAGCUUUGUUGUUUUCAUAGGUGAAUCCUCCCUGUUCGUUUACCUCAGAAGAAAUUAGUUAUCUCACUUCUCGCAUACAGAAUGGUGGGACAGAAGUAGUUGAGGUAUGGUUUCCCUUAUCACCUAAUGCCAUAUCUUGUACGCACAGUGGAUGGAAUAAAAGUCAAUUUAGAAGUUUCUUUUCCGAUUGCCCUCUCUGAACAGUGGCUUAGUGACAAAGUAAUAGUUUUGCAUUAGCUACGAAUACUGUAUUGCGUCUGAUCGCAAGAGCUAGAAUGUUCUUACAAAUCAAACACAUCAUUAAUCUGAACUCACAGCAGAACUGGGGAUCUGCAAUAGAUUGGAAAAGAAGCAAGGUUAAAGAACUUGCCACUGCUGCAUGCCUGUUAGUUAAUGCAAUGAACUUCCUUUCUGACUUGCCGAAAUUCAUUUCAGGCGAAAGCGGGGGCAGGAUCCGCAACUCUUUCCAUGGUUGGUCUCCAUCAUCCUACACUGUUCCAUACAUGCAUUUUGAAAUUACGGAUGGGAUGACGACACUGCAUCUUUCUUUUUCUUUUCCCUCUCAAAAAGGCCUACGCAGCAGCCAAAUUCGCGGACGCCUGCCUGAGAGGGCUGCGCGGCGACGCCGGGAUAGUCGAGUGCUCGUACAUAGCCUCUCAGGUUACACACCCAUUCCCUUCCUUGAGCUCAUUCCAUCAGCAUUUUGUUGAUUCGUGAAAUCUCCUUCUCCACUCCGCGCAUGUAUCUUGAAGGUGACGGAGCUGCCCUUCUUCGCGUCCAAGGUGCGGCUGGGCCGGGCCGGCGUCGAGGAGGUCCUGCCGCUCGGCCCGCUCAACGAGUUUGAGAGGUAAUGCAACUAAUAAUAAUUACAUAACCCAUGCAGGAUCGUUCGUUUGCGUCGCCCAAUUUUUGUUUGUCUGAUGUCGUUGCAGGGCCGGGCUGGAGAAGGCCCAGGGCGAGCUGGCCGAGAGCAUCCGCAAGGGCGUCGCGUUCGCCAACAAGUGAUGAAGAGAAGUGUAUUCAGCUGCGUAUUCUUGGCCCCCCAGCAUAGAAAUCUGAGAUGCCUUUUGCUUCCGUCUGCUCCUGCCUGGGAGCAACGGUCGCCGUGUGAUGUGAUAUCCCUGUAUAUCGUAUAAUAACAAUAACAAUAAUAAUGAAGUGUACUUUAUUUUAUACUGGAAUACGAUGCGGACUACCCGAUGCUUACGGCUGUAUAAACAACU